CGUUACGUUCGUUCUCGGAUGAAUCCUCUUGUUGAUGUGGUGUGUUAUGUCCGUCCUUGGUCUGAUACCAUUUCCUCGAUGUGAUUCAGGGAAAUCCGCAAGUACCAGAAGAGUACAGAGCUUCUGAUCAGGAAGCUCCCGUUCCAGAGGUUGGUGAGGGAGAUUGCACAGGAUUUCAAGACAGAUCUCAGGUUUCAGAGCCACGCGGUCCUCGCUCUCCAGGAAGCGGCCGAAGCCUAUCUGGUGGGACUCUUUGAAGAUACCAAUCUCUGCGCAAUUCACGCCAAGCGCGUAACAAUCAUGCCCAAGGAUAUCCAGCUAGCCCGCCGCAUCCGCGGAGAACGUGCCUAAUCGAGAAGGCCUCAUCAGUUUUAAUCCGCAACUAAUGUCUUUAGUGAUCUUAGACUUCUCAUCUCUUCUCUUUUACCAUCAAUACCAACUGUUGGAGUGCCGAUAGAUCGUACUACCAGGUGAUUGUUGUAGCGGUGUCGGAAUUAGCUUGUUAUCUAUUUUUCUCUCUUUUUUUUCUUCUCUUCCCCACUCUCGAUGUACAUCAUCACUAUACUGAACAUGUUACGUCGAGUAGCAUAGUCUAUAAUCGGUAUAAGGUUGUUGAAUUACCAAUGAUUUUCUCUUCAAUGGCGUAAUCGCUCAAAAUUCAAAUAACUAAAUCUACUGUUCAUCAACGAAGAAUCGAUCCUCCUAAUCUUCUGAUUCGAUUCUCGAAUCUGGUUUUCUCUUGGUUCGACCCGCGGGCGACGAGUUGUGAUGCAGAUCGGCGUUGUAUCAACUGUCCAUAGAUUAAGAAUCAGGUAGCCUCCUGGUUCGAUUAUUGGAGCUGCCGUAGCCCCAGUAAGGGACGAAUUGGGAUGACAAUCGCCGUCUUUCUCGCUCCAUGCUCCUAGAACCGAUUGCGGAGAGCUCAGAGUUCUUUAUAUUUCCUUCUUUAUAAUGAGAGUCCGUCGUUAGGGUUUGCGAUUCCUUUUCCCUUCGAUAGGUCGUCUAAUCGACGGCGGCCUCGAGCUCGUCUCCGCCGCCAGUUUCUCAGUCGCCGCCGUCUAAAGUUGGGAUCUUGGCGUAGGCCCGUCAGAGGAGUCGGGUCCGACCGGUCCAGAUACCGACAAGGGGGAGUCCGAAGUCAGAAAUGUCGGAUUCUCCCCAAAAUGGAAAAAGCGUCUCCGGAUCGUAUGUCUAACGGAUGGGGAAGUUUAAAAGCGCGGAGAGCGUCGUCGAAGGCUGACAGCCGGUCCACCGCCUCCCGCCUUCCGAGGGCAGUCCAUUCAGCGAGAGAGAGAGAGAGAGAGAGAGAGAGAGAGAGAGAGAGAGAGAGAGAGAGAGAGAGAGAGAGAGAGAGAGAGAGAGAGAGNNNNNNNNNNNNNNNNNNNNNNNNNNNNNNNNNNNNNNNNNNNNNNNNNNNNNNNNNNNNNNNNNNNNNNNNNNNNNNNNNNNNNNNNNNNNNNNNNNNNCCUGUCUGUAUGUGAAAAAAUAGAGAAAAAAAAGAGACAGAGUGAAGCUCCAAAAAUUGGGCUAUAAGAUAGGGGAAGUGUUUAUCUGCUCUCCUCUCAUUUUAGAAGGAAAGAACCGUGAGGAAAAAGCUACAUGUCCUCAAACCAUUUGGAAAGGCCAAAGUAAACUCCAAUUAUGGAAAGAGAUUGAGGUUUAUAGAACAGAGAACAUUCUUGAAUGGUAUAUAGAAAUUCUCACAUAUCUAUUUGGUGAUAUCUACUAGUUAUAUGAAGAUGUAAUUAAUAUGAAGAUGAAAUUUUGAAUGCACUGUUGAGGUGUGUUUGCACAAUUGUGAUACACUUGAGGUUUACUGAAUUUCUCACCCUUGAUACUUGCCAUAGAAUUUGAAGCAUCUCUGAGCAAAGUAGAUAUAUUUAGAAUCAAUCGUACUUUACUAAACAUGAUAGUUUGAAUCAGUGCUAGUCCCAAAUUUUAUUUCUUAUGAGUAUUGCUAAGGGGUUAGUAGAUAAUUCAAGUACGGGUCAUCAUAAUGCAUCAUUUGAAUAUGUUAAUUAAAUUAAAAUGAUCACAAAUUUUGUAUUAAUCAAUGUCAAAUAUUAAUAAACCGAAUUAAAAUUUUAAAAUAGAUUAUAGAAUCCACUUCAUUAAUUUACACCUAAUCUGCAAAUUAUUUUUGAGAAAUUUCUGCUUGCUUUUAUACUGUGUUCUAACAAGAUUAACUUUAGUGGAUAGCCUUGAAUUUUUUCUAUAAAUCAUAUAUUUGAUUUUAAAAGUGAGAAUUCAAUAUAGAAUCAAGAGGACAUUAUUUUCUAUGAUUUUUGCAAAGUUUGAAUUCGAAGCAAAGAUGACGCCAUUUGCUUUAAGUGUCAUGUGAGGUUUUCCCAGGUGUAGAUCUCUAUUUCUUUUGCAGAUUUUCAAUUGAGAAUAAUUAGAGUUGUAAUCAAUCUUGUUUACUAUUGUUUAAUCGUAGGCAGGACAUUUUUCUUUGGCUUUUUUUUAGUGUUUGUUCGCACUAAAUCAUAUGAAUUGGAAAUAAAAUUUAUUUGUGUUGAAAGGUAGAAAUGUGAACAAAGUGAGCUUUUAUUAUUCUUUUUUUCCCUAAAUGCUGUUAAUUUUGGUGAGUUUUUGUGCAUAGAUUGACCUUUUGCUUGGCCACACUUGUUUCUUUUUUUUUAUGGAGUGUCGUGAUUGUCUUCAUAAGGUACCACCCAAUGCUAAAGAGUGUUGUGAAUUUACUUUUUAUAAAGGACUAUCAUUUUCAUUACUCUUGAAAAAUAUAUUAAUUUUUCUAGAGGAAGAAGUUUUGGGAUGUUUAGGUGUUUUCUUUUGGGUUGGUAAUUCCUCCUCCCAUCCUCCUUACUUUCAGGGUUUAUCACCUGGUUUUAGAAUUUCCAUUGUGAUGUAUGAAAGGUCAAACAUGUCCCUCUUGAGCUUGCUUGCUAAUGUAUGAAAGGUCAAAUAUAUUACUGACCGUGAAAAAAGAAAGAAGAGCAACCAAGUCAUCAUUGAUUGUCCACUCUCGUUCCUGAACCUUUCUCUUGCUGCUCAAAGUCUACCUUUUCAAUCUCUAUCUUUUGUUUUCUAUCACACAUCAGUGCUAUCUCUUCCCAGUAAGUUUUUCCCUCUUUCCUUCUCUUCUUUUGACUCUCCCUCUUCUUCUCCUUUAUAGUUUUUUUUAGUGGGUUUUUGCUAGGGUUUGGCAGUGUUUAGGUCUUACAGUUUAAGACCUAGGAUUCGGGUUUAGAAGUUGAGGAAUUAGCUUCGACCAUGGGGUUUGGAGCAUAUUGUUGGGGUUUAAGGGCUUAGAAUUGUUUCAUAUAGUCAUCACUUUUUGCAUAAUCUUUACCUCUUAGGCUUUAGUGUUUCAUGGUCUUUAGCAUAUAGGUAUCAGAGAUUAGCUUUGUAUUUAUUUUUGUCCAAAGUGAAUUUUCUUAACAUUUCAAGCAAAUAUCUAGCAGAAAAUUAUGUAAGUCAGGGUUUGUCUAGGUUUUAGGAUGCAUGGGACAACCUCCCUACUCUCUAUGGGCCCAUGUCAUGACAGUUGUCCUGUAUCAGGUCUUUGGCCAUCCCAGCCAGNNNNNNNNNNNNNNNNNNNNNNNNNNNNNNNNNNNNNNNNNNNNNNNNNNNNNNNNNNNNNNNNNNNNNNNNNNNNNNNNNNNNNNNNNNNNNNNNNNNNCCCUCCCUCUCCCCCCCCCCNCCCCCCCCUCCCACGUGUUUAUUAUUCUCCUGAUCGACUCUCGAGUAACUCACAUGCCAUUUGGAAUGUGAAAAGGAAGAGAAGAAGGAGUUGGCCGCAGAAGAGAAGGACGGGGAGGCUCCGCCUGAGAUCGUGCUCAAGGUCUACAUGCACUGCGAGGGCUGCGCCAAGAAAGUGGAGAGAUCCUUGAGAGGAUUCGAAGGUCAGCACUUCAAUCUCCAACUACUUCCGGCUAAGCCUCUGAGAGACGGAGAUCGAUCCGAAGAGCUCGUCUGAAAGUGCAGGCGUGGACGAGGUGAAGGCGGACUCCAGAUCCCACACAGUUGUGGUGAAGGGGAAGGCGGCCGACCCGACGAAGAUCUGCGAGCGUGUCCAGAGGAAGACCGGGCGGAAGACGGAGCUCGUCUCUCCAUUGCCCAAGCCCCCCGAGGAGGAAGCGAAGAAGGAGGAGCCCAAAGAAGAAGAGAAGAAGGAGGAGGUACCCGCCAUCACCACUGAUCAGAGCUUCCUCCUCCAUCAUCCAGUCUACUUAUCUAAGAAGAUCCAGCAUGCAUGUGGAUCUCGUUCUUACCCUAAACAGUUGUUUAAAUUUAUUUUAAUUUCAUUUUUUGGAUCGAAUUCGGCAGCCCCCUACGGCGAUCACGGUGGUGCUGAACGUUAGAAUGCACUGCGAAGCAUGUGCUGAGGUUCUGCAGCGGAAGAUCAAGAAAAUCGAUGGUAUUAACUCGUACAUUUUCUAGUUUCUCGUACAUUUUCCAAAGGAAAAAACCUAAAAUAUAUUAAUUUUUUUAUAGUUUCCCUAAUUUUUAUUUCAUUUUCGUAAUUCCUGUGGAGUUCAUACAGCAGAAUAAAACCAUAGAAAAAAAUAAUAACUUCGGAAUAUGUUCUGGACGUGUCGGUUGAAUCUGGCCAUUUACAUGUCUCGGAUAUAAUGGCCGAGGAAAUUCCACGUGGAUGAAUAGACCAUAAAGACGCGGGGUAUUGUUGUCCCCAGAUCAUUUAUAUGUCUGUCCCAGCAUAGGAUGUAUCAUGGGGGCCAAUAUCAGCCUAGAAUAUUGAAACAGGGCGUGGAUAAUUUCUGAUAAAUUUAUCAAAAAUUCAAAGUGAUGGAACGUUGAACCUGCCAAUGUCGGUGUGAGAUAUUUCUAAUUGUAUCAAGCGAAGAGACAGCGUUCGUGACCGUGGUCAUAGUCAACGCUCAGAAUCGAAUCUAAUACGCAUGAUGCUGCCAUGUCUGCAGGUGUGGAAUCGGUUGUGACAGAUUUUCCCAAUAACCAAGUGAUUGUCCAAGGGAUUAUAGACCCUGAAAAGCUGGUAGAGAACGUGAAAAGGAGAACAAGGAAGCGAGCCUCAAUUGUGAAGGACGAAGAGAAGAAGGAAGAGGCGGCGGAGGGGGAAAAAAAGGAGGAAGUAAAGGAAGGGGAAGACAAAAAGACCGAUGUGAAUAAGCAUGAAUAUUGGGCACCAAGAUACAGCAUACAAUAUGCAUAUCCGCCGCAAAUAUUUAGUGAUGAGAAUCCAAACGCUUGCUCUGUUAUGUAGACUGGUUUCAUGUACUGUAACUUCCCUUACGUAACCUCAUGCAUGUUUUCCACUCGUAUGCAUGAUUUUGAUCGAAAGUUUGGGACAAUGAUAUGCGAACCUAUGAAUAUGUAUCAUUUUUCCAGCUAUUUCAUGUAUGUUUUAAAUUUGGGCUUCCGUUAUUUCCUAAUAUGGUGAGUAGUUCGAUAAAAAGAGGCACAAAAAGAUCGGGACGGUUGAAGACAAAAAUAAAAUUGAAGAAAAAAUAUAGGCAAAUAUUAUAAUUUGAACUGAGUGCAAUUAAUGAAAACUUAAGUUAAUGACAUUUUCAUUGUACCAUCUAUUUAUACCUUUCUGAUAUGGUUUUAUUGAUAUAUGUUACAAAUAACGUAUUAAUUUGUGCUAACUUUAAACUGACGUUGGAUCAUGACCAAACUCCUACGAGGCAUUCUCGUGCAUAAGGCCUCCGUGAAUGACCUUAGUCAAAGAAUUUGAACCGCCCAGCCCCCCCUCCCCCCCUCUCUCUCUCUCNNNNNNNNNNNNNNNNNNNNNNNNNNNNNNNNNNNNNNNNNNNNNNNNNNNNNNNNNNNNNNNNNNNNNNNNNNNNNNNNNNNNNNNNNNNNNNNNNNNNAGAGAGAGAGAGAGAGAGAGAGAGACACGAGGCCGUGCCCCCCCUAACCAACUUGGUGUGGGACCCGCACCAAACGUUUCAAUCCCAUUUCUCAUAUAAAUGGGGGGAGGCUUCUUCAUCCGCAUCAAAUACGCUUCUCGCAUCCCAGAAGGCGAGGUCCCCCUUCCAUCGUCUCUGGCGCCUGCCGAGGGGAUUCCUCUGGCGCCGUCUCUGACGACGACUGUGUUUUCGUGAAUCUUGAACAGGGUCCCCUCCUCUCUCUCUCUCUCGGCCCCGUUUCAUGGCGGACGAGGAGGAUAUGGACGCCCUACCACUGAGAGACGGCGGCGGGCCCGGCGGCGGCAAUGACAUCUUGAAAUUCGUAUCCAAGUCUUCGUCUGAGACGGUCGAGCUCAUUUCCAACACCAAGAUGAAGCUUCUGAGUGGCACGCUGAGCUUCAUUCUUGAUUCCCCCUCCGCCGGAAUAGCCUGGGGAUGGUGGUGGGUCCUCGCCGUCCACUUGUUCGUCUACGCCAUCGCUCUGCUGGUGAAGACCCUCUCGGUUCUUCUGUCAGCCCCGCGCUUCCCCAGAGGAAGCCAGCUGACGCUCGUGAUCAUAGCCUACCUCGCCCAGCUCGCCGCUGAAGCUUGUCAGGUACUGGCCCUCGUCAUCGCGCUGAAGCUUCUCCCGGCAGGCGUCUCUGCGGGGCUGGCGUCUCUCUUCUCCGCUCGCUGCUAACACGAGACGAUGGGGCCUGAUCUUCACUCCACGAACCCACCCUAUACCGACGGUGUUGCCUGUUUCUAUUUACGCUCCUUCCUUCCACUCUGCGGUGGAAGGAGCUCUUACCCCUCUGCGGACUUGUGAUUACUAUACAUAAAUCUCCGGUGUCUCCGGGCUAAUUAAAAGAUGUGUCUUAUUUCAUGUAAAAAUAAUGUUUUUUGGUGAUCAAAUCUCAUCACAAGUUGACAACGUGAAUUCCUGCCGCCUUUGACGCAGUGAGAUGCGUUGGGCCGGUACAUCUGAUAGAUCCAGAUGAGGAAAUAAAUGAGUGCCACGCGGUUGUCGACCACUCCUGUAUAGUCUUCAAACGCUUCGGAGCUCUGGUCAACGCUAGGAGCCCUGGUAACCAAAAAGCUUAUCUUAAUGUUUGCACCACGGUUUCUUGGGUGCUCAGAUGGUCUAACAGUUGAUGGGUGAUUCAUUUGUGUGUUGCUUACCCGUUACCCACCCUGAGCCCCCCAAAUUGAACGGAAAAUAAUAAGUCACACAAGUCAUCCCUUAUGUCAUCCCUAGAUCACAUAAGUCAAGAGAUUUAUAUAAAUUAUUAUAAUCCAUUCCACCUUCUUCACAUCAUUUAAGGUACCAAUUUACUCUGUUCGUCGCCAAAGCCAUCCACUCGUCGUCGCCAACCGUCGUCACCUUCGCCUCCGCCAUUGUUUGUCGCGCCUAUGCCUCUAAUGGACAGUGACAAUCAACUGUUAACUUUGGGUCAACGGUCAACGAUCACUUCUGUGGUCCAAGUCCUUUCUAGUGACCUCUUUCCACAGCCAAACUCUGGCAUCUUAUGAUUACAUCACCUGAUCUUUUAAUAUAUUUAUCCUGUGAUUGUCCCCAAGUGAUCCUAUUAGUAUGACUACUUUCUCUUUGAGUGAUCAAUUACUAGUGAUUUUACCACAUCUGCUUUGUUAAAUUUGGAGCACCCUACGGCUGACAAUUUGCCUAAAUCACCUGGUCCUUGCCCACUGUCUUGAUGAAGAUAGUUAUUGAGCUGCUUAUGACUUUCAAAUUGUCUCCUUUUUAGAUUCUUCGGAUGUCGCUUAUGCUUUUUACUAUCCUUUAUUAGCUCGUUGUUACAUAUCAUUUAUCAUCCCCAUCAUCGCUCCUCUCAGAAGAAGCUGGUAACAAUAGGGAAUUUAAGUGAGAACAUUGUGUAUGAAUAAGAUUGUCUCAAAAUAGAAAUUGACAUCCAUAGUUCUAGAAGAGCAACCGAGAGAGAGAGAGAGAGCAACCGAUAGAGAGAGGUGGAGAUUGAGAGGGAGAAACUGAGAGAGAGAGAGAGAGAGAGAGAGAGAGAGAGAGAGAGAGAGUAGNNNNNNNNNNNNNNNNNNNNNNNNNNNNNNNNNNNNNNNNNNNNNNNNNNNNNNNNNNNNNNNNNNNNNNNNNNNNNNNNNNNNNNNNNNNNNNNNNNNNAGAGAGAGAGAGAGAGAGAGAGAGAGAGAGGUAGAUACAUAGAAAGAAAGAGAGAGAUAGGUAGAUACAUAGAAAGAAAGAGAGAGAGAAGGCUAGAAUUUUCACAAUAUGUUCAAGAGUUUAACAUUCUCAAUCGUGGUUAGCUUUGCUUUUUCUGAGGUUUGUUCGAGGGACUAAUCUUUGAGGUUAAAAUCGACAGUUCAAAUUAUCCAUAAGAUGCUAAACGCAAAUAAUGUUAUUUUCAAUUUAAUAUUGAACGAGUCCUUCCGUUGCUCUUCUGAUUAAGCAAAAGUAGAUUAAGCGCAGGAAAAUAUUUCCAAAUGUUUGACGCCCUGCUUGUCUAUCGCAUGAAAGAUCAUGUCGGCCCGUCUCCGUCCUUCCCCUCCCUCCCCACCUCCUCCUCUUGAACUCUCAUUUUAGCAAGCUCAACUCAUGUCCCUAUUACAUAAAAUAAUGGGUGGGUAUAUAGAGGACACAGAUAUAUGCGAAUAAUUUUUCACGAUUAUUAAGAAAAAGGAUGCGGGCCUUUGAAUUUUUAGCAGGUCGAUAUCUGUUUGAAGGCGGAGGUUCAAACCUAAUGACGAAUUUACCCAUAGAAUUGCUUUGUCGCAGCGAUUUCUGGAAACGUAGACAUGAUCUUAUAAAAAAAAGUAAAGUCGAAAACGCAUUUUAAUCCAUGGAUUUGCUUCUUUCAUAGUGAGCUUUAGACGAAUAGGCUGAAUUGCUUGAUUUAUUGUGCGCAAUACCAUUCCUACAGAUUUUGUUCAAUGAACAGCUUCGAGGGGGAUCUCGUGGGGCAUAUCCUUUUUUGCAUACCCUUGAAUUGGGGACAUAAGAUAAGGUAGUGUGAGAUAGGCUGCUCCGCGGAUCUGCGACGUGAGGCUUCAGAGACACAAAGAGCAGGACAAUAUGGUCUUUUCUCAGAAGUGUUCAUCCCGUUCAUGGAAAUUCUAUCCAGGCCUGUAAGAAUCUCGGGUUAGGGUUUCUGUAUAAAUACUCGACUCGAGGUCAGCUGGACGAUCCCUCACGGCCGCCGGCCCCCAUUGUCUGCAGUCGUUCCUGCUGUCUGAACGCACGGUGAGGUUCCGAUCUCGAUCGCGAUUCAUCUCGUCACGCCACGAAUUGUUCUUUCGCAUCCCCUCCCCCCACCCCACCCCAUCUUCAGUGCAUUUCAUUUCUGGGUGAUUGUUCUUCCGGGUGGGGGGUUGGAAUUUAAACCCUAAACCGGCCAGCGCCACAGAUGGGCUCGCCGAGGUCUGGCUUCCGCCCCCUUCACAGCAAUGCUCGGGGCGUUUCUAAGCCCCGACGCGACCUUCGGACGGCGUCGGGGUCAUGCGCGCUUCCACAUUAGGUUUCCGGCCAUGGAAGAUCCGCCGAGCUUUCAUUUUCAUACUUUAAAGACUCUCUCUUUCGCCGAUCUUCUGGGUUUUUUGGGCUCGUCUGGGGGAGGAGGGAUACAGAUGAACGGCGGCGCAGUCGGGUACUUCCGCCGAUGGAGCCCCGUGGUUGCGCCGCCGCCGUCACCCCCUCCCCGCCUGACAUUGGCGCAGGUGGCGCGUUGAAGCCCCGACACGAUACACUCCAUCCGCAGUGUCCGGGUCAUUUCCGCCUCCACAUCUCCUUCUUCCUUGCGCGGUUUUCUGGUUCCAUCUGAUCGAGAAGCCCCCCGGUUCUCCCUCCCAAAGUCCUCUUCUUCUUGCGGAUGAGAGAGAGAGAGAGAGAGAGAGAGAGAGAGAGAGGAGGGAGAUUGCGGGUAAUUGGGCCGAGAGCCAGAAAAUACGUAAUUGGGCUUGCACUGACAGUGGUUGGGCCGAGGGCCCGCGGCCACAAGCUGGUCAACCUUUGUACUGCGGCGAGACGACUCUAAAAUCGGCCCAUAUUGGGCUUACUGGGCCGACUCAGGCCUACUGCGUUCUCUGCCCAUUAAAAUCGACACAAGCUUGGCAUACCCGCGGCCCAUUUGUUUCCUUCCUGGGCCAUAACAGUCAUCCUCGCGUCGAAAUGACAAAACAAGCCCAUUAUUCUCUGGGCCGGACCAUAAUAAGCAUUCGAAUACUCUCUCUCUCUCCCUCCCUNNNNNNNNNNNNNNNNNNNNNNNNNNNNNNNNNNNNNNNNNNNNNNNNNNNNNNNNNNNNNNNNNNNNNNNNNNNNNNNNNNNNNNNNNNNNNNNNNNNNCACACGAGAGAGUAGUACAGACGAGCGAGAGAGAGAGAGAGAGAGAGAGAAUUAUUUCUACUUUGGAUGAGAUGCUGGCCCAAGAAUUCAAGGGAUCUCUUUCGUCGUCUGUUGCAGGUGUGGAAACUAUGGAAGGAGGGCCGCUGCUUGGAGCUACUUGACCCCCUGGUGAUGACUUCAUGCCCGGAGACAGAGCUGCUGAGAUGUAUCCAAGUCGGUCUGCUGUGCGUGCAAGAGUCCCCCAGCGACAGGCCAACCAUGUACGCGGUGGUGACGAUGCUGACCGGCGAGAGCUUUCUGCUGCCAGAACCAGAGAGACCCGGCUUCCUGCUUCUUCAGCGUCCCGCAAAAAGUUCGUUCACCACAAAUGAACCCUUCAGCUCCAAUGAAAUAACCCUCACUGUCAUUGAUGGUCGUUGACCAGCUUGGCGCCAACGAGUCUCCCGUUUUCUGGGUGAACACGGGACGGGCUGUUCUAUCAUCUUGAUGCGGUUCGUGAUAAGAAUCCAUCUGCACAACGAGAAAAUCCUCUUUCAGCAGGUACCUGAAUUCAAUCUCCUCCCCAUAGCUGCCGAUUUUGGUGAACAUUGGAUUCAUUAUUUUCCUUUAUCUGUACAGUUUUGUGAAGAACACACCGAAUUUUUUUACUUUAAAAUUAAAGUUCAUUAAAAAAAAUUAAUUAUAAAAGUUUCACAUUUCUAUGACACCUGUCAAUUAACAAUGAAGUGUUGUAAUCUUCUGAUAGGAAAUUUCAACGUCUUGUAAUGUUGGAAAAUAAGUUUUGCUGUAUCCUUUUAUCGGGAAAAAGCCAUCAAACACCCCUGUGGAUUUUUUAUCAGCUUCACAAAUAUGUUUAUUACUAAUUUUAACAUUAUCGUGGAGAACAAUCCAUCCAAUCAUUGUUAACAAGCCUAUGAUGAUGCCUUAUAAUUUUACGUUUUAUAUCCUAAGGAAAUUUUAAGCUCAAGCAUAAUUUUCUGAUGUUAGCCACUGCAUGGCAAAGAGCCAACCUUGAGGUGAGCCAUAUGUAAAAUACAGGAUAAUUAGAACAAUAGAUGAAAAAAAUUCUUACACUCCUCUUGAACUGUAUGACCCCCUGCACUUUGUCGUUUCUUAGUGAAAUAUCGUUUUAGAAGGGGUUGUUCUACAAGACUAGGAAAUAUUUAGUGCACACUCAACUUGUAGCAUGAUUUUUUGAAUAGUUUAAAAUAUUAUUUGAAAAGGAUUUUGCAUUAUCAUAAGUAACCAAAGCUAUGAUUCUACAUAUUGAGCUUGUAGUUUCAAAAGUCUAUGACAUUCAUGAUUUGUUUAAAAUGAUUUAAAAGGUUUUGAUUAAGAAAUUAUUUUAUUAUUUUAAUAAUUAUUAUAAUUUUGUUUCAAUGAUAAUGUGUUAUUAUUAGACUUCAGCGAACAAGUUUAAAAGACCUUAUUUGAAUAAUAUUUUUAAAUUUUUGAAAUGGGCCUACAUGAUUGCGUAUAUUUUAGACCUACCCCCAGACUUGAGUAUUAACUUGACUUUUAAUAUUACAGAAGUAGUGACUUAUCAUAGAUCACACAAUGUACUUAGCAAGACUUUUUAACCUUCCCUAUACCUUUGAGUGAUACCCCAACCAAUGUAUUCACUAGCCACAUUUCUUAUCCGAUAUGAACAAGUUCAGGAUGUAUUAGAUGGGCAGGUGAUUUCUGCUAACAAAGAGUGUCAGAGACUUUUGGUUCAUGGCACGAUUAUCCACCAUCAGAUGACUCUUGAGUCAUAGGCUAUGAUCUUUGUCAACCUGAUCCUGGCACAUAGGAGCAUUACACCACUGACUCAUCCCUUUACUCGAUAGAGUCAAGCCCCCUAACCCGUGGAGAGUUGACGUAGGACAAGGCCCUGUCCAAACAUGGUGGACUGAACAUUGGCCCAGAACCCCUUUGCCCUCCUUAUUGGAACCCUUUCCCUUCCAUCCUUGUUUCCCUGCCUGUGUGAGGUGCAAACCUCAGCUGUUUUGAGGUAGUGAAUUUUUGAAUCAAGAAAUUUGCGAACCAGGGCCUGUGUGGCCUGCGUGUGUGGUUUGCCUAUGUGGCUUGNNNNNNNNNNNNNNNNNNNNNNNNNNNNNNNNNNNNNNNNNNNNNNNNNNNNNNNNNNNNNNNNNNNNNNNNNNNNNNNNNNNNNNNNNNNNNNNNNNNNAGAGAGAGAGAGAGAGAGAGAGAGAGAGAGAGAGAGAGAGAGAGAGAGAGAGAGAGAGAGAGAGGGAGAGAGCGCGCGAGAGAGAGAGAAAGAGAGUGAGAGAGGAAGAGAGAGAAACGGACUACCGAUGUAAUGGUCCAGUGGACCAUGGGAGCACAAUUGUGGACCAAGACCAGGGAACUGAGUAUAGACUGCGUCAACAAAAAACCCAAUUAAAACGUGUCACAACAAGGUGGGAAAAUUUUAAAAAGGUUAGAAGAAGCUGGGUUGUUUAUUGGGCACUUAUGGGCUUCCUAAUCUGAUAGGGACUAUUGGGCCAAUCCACCAUUUUUAGGAACAUUUAGGCCCAAAUGGGUAAAAUAGGGACAACUGCCAUAGGCCAAAUGUAUGCAGAGCUUCUAUUUGCACGGUCCGUUUAAAGCACCCAUUAGUUCUUUCUGUUAAAAAGAUUCAGCAUUAGAUAUGCCCAGAAAAAUCUAUGGCCACAGAAAGGGUGCCUACUACCUUCCUCAUAACUUAUUGAUGUUAUCUGUAUUCAAAGACUGAACAGUAAGAUCAUAUGCCGAACUUGUUGAGAGUAUGUCACCGUGUAUGAAUUAAUAGAAAUAUAUGUCAGCCCUUGUUCAUGAAAACAAAUCUACUUUGGUGAUAUUUACUUAAUUUUUCCAGGUGGGAUGAAACUCAUUCGUAAGCCCAACCUUCUUUUUCAAAAUAUAGUCACCAGUAGUAAGUAUGCUGGUAAAAAUCUUGUCAUCAAUCAAGUGACUUUUAAGUGCAAUCAUAGGAAAAAAAAUGAGGGCAACAGAUUCUAACGGCAAUUGCUUGGAGACAUACAACUGAAAAAAAUUCAGAUUUCGAAAAACCUAACAUUUUUGCCAUGGCUAAGAUCAAGCUACUCUUAAUUCUAUCAAGCAUCAUAUCAUCAUGAUAGCCUAUUUAGACUUAUUUUUAAAUAACAUAUUCAUUAUAUUUAUCAAAAGAAGACUUUGUGGGAGUUCUCAAACUGCCAGUUUUCUUACAGAAAAAAUCACCAUGUCAAAUGUCAUAAUGCUACUUGGAGGUGAAACAAUGGUGUAUGGAGUGGUAUAAAUUGUUUGAGUCUAAUUGGUAGAGUUUUGUCUGCUAAUUUCUAGAUUCAACUAAAGCAACGGACUAAAACACAUUUAUUUUGAUAAUACAUGCGCACAUGGACACCAAGAAAUCGUGAAAAUAUCUACUUCUGAGUAGUAAUUACCUUCCUCCUUGGAGAGAGAAAAUUACGGCGUAAAAAGAAACCUUCUCCCUAGGAGAGAGAAAACUAUGAUGCAAGCAAGAAAAUAUCAUUAUAAAUAGAUGGUAGUUGAACCGUUUUGUCUCUUGCACUGCCAUGAACUGGAGAUAUCUAGAAUAAAAUAAACCUAGACCCCUAGUAUUGUGUGGUCUAAAACCCUCCACUUAUCCCAAGAUUUAGGCACGUACGCACCGAUUCUGCUCACUCCCUUCUUUUGACUGAUGAUUUCUCCGCCUCCAGGUGUGGUGGAGAUGACUGUAGUACCCAUGAUAUUUCCUCAGAGUGGUUCUCCAUCAUGAAAAGAACCCGACGUGUUACCUGUCCUUAGCAGCUGGUUCGGUUUCACUCGUCGAGUCUAACAUUUGACUUCGUCUAACGUGACUCGUCGUGUCGAACAUUUGACUUCGUUUAACGCGACUCGUCGUGUCUGACGUGUCUUACGCGUGACAAUAGAUGGGCUACGAGUCCGCUUUGACAGGCUAACAACCCUGUGCUGGCCACGUGUAAAUAUCUUUUAUUAUUCCCGUCCACCGAUGACUGGGUCUCAUUUCAAGGUCACACUGGGAACUAAUUUUUUUUUGUCGCCAAAUGAUCCGGUCCCUCUCCACCUUUGAAAUUAUUAAUUUCCUCUCCAGCAGAACCCCUCGUCGUAAAUAAAUUUAUGUAGAACUCAUCAAUCAUUUCCCACCCUUAAAUUGAUUUCUAGGUAAAUUACGUCAAGGACUUCCCUGUCAUUGGUCAACUCCACCCCCCAUCGGCGUAUACUUUCUGUUAUAUAAGCAUAACCGAUGCUUCAAAGAGAAGNNNNNNNNNNNNNNNNNNNNNNNNNNNNNNNNNNNNNNNNNNNNNNNNNNNNNNNNNNNNNNNNNNNNNNNNNNNNNNNNNNNNNNNNNNNNNNNNNNNNGGAGGAGGGACGGAGAGAGAGGCGAGAGAGAGAGAGAGAGAGAGAGAGAGAGACGCAUAGAGAGUUUGUUUGCGUGACUGGGGGAGGUUCUGUGACAGCACGUUCGGGAACUUGGGUUGCACCACGGAGUGGCUGGAAGUGGUCUUCAACAUCAUCAUCAUAACCAGCGGGCUGAUCCUCGUCACCAUGUUGAUCGGGAACAUCAAGGUGAACCAACACGAAGCUCGAUCAACUAUCAAGUUUGCGAGUAUCGGUCGUCUUCUUCAUCAUCAGUGGGGGAGGUUGUGGGGCAGGUGUUCUUGAGCGGGACGAGCUCGAAGAAGCAGGCGAUGCAGCUGCAGCUGAGGAACACAGAGUGGUGGAUGCGGCGGCGCCGCCUGCCGGAGAGCUUCCGACGGCGGGUCCGGCAGUACGAGCGGCGGCGGUGGGCGGCGAUGCGAGGGGUUGACGAGUACGAAAUGAUCCGGGACCUCCCCGAGGGACUCCGCCGGGACAUCAAGUACCACCUCUGCCUCGAUCUCGUCCGCCAGGUAACAAGAACACAAUGAACUUGCCUCCUCGAGAAUCAUCCCCCAUCCCCAUUUUCAAAUUAGGAGAAAAAUAUCAUUCCGACCUCCAACUUUCCUCCAGGUGCCCUUGUUUCAACACAUGGAUGCUGUCGUCUUGGAGAACAUCUGCGACCGGGUGAGGUCGCUCGUCUUCACCAAGGGGGAGACUGUAAGCACCCUCUCCCUCUCCUCAUCCUUCUCUCUCUCUCUCUCGCUCGCUCUCCUCCCCUCUCUCGCUAUCUCUAUGAUGAAUAUCUUCUCCAUUUUGAUGAAGAUAACGAGAGAAGGGGAGCCGGUGAAGAGGAUGCUGUUCGUGGUGAGGGGGCACCUGCACAGCAGCCAGGUGCUGCGGGACGGCGUGAAGAGCAGCUGCAUGCUGGGGCCCGGAAACUUCACGGGGGACGAGCUCCUCUCAUGGUGCCUCCGCCGCCCCUUCGUGGAGCGGCUGCCGCUCUCCUCCUCCACGCUGUUGACUAUCGAGACCACCGAAGUCUUCGCCCUGGAGGCGGCUGACGUCAUGUACGUGACGCAACACUUCCGACACACCUUCGUCAACGAUAAGGUGCGGCGGAGCGCCCGCUACUACUCCCCCGGGUGGCGGACCUGGGCGGCGGUGGCGAUCCAGCUGGCCUGGCGCCGCCACCGCCACCGCCUCACGCUGUCCUCCCUCUCCUUCAUCCGCCCUCGCCGGCCGCUCUCCCGCAGCGCCUCCAUGGGGGAGGACAAGCUCAGGCUGUACACCGCCAUUCUCACCUCCCCCAAGCCCCUCCUCGACGACUUCUCUCUGUAAAUUGCCUGUAGAGAGAGGAGAGAGAGAGGAGAGAGAGAGAUGAAUUCCAUGUACGUAUAAAGUAGACGUUGCUUUCCCGUGCUUAUUUUGGUCAUCCCAAUGCGGGCUGCUCUACUGAGCACAACACGCCCUCACAGAACAACUGGAAGGAAGCCCGGAGAGCUAUAUGGGAAAACGCGACCAUAUCUGGGCCGAAUGCUAAGGCCCGGAAGGCCCAAUAAAGCCCAUAAAAGUCCACCGGUUGACCGGCCGUUGGGCCCGCGGAAGAAACGGCGGAUCUAAGAGAUCAACCGCAGUAAAAGAGUAAUCAAAACAAAACGAGCGGCGUCGACACGUGGAGGGCUCCCACCCCACGUGGUGGACCAACCGUCGAAUCUUAUCAUUGGGUUAUUUGCUUUUAUUCUCCCCACAAAUUAGUUAAAAAUUACCGGGAAGCACUUUUUGUCUCAGAAUUCGACCGCUAGGGCUCCAAAAAACUCGUCUUUCUAUUAGUUUUUCUUCCCUCUUCCUGAUUAAAUAUACUUAACAUCUAAACUUGGGUUAGAAAAGUUUCUCCGCACUUAGUUUUUUUACUGUCGAGGAACAAUAGUUGCUGUCCAUCUUCGGCCUGAGUGAGAGAGAGGGGGGGGGUGGUAGGAGGAAGAGAGAGAGAGAGGAGGGAGAGGGAGAGGAGGAGAGAGAGAGAGGAGGAGGGAGGGAGGAGGAGGAGGAGGAGGAGGGAGGAGAGAGAGNNNNNNNNNNNNNNNNNNNNNNNNNNNNNNNNNNNNNNNNNNNNNNNNNNNNNNNNNNNNNNNNNNNNNNNNNNNNNNNNNNNNNNNNNNNNNNNNNNNNAGAGAGAGAGAGAGAGAGAGAGAGAGAGAGAGAGAGAGAGAGAGGGACCGGGUGGGGUGAUAAGGUGACACAUGCUUUCUGAUUAGAUAAUUAGGUAGUGGGAGACAGGGAAGACACAGAGGAGAGCUUUCAGAGGAGACUGUGAGAGGAUGAUUAUAUUUCCUACAGACUUACCGCAGGCAUGGAGUGAAAUGACCCACAGAAUGGAAACAACAGCUUCUUUUAUGCACAUUUGUGUUUAUCCAUGCUACUCGUAGACAGGCGUAGAUGGGCGGCCGGGGAGAGCAAAUAAAAGAGACAAGACCCCAAUUAGACGUUGAUGAGAUUAGUCAGAUUCACCUUUACUAUCACCAUAGAUGUUACUGACUGAUGAAGAACCGUAGAGACGGAGAAAGAGAGAAAGAGCGAGUACAGACAAAAGAGAACCAGAUCAGAGCUUAGGAAGAGUUAACUUUACAGACCGUAUAGCCAUUGUAAUUAUUCUCGUUACUGGUAACCAGGCAUAUAUACAUAUAUAUAUAUAUAUAUGUAGAGAGAGAGAGAGAGAGAGAGAAGAAGAAGAAGAAGAAGACAGAAGAUAAAGGAGGCAAGAGUCAGUCAGAUUAGAGGUCUCAAGGGAGACAUUCAGGUUCACGUACGCCUUAGCAAGGAUGCUCCAUUCUUUGUUUAAUCUUAAUCCACGCAAACUUUGUUGAAAAUGUUGAAUAAGCCCGAUUAUUAAAAAGUAAUCAUAGAAAGCGCAUCCGUUCUGCAUAAGAACAAAGACUCUCUCUCUCUCUCUCUCUCUCUCUCUCUCUCUCUCUCUCUCUCUCUCUAUCCCUCCACUUAACUAGUUUACCUCCAUGAAUAGGACUCCACCUUGUACUUCUCCUGUGGGAUGGCGCCGUGUCAUCCUGUCCUCUUUUCCAUAGACAAGAAGUAAAGCUCUGGGAACUAGGCGUAUUUUUUUCGAAUUCUUCCCUCGUUUCAGCAGCCGUCGUCUUUAUUCAAUGUAAACCGGAGUAACGUGUUUCAUGCUGCCUAUAGUUCUCAUACUAGCGAAAAAAAUUUCUUAAGCCCUGGGCUUCGCCUUGCUACAGCUGUUUCCAAUAGCGAGGGAUCAUGGUGGUAUAAAAGGGACUCUCGUGGGUCUGUUUUGUCGGAUUUGGGAUUAACUAUGGAGGGAUGACGACCGUGGAUUGGGAUUAGGUGGUUCUAUCCAUGUGAACGAGCAAGCGCAUGAUGGGCGCUGCGACUCCUAAGUUCAUACUGGAAUCAGCUAAAGUGGCUUUUAUUCUAUCAGCAAAAGGCAUUGGAUGGGCCUUUCUAGAAACAAGAGAGCUUAUAACUUACAUUAACUUGUUUCCGACUUUAUGCAUGACUCUCUCUCUCUCUCUCUCUCUCUCUCUCUCUCUCUCUCUCUCUCCCUCCCUCCCUCCCUCCCCCCAAAUGUGUGUGUACAUGUGCAUGUAAGCUGAAGAUAUUUCCGUCUAUAGUUUGGGUGGAAAUCUUCUUACAAACUUACCCACCAUAAAAAAGGGACGACGAGCUCCCGUUGCCAACAAUGAAGCACUGCCCAUAAUUGGGUACAAGGUAGGGAAGAGGGAGGAGAGAGAGAGAGAGAGAGAGAUGUUGUCUUCUACUUUUCGCUAGACUGGGGGCUUACAGGAGACCAAGCGAGCAGGGUAACCUCAAAGCUGAGCCCACGAGAUUAGUAAUCAUUAAUCCAGGGAAGCGAGGCAGAAUAGUGAAGCCCAGGAGUCUUGGUUCCCACGGAAGACUGCUCUCGUUCAGAGGGGAGAGAAGGGAAGUGGAUCGGUUGACGACACAUGGGGCUUAGAGCGCAUACUCCCCGCAAGGGAACCGGCGGGUUAAAAGCUAGGCACUUUGACUGGCAUCGGCCCUGACGAGUCCCGUUAGAACCCCCCACCACCACCACCACCACCCCCCACCACCACCGCGGAAGGAUUCCUUGCUUCUUAGACCCGAACACUCUUCCCUGUUCUCCUCCUCUGAUUUUCGUCCCCUAUCUUUACAGCUGUUUCUCCCUCUACCCCUCUAUACUUGCCCGAGAGUUCUCUCUCUCUCUCUNNNNNNNNNNNNNNNNNNNNNNNNNNNNNNNNNNNNNNNNNNNNNNNNNNNNNNNNNNNNNNNNNNNNNNNNNNNNNNNNNNNNNNNNNNNNNNNNNNNNUCCUCCUCCUCUCUCUCUCUCUCUCUCUCUCUCUCUCUCUCUCGCUUAUUUCUCUGAGUCGGGAGGCCCAACCAUCCUAUCGACAAAAACUCUGUCCACUGACAAGGAAACCCGCUACAAAUUUAUAUCCUUCUUCCCUCCUCUCCAUUCCUGACUCCUCUCGUAGCUCUCCGUAGGGACACCCUAGCAUACUAUCGAAGAAAACUCGGUCCAGGAGAUCCGCUGAAAUUGAUAUCGUUUCCCUACCUUCAUUCUAUCCUCCCCGCCCUUCUCUUUCUGUUUUUUAUUUUAUACUCUCUCUUUUUAUGUGUGCAUGCAUCUAUAUCUCUAUCUGGAUUCGUAUAUAUAUUUAUCUCUAACAAGACUCUUCUCCAACUUAGUGGUUAAACAAAAGAGGCUUAACCUAUGAUCAGAGGCCCUCGUUUUUUCCUGAACCCAAUGGAUCUGCUUUCACCUCUUUUGUUUCAGUUCUACCGUUCAAACCUGUUCGUUCCUUCCACUCUCUUCCCCUUUGGAGCUCAUUCAACUCGAGAAGAAGAGAGAGAAGCCCAAUAAUGCCCACCUCCAGAGUCCGACUCUUAUUUUUCCCGUAUCCAUAACCCAUCUUUUUCUCUCCCUACGGCGGCAAGUCCCUGUUUCCUUGUUCUGACAUAAAGGCACUCGCACUCAUUCCAUUUCAGAAAAAAGAGACACCCCGAUACUGUUUACUACGAGCUCUUUCUUCCAUCCGUAGACCGGCGAUGUUGCUAGAUCUUGAAGGCUUUCUACCUUUUACACAUCAAGGUUGAUUAUGUUGAUAAGUACGUCAUCUAGGUGGUUUUCCUCUACAGGCCUCUCUCUCUCUCUCUCUCUCUCUCACACACACACACACACACACACACACGCACACACACACACACAAUUUCUUCGUCUCUAACUCUACAUCUCUGCGACAGGAGAGUGGAGGGUGAACCAGCGUCCAGCGUGAAAAGAAGCGGUCAGAAGGGGCGAGGAGACGAGGAAGAUGCUUGUGAGAUGUUGAAAACAUAGCAGUGGUCUAUUUCCAAGGAUCACUUGACGACUGAAACGGUGCCUUACAGACCUUGACAGCUUUCAUAUCUUUCCCUCCUGACAACUACAGGACGGGGAAAGGCCAUCAAUCAUACGCUUGACCCACCUUGACCAGCCCCUUCACCUGCGACGACCGACGUCGGAGUAGCAGUGGCGCCCAAUUCUCGAAUAUGAUUCACCACCUUAAAAAUAGAGGGCAAUGAGAGCUCGCUAUAUACCAUUUAGAGAGAGCGAGCGAAGGAGCUAGAGAGAGAGAGGAAUGAUCAGCUACUUUGAAAUAUGAGUCACCUGGACGUAGUUACGUCCAACAAUAACACGGUGUAACAGAGGUUUAGAAUGGGGAUGCCCCUAUCACCUGAAGAAAGCUAGAACUAAGAGAGGAGAUAGAGACAGACAGAAAGCUCUGGUUAUGAUAAAUAGUCUGUACACCAUUUCGAGCAAGAGAUGGAGGGAGAGGAGAAUAGUUCACUGCUCUUAAACAUGAUUCACCGUAGGCGCUGUUUUCUGUUGCCAUAUUACGGCAUUUCCAUGGGGUUAGAACGGCUCUCCUUCAAGCUGCAUGUUAGUACUGAGAGAGAGAGAGAGAGAGAGAGAGAGAGAGCUCUGGCUAUGAUGACGAUAGACGUAGGAAUAUAGUUCUGUUUCCCCUCCUUUCUUCUUGUCUUCUUCCUGGGUGAGUUUCUUAGACACGGAACGCUGGGUUUCUGUCGGAAGGGUGCAGAGAGAGAAGAGAUAUGUGCAUGAGUGUACGAACCCGCAGACAGGUGGGGCGACAUGUGUUUUGCGGGCCGCAGUAUCCGGUACAGAGACGACGGCAGAACAGCGACGCUUGGCCACGGCCAUCUCCGGUCUACCUUGUUGCCAGUUUGGUCUCUCUCUUCCUCUCUAUAUCUCCAUCUCCUCCACCUCAUCUAUAAGACCAUUCCACAGCCUCCACAUUGUCAUUAUGUGAUAAUCUGCGGACCAAGAUCCAGAUAGCGUGCUCUCGCUCUCUCUCUCUCUCUCUCUCUCUCUCUCUCUCNNNNNNNNNNNNNNNNNNNNNNNNNNNNNNNNNNNNNNNNNNNNNNNNNNNNNNNNNNNNNNNNNNNNNNNNNNNNNNNNNNNNNNNNNNNNNNNNNNNNAAAAAAUAAAAUGAUUUUGCAUUAUCCCAAUUGAAAUUGAAGUAAUGAACCUCCCCAUAUUCUAUAUGGGAGGUUCAUUACUUCAACUAGUCCCCGUGUUCCUCGAAUGGGUCUCUUAGUUGUUGAGAGGGUUGCCCAAAGGCAGUAUAUAAGGCGUACCCAGUAAAGCUUACAAGUAAACCAGAUAUGGAGAUGGCGACUAAGGUUGCUGUUUCCAUUAUUAGAUUUAAAAAUCGCGAUGGAUCUACAAUAAGGUUGUUUAUUUACAACUACAACGGAAUGGUAUACAAAGUCAACAGAUCUCAACCAAUGAAAUUGUAUUUAUGGCUACACAAACUGUUGAGGGUAGUUCUAGAUCUGGGCCAAGACGAACUCGUGUAGGGGAUUUAUUGAAACCAUUAAAUUCAGAAUAUGGUAAAGUAGCUCCGGGCUGGGGGACUACUCCCCUUAUGGGAGUCGCAAUGGCUCUAUUUGCGGUAUUCCUAUCUAUAAUUUUGGAGAUUUAUAAUUCUUCCGUUUUAUUGGAUGGAAUUUUAGUGAGUUAGGUUCAUAAGAGCAAUGAAGUGCUAGUCAAAAAACUUAGGACUCGCCUUGCUAGUCUAUUUGAGUUGGUAGUUCGACCGUGAAAUUUCUUUGUUUCGGUAUUUGCGGAAUAUGAGUGUGUGACUUGUUAUAAUUGAUCCUAUUGAUAUACAGAAAAUGGAUCUGUCAUCUUGAUAAAGAUGAUUCUACCUCGUCGGAUAUUUAUAUUUAUUCUAGUUUCCGGAGCACGGAAUAUAUUUAAUAGAUCAAGAAAAGAAAUAUUUGAACUAUGAUUCAUACCCUACUAUUCAAACCUCGUAACCGGACUCUAAAAAAAUUUCAAAAGGCUAUUCUAUUUCCUAAAUCAAACCAUUUUUCUUCUUUGAGAACUAUGUGUUUUGACGGAAGUACAACUAUUUCUCUGGAUUUUGUUGAGUCAUUACAUCUUUUUCAUUAAAUAAAUGAUGAUCAAAUGGUUCUUACUCAGAGAACUUUUGAGCUUUGUUUUUGAACUUAUUGAUAAAUCAUCGUGGUUCUAGUAUGAAUCUGAGGUUUCAAUUGAUUUAUAGGGUCUCAACAAGAGAAUCCCUAUUCAGAAGUAAAACAAUAGUCAAUUUUUUGAUUACGCAAAAAACUCAAAUUAAAAUACUAAAUAGGGAAAAAGAAGAUUCAAGAGGCCUGUAAUAAUCAAUAUAAAAAAGAAAGACGGAUGAGCUAACUUGAUAUUUUUUGGCAUUAUCAUCACAAAGAACAGAUUACGGAUUUUUAUUUUUUGGGGGUAGAUUGAAUCUAUUGGCUAAGAAGUUUAAAUUUUCGAUUACAUAUCCGUUAAAAGAGUAUUUGUAUGUUUUUGCUUGAGCCGUAUGAGAUGAAAUUCUCAUAUACGGUUCUCAGUAGGGGGAGUUACCUUGGUUUACCUAUCUCAAUAAAGUCUAUGACUGGUUCGAAGAGCGUCUCGAGAUUCAGGCGAUUGCAGAUGAUAUAACUAGUAAAUAUGUUCCUCCUCACGUCAACAUAUUUUAUUGUCUAGGGGGGAUCACACUUACUUGUUUUUUAGUACAAGUAGCUACGGGUUUUGCUAUGACUUUUUACUAUCGACCAACUGUUACAGAGGCCUUUGCCUCUGUUCAAUACAUAAUGACUGAGGCGAACUUUGGUUGGUUAAUCCGAUCAGUUCAUCGAUGGUCAGCAAGUAUGAUGGUUCUAAUGAUGAUUUUACACGUAUUUCGUGUGUAUCUGACAGGCGGAUUUAAAAAACCUCGCGAAUUAACUUGGGUUACCGGUGUAGUUCUGGGUGUAUUGACUGCAUCUUUCGGUGUAACUGGUUAUUCCUUACCUUGGGACCAAAUUGGUUAUUGGGCAGUUAAAAUUGUGACAGGCGUACCUGAUGCCAUUCCGGUAAUAGGAUCACCCUUAGUAGAGUUAUUACGAGGAACUGCUAGUGUGGGUCAAUCCACUUUGACUCGUUUUUAUAGUUUACACACUUUUGUAUUACCUCUCCUUACUGCCGUAUUUAUGUUAAUGCACUUCUUAAUCAUACGUAAGCAANNNNNNNNNNNNNNNNNNNNNNNNNNNNNNNNNNNNNNNNNNNNNNNNNNNNNNNNNNNNNNNNNNNNNNNNNNNNNNNNNNNNNNNNNNNNNNNNNNNNCUCCCCUCUUUACGUAUGCACUCACCCAUGAGAUCCUCUACAUCUAUCAGACAGAAACACGAGAGAAAGGAGAUUAGCCACAUGAAGACACGCCGGGAGAAUCAAAGGCAAAACAAGAACAGCCGUUGGCUUCCUUCUAAUCUGUUCUUGAGCUCCAUCGGAUGAACAAGUUCAUGAAAAACCAGACGAUCUGAAGACGAAAUACGCCCACACGGACACGACCCAGAUGCUGCAGAAAGCCCCACAGAGGCCGCACGAGCAGCCGCUGUCGCUGAGCCCCACCAAGAACCGGCAGGCCCCCUCAGAGGGAUCCAAGAAGGUGACCAUCCCCAGCCCGUCAAAAUCACAGCUUUUUUCUUCCUGCUUCUGCAACUGGUAGUAGCUGUUGAAGGCGUAGGAGACGUUCCCCUCCUCUCCGAUUCCAUUGCAGGACCCUCCGUAGAGCAGGGUAGUGCAGUCGGCGGCGCUGCAGGCCCUCUCCAGAUGGGCGGCGGCGGCGCCCCCGCCGCCGCCGGAGAAGAGGAUUUCCUUGGAUGGGUCCGCCACGCACCACCUCGCCGGCAAGUAGUUGACUUUCUCAGCAUUCCUCAGCGUCCCACUUCCCAAAUUUAGGGGGUACUUUGCUUGGCCGUCAAAGGAGAAGAUCCCCCAGUGCCUCUCAAAGUUCCCCGGAAGAACGUCCUUCUGAUCUUCGUCGAGGAGGCUGAAGAGAUAAACGUCCACCUGCGGCGAGUUGGGCCUGAGAGGGGUCCCCUUGCCGCUGAGGAUGUGGUUGACCAGGCCCUGGUUGAAGGCCCUGGCGGCGGAGAGGUUGGCGGCGCCGCCACCGCCCUCGGUGGGCCAGCCGACCUCCCCGACGAUGACCGGCAUCUGCCCGUAGCCGAUCCUCCCCAGGGCGGCGACCAGGGUGUCGAAGUUGCCGUCGAAGGCGUUGGAGUAGAGGCUCUGCCCGUCGGUGACCGAGUGGGUUGACCCGGAGAAGAAGGCGUAGUCCUGGGGGAAGUCAGCGCUCUGGUAGAGGCUCAGGAAGGGGUAGAUGUUGACCACGAAGGGGGAGCCGUUGGAGGAGAGGAAGGCCGCGAGCUCCGACAUUAAGGGAGCGAGCUCCGGUCGGAAGGUCCCCUGCGAGGGGGUUGGCCCCUCGUAGGCGUCGGCGUUGCAGGGGACGACGAGCUUGACGAAGCCCGCGAGGUUCGCUCUGGACAGGGACUGCUGCAGGUUGGUCAACGCCGGGAGGACGAAGGGCUGGUACUUGCCCUGGUAGCUGGCCAGGAAGGGCUCGUUUCCGACGGCGACGUACCUGCUCAUAUCGACAGAUCAGACCAUGGGGUUCGCCGGAAUUAGCAUGAGGAGGAAAUAUAAUCAGAAUCGGUGGAUCGGAGAGGGCAGCUCGUCGAUCCCAACGCUGGAAUUGAACAGGACGAUGACGACGACGACGACGACGAUGAUGAUGAAUCAGAGAAGAGGGAGAUGAAUUUAGGGCUCGAAAGAUGGGGAAGAUGAAGAGGGGCGGCGAGACCUGAUAUCGACGCCGCCUUUGACGGUGUAUCUGGAGACAUUGUGGGCGACCCAGGAAUCUGCGGCGGCCGGAGAGGAGCCGAGCGCCGCCAGCAUCUCGUUGGGGAUCCCCACCAUCACCUCGAUGCGGCUCCCCCUCAGCGCCCUGAGAACCUGAGGAUCGGCCUCGAAGAGCUUCACCUUCCCGAUCUUGUUGUCCCUGAGGAGCUUCACCACCACGGGAGGGGCGAGCUUGUGGGAUUGCAGGGUCCCCCAGUUGACGCCCACGGCGGCGCUCGCCGUGGGGAUCGAUCGGAGGAAGGCAGCGGCGGUGGCGGCGAGGAGGAGGAGGGUAGCGGCGGGGAAAUGGGCUCCGGCCAUUCCGCCGGCGGGGUGAAGAUUGGGCGGCGCGGUGUCGGUUGUAGAGUGGGAAAGUUGUGAAACCCACCGGUGGGAGUGAGCUUUCAGUCGGUCUGUGGCGGAUGCUUAUUUGUCUUUAAGGAAAGGUCGGUCCUUUUCAAACUUGAGCGCUUGAAGCCCGGCUCCUCUCUCUCUCUCUCUCUCUCUCUCUCNNNNNNNNNNNNNNNNNNNNNNNNNNNNNNNNNNNNNNNNNNNNNNNNNNNNNNNNNNNNNNNNNNNNNNNNNNNNNNNNNNNNNNNNNNNNNNNNNNNNCUCUCUCUCUCUCUCUCUCUCUCUCUCUCUCUCUCUCUCCUCUCCUCUCUCUCUCUCUCUCUCUCUCUCUCUCUCUCUCUCUCUCUCUCUCUCUCUCUCUCACCCUCAAAAUGAACCAGCAGACUCAAUAGCUAAGUCUGAAGGCCAGCAUUAGAUUACUAUCUUGGACCAUUCCUUAAAGCUACUUGGAUCUCAAUAAUAAAUAGAGGUAAAAGCAAGUGGGACUUUGAUGAGUCCAAUGGCACGUAGUGAUAUUCCUUUAAAUCCUUACAAUGUCGUCUAAUUUAGACCCAGCUUUGAUAUCUGAGACUCAAAUUUUCUCCCAACUAUUUGAUGGGCAUUCCAUCACCAUUGUUUUCUAACCGUCCACACAAGUUUCAUUGGAUUUCUAGAAUACAAAAGUGACUCAUGAUUUUUUUGAUUUCCAAACAUUCAAGCUCCCAAUAAGGCAUGGUAAAAAUACAAUGCACAAAAUUUAUGCUCUUCUUAUCUUCUAUGCCUUUUGGCAUUCUGGUAUGGACCACAUCCUCAUCAAGAAUAUGGAAAAAUGGCAUUUGAUGAUAUAGAGGAAAUUCUUAGAAUACUUUCCUUGAAUUCUUCCUUAUAGAUCAUUGGAGCAUCCUAAAUAUUCAUAUGAUUUUCAUCAAAAAAAUAAUUUCCAAUGAAAUAUAGUUACAGUCUUUAGCUAACAUGGAUUUUACUCCUGAUCUAACGAUUCAAUACAAUGGGUGCUUUUACCAUCAUAAUUGAUACAUGUUUACGUACAUCACAGGGCAAAGAUGGUACGUGACACUUGCAAACAUUUUCGAGAGGAUCAAGAAUCAACGCACUCCUGUAAGAUACUACCCUCUCAAGUUGUUCUGCUUUGACGUCCUUUUGGCAUGCACUAAGUGAGUUAAAAAUAUCCAAGAUAAAGAAUUACAUUAAAAAUAUGCAAGCCGUCGUCGAUCCGGUUGAAAUCAGAUAGGCAAGGAGUCAUCUGGUGAUUGAAAGUGUAGAGAUGAGGGGCAAUCCCUCUCCUUGGGGUUUUGAUUUUGAGCUAAGCUCAUUGCCCAACUUGUCAGCUCAUGAGAAGGGCUUGAUUUAGUAUAAUUACCGGGAUCAGGGUAUGUAAUGUCCUCGCCCAAUUGCCAAGUUUAGAAUUAUUUUUUAAAUAAAUAAGGCUAUCACAAGGAGCCGAGGACUCUAGGGCAGAAAAGGCUGCGUCGAGGGUCGCAAUCGGCGGCAGAAACCGGACGGUGGAUUCUCUCUCCGACCCGCCGCCAUUGGGGAGCCCACUUGGCACCGUUACGUCAUAGCAGCGCUGGCGGCCCGGCGCGUCACAUGACCCACCGUACGAUUCAACGUACUGCCCACUAUUUUAUACAAAUCCGACGUGGCGAGCCGGUCCACUUUGAUUGGGCAGACGAAAGCUAAGGUCGGCGGAAGUGUCGACACGUGCUCCGUGGUCGUGUUUCCUACGUGGACUCGAGAAGCCUCUCUGGUAGACCCUCGAGAGCACGGUACUGCCUCCACCAGUCGCCCGAGCGGAAGAAUUAUCUGAGGGAUUUUAUUAUCGGGAAUACUACUUUUAAGGUAGUCCGGGGGAACACCAGACUGCGGCUCGCCCUUUCCCAGUGCUUGGACGGAGACUUCCCACCCGACGCACCAAAAGUGGUAUCUUUUUUCUAGAUGCUUUCAUGGAAGAUAUUUUUAUUGCAAUUUUGGUAGAAACCCGCUACGAAUAUUGUGUUCCCUAUAAAGGUCCUAAUUUGACAAUAUUGCGUUCCUACUUUAUUGAAGUACAAGUGCAAUCAUCUUCACGGAAGAGGGAAGGGUAUCUAUCGAGGCGGUACGCGUGACGUGGGCGAGGGUUGCAGGUCAAAUCCGGCGUACGGAGGGUUCUUAUGGCAAGGAAAAUGAGAGUGGUGGGAAAAUAUGCAUUCAAUGAGGGGUUUUCUGAAUAAGGGACGUGUAAUGGGGGUAAUUUAUAAAAUUCGAGAUGAUGGCAUCCAACGACGGAAUCUCCGGACGUAGGGGUGGGUCACGGCAAUUGCACUCGUGAACGCAAAUCCCUCUCUCUCUCUCNNNNNNNNNNNNNNNNNNNNNNNNNNNNNNNNNNNNNNNNNNNNNNNNNNNNNNNNNNNNNNNNNNNNNNNNNNNNNNNNNNNNNNNNNNNNNNNNNNNNCCCGGGUUCCUUUCCCGUCCGCCCCCCCCCCCCCCUCCUCCCCCUCCCACACCGAGCGUUGUGACACGCGUCGUUCACCCAGGAAGGUCCAGGAUAGCGCGAGGUGCCCAGACAGCGAGGCGCCCCCAUGCACGGGGUAUCUAUCCAAUCUCAUCGUUGAUGCUCCCCUGUUCUCCGGCGUUCUUCUGCUCGCAGACGGAAUGUCGGCGUGGCGCAGGGCCCCGUGUCUUCCUUCCUUGUUUUCUCAUCUUCUGAGCUUCUGCCAGGUGGGUGGAGGGGAUGGCGCCCGUCUUCUCCAGGUCUGCAUGGCGCUGUGCGUGGCAUCUCAUCCAGGUGUACGUCUAGCAUCGCCUAAGUUUGACUUUCCAAAUCAGGAAAUAUAUCAUUUUGGGAGCUGGGUAGCCUCUCGCAUAAGUCAAUCGGUCUUGGAUAAAUGGGAAUUUAAAAAAUAUUGCAACCGUGUGUGGGGAUCGUCAACGGAAAAAGACCCGAGAGUAUUUCCAUUACAUUCGAGUGAAGUGUCAGGAGCUGAAAUUAGAAUGAACGGCAAGCGUUGACCCAUUUCAUGCUGACAGAACGAUCUCAUCCAUGGGUGGGGAAUGGACAUGAAGCUCGGCUACUGCGCCCAGGUCGGUGAUCCCAUGCUGAAUGUAGAGCCAGCCGCAAGUCCGCGGUUGUUCGAGUGGGAAUCCUACCCUAAUCUAAUGAGAGGUCCAUGUUUGCAGGGCGAUCGGAGGAAGAAGGUGGGGGUCGUCGACAGUGAGUUCGUCGUCCACUUGGGAAUACAGACGUUGGGUGGAUCUUCCAGCUCGGCUCCGAGGAGGGUCGGUAUCACUCCCUCCCUCUCUCUCCCUCCCCCCCCCUCUCUGGGGACUGCGGUUUGCUGCUCCCCCUUCGCAGCUGAGACGCUUCCUCUUAGUUGCAGACAUCCGAAGCCACCGGCGCGGCCGGAACUCUGAGCAAGGUGCUCACUUCAUUCUGAUCAUGGCUUCUCUCUCUCUCUCUCGGUAUAUGUAUAUAUAUGAUCUAAUGUUUUCAUGGUUCUUGUUCGCCACAGAUUCGUGGGAUCUCGAGAGGCGACGUGAGAGUGGAGGUGAGAUUUUUGCUUUGCGAUUGGGGGAUGAUGGAGAUUAUUAUUUCGAGAGGCGCGUUUUGACGGAUCUCUGUGGCAGAGUCGGCGGCGGGCGAAGUCAGAGCUCCGGAUAUUCCAGGACCGCUGGGACGAGGCGGCGAGGGAAGACGCGGGAUGGGUUGACCCCUUCCGCCGCCCCAGCAGCAGAAGGAGACGCCAGCGCCGCCUCCAGUCGCCGCCGGAUUCUGCAGCGGAGGAAGAAGAGCUAAAAGCGGACAGGGAGACUUAAUUUUCCACAGUUUUGACCUGUCAGACCCCCCCCACCCUCUUCCUCUGUUCCUCCUACAAACUGAUUAGAUUAAAAGAGAGAAGAACGCGUUGACGAGCGGCGCUGUGAUCGUUCUCUGCCAGGCCUCCGGCGGCGGCGGCGGCGGCGCGACCUCCCGCGCCGGAAGAACAAAGAGAGGAGGGGAAUAGUGGGCCGGCCCAGUAAUAAAUGACCCUACAGUGUCAACGACGCGUUUUGGCCCAAUAGCCCAUUCCAGGCCCCCAGGAACCGUGGGCUUCCUUCGCCACGAAGGGACACGUGACAGACAGUCGUGGGGUACCCGUUUUGACCCGUUAACUUGAUCCGGGAAGGAGUGGGCGGGUCGAUCCGAAAUUUCCAACCCACCUGGUCGGUCGUCUACGCGUUACGCCGGAUUUGACCCGCCGAUGGGGAAACGGGAGCAGGGAUCGGACGGUCCGCGCUCCCGAUGAGUCUCCUGCCGCACACUCUGUGGACCUGGACCACCAUCAGGACAGUGAGGAGAGCCGGCAGGAACGGAGGUCGUGAUGGCGGGAGAGGGUACAUAAAUAAAUAGAAUAAAUACAGGAGGGGGAAUGAGUCUCGCCCUCUGCCCCAACACGCAAGAAUAAAAGCGCUCUCUCUCUCUAUUCGUCUCUUCCUCUCUCUCUCUCUAUUCNCUCUCUCUCUCUCUCUCUCUCUCUCUCUNNNNNNNNNNNNNNNNNNNNNNNNNNNNNNNNNNNNNNNNNNNNNNNNNNNNNNNNNNNNNNNNNNNNNNNNNNNNNNNNNNNNNNNNNNNNNNNNNNNNUCCAACACUUGGUUGAAUUGCUACUUUACCUUUUUAAGCUGCAAACUUGAGUUCAUCUUUCUUCAUUAGUCCUCUCUCUUAGUCUUACCCUGUUUUUUACAUUAGCACUGAUUGUUAUGUAGUGAGGUUUUCAUGUGAUGUCAUUGCAUGUUCCUUAAACAUUCAUCAAAUUGUCUCACACUCUCAUAACAUCCAAAUGGCCAAAGUUUCAUGUAUUUUCUUCUAUAUCAUCAUACCCUAGACAUUGCCCCUUAUUUUGAUAGAUAUGGGUUGCCAACUUAUCAAUAAACACCUCCCUAACUCUUGUAUCUACCAUUGUGCAUGGCUCAUUAUAAGUCUUAUGUAGUGCUCCUACCAUCAUGUAGGAGAUUCUCCUCACUAUGUGUGCACAUACAUAUGUCAUCGAAUGCCUCCUUCACUAUAUGCUUGCAAGCCCUGCUAUGCUCAUUUGUGCCACAUGCAUGUCAUAUCGUGUCACAUACACCUUCUUGCCACACUAUACAUGCCUAGAUUGUGUAUGCUUAUCACAUUGAGCGUCCAUGUCUUGUUGCACAUGCCCUUAAUUUUUCAUAAUGACAUGUUGAGUAUUGAAAGAACGAAUGGUAAUAGAUCAAGACAAUAUUUAAAUCAUAAUCAAUUGGCAACAUUACAUUAAAUUGGAGUUAUGAAGAUUUUUGAAAUUCAUAUAUUACUACAAAAGGUUUGCCCAUGGAUGCAACAACAAAGAAAAUUACAUUUAAUUGGGGUGAAGAAGUGAAAAAAUCAUUUGAAAAGCUCAAAUCUAUCAUGACUAUAAUUUCAGUAGAGGUUAACAUUUCUAGAUGCAUAAUUAGUGUACUGAUCAUAAAAAAAUAUCAUCUUGUAGCCUAUUUUAGCAUAAAUUUGUCAGCUAAAAACAGAUCAAAAUAGUUUAUAAGCGAGAGUUGAAAACAACCACCCUAAUACUGAAAAAUUUAGGCAUCGUUUGCUAAGUUGGCAUUUCAUGAUAUCAAUAUAUUUUAAAAUAUAUUAGAGCAGGAAUGUAUUACAACAGAAUAUUAAAAUAGUUAUCAAGUAACAUAUGCUAUGAUUUUGAAAUCAAAUACCAUGUAGAGACAAAAAUUAUAGUAUCAUAUAUACUCUCGAGUUGGCUAAACUUAAAGUAGGAACGAUAAUUUUAUCUUUUCUAAUUAAACCAGGGACAUGAAUGUUAAUUAAUUUUAACUUUAAUUAAACUAAAAUUAAAGAAUAAUUUGUCUUGUUUCCAAUUGGUUACUUCAUUUGAAUAUCAUUAAAUAUUUCUUACGCGCUUGUUAAAAUCCAUCCUAUAUAAUGAAUAAAUUACAACUUUCCUUAUGUGGGUUUUACUUAAUUUUUUUAAUGUCAUAUUGACUUUUUAAAAUCAAAUCCGCAACCUAAUUUUCAGUGAUACACAAGAAACGGUAUUAUCGUUACCGAUUCCAAGGGGUUUUUGAGGCACCUUCAGAGUACUGCCUUAUACGGCGGUCAAGAGUUGUAGUAAAGAAAUUUGAGUGGGGAUCUUCACUUGGUACAACAGGAAAUUUGUAGAAUCGAGUGCAAGAAAAUUCAGAGGAAUUCUUACCCAACUUUCUCGGGUGUCAACGUCGCCCUUUCAAAUCCUGACGUCCAACAUCGGCACCUUGACGUUUAGCGACUCCUUGGAAAAGUCACUAUCGUUUACGAUUUCCGGGGGAUUUCGAAACCAAGUGCAUUUAAAGUACGACGACUUUGUACCGUUCUUGCUGCCUAAGAUGUCAACUCCUACCGAGCGUGGUGCCCAAGGAAGUCCAAAACUUCGUGCCACCCACGUAACCGAACGGUAUAUAAUAAGGCCUUCCCGUCCCCGUUUAUCCGACAGCGCUCAACGAGGAAGGUCAAAAAGGCCCUCCUGAACAUUACACUCCUCUCGUCUCAGCUGCUGGCCAGUCCCCCUCCUCACUUCUGCCUCCAAUCUUCUCCCCAAUGGAGGCAGCGGCAGCAGCAGCGCCGGUGGCUCCAGAUCCACGCCUUCUCGGCCCACCGGAGAUCCGCAGAUCCGCCGCCCCGGGGCCCCCCAAGGAGGCCAANNNNNNNNNNNNNNNNNNNNNNNNNNNNNNNNNNNNNNNNNNNNNNNNNNNNNNNNNNNNNNNNNNNNNNNNNNNNNNNNNNNNNNNNNNNNNNNNNNNNCGGGGGGGGUGGGGGGGGGUGGGGGGGGAUGGCCCUUCUUUGCUCAAGCAAAAUAGUUUCUUGACGGCGGCAUGUUGGCGCACAGAGACCUGAAAGUCAACCUUAAGAGCGUCCGAUGACGGAGAAUGGCCAACAUGUCGCAAGAAAAAAAAAUCAGCUCACACUACUUGCUUUCCUGGAUCGGAAGUGGCCCCUCUAUCCUCAAGCAAAAAUAGUUUCUUGACAGCAACACAUUAGCGCACAGCGACGUGAAAGUCCACUGAUGAGCAUCCGAUAACGGAGAAUGGUCAACCUGUCGCAAGAAAACAAAAUCACUAAAGUCAACGUUAAUUUCCCAAAAAGGGCAACACCAAUACCCAUUCAAUAUGCACGCACUGGGGGGGGAGGGGGGUCCAAUGUCAGCCUCAUCCUGACGCCAUGCAUGCAUGCAGCAGAACUACAGAUAGCGGUGCAACAUCUGCAUGGCAUGCUGCUAACGCUGCAUGGAGGGCAUCCAUCAGAACCCCACAUCUGGGAGCUUUGCCAUUUGGGGAAGAAUCAUAUGAUGAGUGGGGACUUGGGUAUUUUCCAACCACUUAUUUAUCAAAAUUUAUGCAAGCCAAAGUAGCAUAAAAAUAGUGCGAUCAAGAAGCAUUGUCCUAGAUGUAAGACAAUAUGCUGCUUAUUGAGGACGAUCUAGCAAUGUUACUUAAUGAAAAAUGGUGUGUGUCAUUAGUAAUGUUUUUUCUGUGGGGUUGGCACAGCUUAUUAGGUCAACCAUUUGUGCCUCUUGCUCACUCUCCCUCGAGUGGUUGACUAUGCAUUGAACCCAUGGAUGUGAAGCACCAAAAAAAAAUUAGAUUUCAACAAUUUUUUGACUCAAAAUUACUCAAAGAAGAUUAUGCUCACAAGGCACACUUGAAACUAGUAAAUUGAUAAACUAUGAGUAUGAAGACAAAUUAUUAUUUCUUUUAUGACUAUAUGGAAUGAUGUUACACAUUUGAAAAAUAUAAAAAAACGUGCACAAAAAUAUUUAAUAAUCCACCCUAUGAAAAGGAAUUCUAGUGAGAACUGCAUGCAAUAUGGUUACAACAAGUCCAAUAAUGAUUUGUAAUCUACCAGAUUUAAAAUAACUAUCUCUAAGAAUUUUUAGUUUUAACUUUUAGAGGUACUAGCAAACAUUUUGGUAUAAGAGAUCAAUUCAAAAAAUCAGGAAGACCAAGAAUUUUGAACUCAUGUGACCUGAAAACAUGAAAACUUGUAUUGCAAGCAUUUGAAAGCCCAAAGUAACUUUGACACCAAAUUCAAGUGUUUAGGCUGAAAAAAAUAAAAAAUUAUAAUUAUAAGUUUUAACUUUUUUCACUAUUUAUUAUCUUCAGCCAAGCUUUUGAGAACUUAUCCAUUUUUUAUACAAAUUUGGAUUCAAAGCCAGAUUUUUAUUCUUCCCUGAUUUCGAAUUUCAUGCUUUGUGAAUUUAAGGCUAGAUUUUUGUUAUUCCUCAACUUUCCUACACCGCCAUUGCAGCAACACACUUGAACUUAUAGACCAUGAUCUAUCCAUAUAGCUGCACCAUAUGUUUGAAUAUUAUAUUAAUCUGUCAAGAAAAAAUCAGUUAUUUUGAAAAGCGGUCACUAAGACACGGACAAUAUCAUGUAUUUUUUUUUUAUUUGUAAAGGUAAAAUUUACUUCAAAUGUGUAAAAUUCGUACAGUCCUUGUACAUAAUUUAUCAUUUUGGGGCUAGUCUUACAAUCUAAUAGUGACAUGUGGCUAGGACCAAUCGUGCACACAGGACAUCUCUUGCAGGGUACGAGUGCUUGCCGCAUGUGAGUCUUUGAACGUUUUAUGCGUUUACGUGUUGACUGUCUCUACUUCGUGGAGGGUUCUGUUGCGUAAGCGAUGCACUUGGUCGUGGUAAAAGGUUCCGUGGCGGCUGACCCAUUAAUCUAUGGCUGGCGUGCAUCUCAAUGACGAUGCCCUUCAGUUAUUCUUAGGGUAUUCACUGGUCUCCAUCCCCAUAACUGUUGCGGAGUGUAGAUAUAGAGACAGAUAACGGACCCAGAUGCAGACUCUCCCUCUCCUCUCUCUCUCUCUCNNNNNNNNNNNNNNNNNNNNNNNNNNNNNNNNNNNNNNNNNNNNNNNNNNNNNNNNNNNNNNNNNNNNNNNNNNNNNNNNNNNNNNNNNNNNNNNNNNNNAGAGAGAGAGAGAGAGAGAGAGAGAGAGAGAGAGAGAGAGAGAGCGAGAGAGAGAGAGCAAGAGAGACAGAGAGAGAGACACACACCUGCCGGCCGAUCGCCGGAAUCAGCCAGCCGCCGAGGGAACCCGCCGCAGCCGCGACCUUCCAAGCAGAGCAACGAGACCUCGCCGGCGGAGGGCUCGGGGGAAGCGCCGGCAUCGGCCGGAGAUAUAUAAUUUCAAAUACAGUGUGCAAAAGUAGGGAAGGACAAGGAACUGGCGAAGCUUGAUGUGUAUGGCAAAGCUCCUCUCAUUGGGUUGUCUUAGAGGUUGUCAGAGAAUAAUUUGGGCACGUGUAAAGUAUACCAUGAUCAGUCAGAGUUCAAUCUAUGGGAGUUGAUUGCUGAAGGAAAUUUCGCAGUGAAGCCUUUUGAUGAAUUUUUUUAGGAUCUAGAUAAAGAAUGUGGUAAAAGAAUUUCAUGAUGAAUAAAGUGACUUACAAAGGAUUGCUUUUGCUUCGAAGAGUCAUUAAAGUCACCAAGGUUCCUAAACUCAGAUGUAAAUCUGCGAUGGCCAAGGGUUAAGUGAGUUCAUCUGCUGAUGCAGUUGCUGGGACCUCAAUUUUCUGCAAACUUGAAGAAGAAAGAUGGGUGGGUGUGCGCUAGACGUUCUGAACUGUGAGGAAUUCAAGAAGAUUCCAAGAUUCAUGCAUAUGUACCUUUAUAUAUAUAGGCAACUUCUUAUUGAUGGACGAUUGCUGUAUGCAGGCGGGCGGGUAUGAAGCAUACAUGAAAUGCAUUGUUGUGUGAUAUCUUCCAGAGCAGUGGGUCUGUUACCUGGUUUCUCUAAACUCGAUUGUGUCAUAAAUGUAAUUUUGUGAUCUGAGAACUCUCUGGAUCAGAAGACUAGUUCAUUAUGUGCUAGGCUUCCUUGGACCAUAGAUUUGAAUUGGGCUGAUAGCCAGGAGUUCAGUAAACAGCUCUUGCAUGCUUUUAUUUUAAUUUUAUCGCUGCUGCAACCUUCACCAACAUAAAAACACGAGGUUUAGGUGGUUUAUAUGAUGCAAUAUUGGUGUCAAGUUGUGAUCUAAAUGACUCACAGUGCUUUUCAGCACGGGCUUGGUACUAUGGUUGACCUGAAUCUGAGUUAAGUACAUUUUUUUCAUAGCUAAGAACUAACUCAUUUGAACUAGAUGGAAGUGUGCAUUGUCUAAAGUGUCAAAUAGCAGAAGCCAAUUAUGUACUGUUUUCCUCAUGUAAAUGAAGCAAAUAAUUCCUGGAGGAAAUUGUGUUCUUGGUUGUCUUUCAAGAUCAAGAUAGUUUCUUACUAAACUCUUGUUUGAUAUCUUAGUGUCCGCUUGCGCACAAGAAACAUCAUCGAGGGAUUUAUAUUCUCAAUGAUGGUCAAAUGAUUUAUUUCACCAGGUACUCUGCUAGGUACAGCAUUGAGGGAGGAUUUAAUGGGCUAAAACGGUGAGAAAAGUAGAAGCGGAUGACGAUGUCCUCGGUCUUUCUGGUGUUCUCUAGGAUUAAGUGCUCCCGAUUUUGAUGUUGAAGGUGUGGGGGUACAUGACUGUAUGUGGUAACUAAGGCUCUUGUUUGGGGACUGGAUGUUAACCAAAGUUCUAGGAAGUUUUGAACCUCCAAUUGCCUGUUUUGCACCCACAGGGACGAUGAUGCGCCAAGAACCCUGGAAAAUUACACAUUAGGGCCCCAAUCAAAGGACGAAAUCUGGUUUCUUCAGCUUUAGCUACGAGAUGUGUUCAAUAUCGGAUGAACUGCUGAAGCGUUUAAUGCUUUUUUUUUAAGGGGCUGAUAAGCUAAUAACCUCACUCUAAUUAGGCAUCAUGAUACCAAUCUAGCAAGCAUAGGGCAAAAGAUUGGGGGGCGGGGCGGACAUUUGCGACAGGCCUUUGAAAUUAUCUUGAAAUUAUGGAUAUCGUCCAGAAAGAUGCAUGAAUCUGGGUCUAGUUAGGGAUAAAUGACUAUAGGGACCAAAUCUUGACUACUGUAGAUUAAAAGGAUUUUACGGUGCUAUGCAUCAUGUAAUAUGCAGCCAAUCCAUUCUUCUUGUAAUCCCAAUUUGNNNNNNNNNNNNNNNNNNNNNNNNNNNNNNNNNNNNNNNNNNNNNNNNNNNNNNNNNNNNNNNNNNNNNNNNNNNNNNNNNNNNNNNNNNNNNNNNNNNNGGGGGGGGGCGGCUAUUACUUCAGAAGCUCGACUUGCCCCGCCGCCUUCCGGCAACGCCCGGAUAUGACGACAUGGGCUGUCGCAACCCAUGCGAGGGCCAAGUGGGAAGGAUGGGUAUCGGGGGGCGAUGACCCGAUAACAGUGAGUGAGCUUCUUCGUUCCAGCUGCCGCCGCGAGCCGUCUCCCUCGUCCGCCGAUUUAUCAGGGGACAUGACAGGCGACACAUGUGAACAGGGAGCUGGAUUCCGGAGAAAAAAUGGGGCGGAGAUGUCGUCGUCGUCUCCUGCUUUUCCUUGGCGAAGUAAAAGAUUUGAAAAAGUGAAAUUUUCAGGACGAGCGGGUCUCGUCGAACUCUACAACAGGCCGGAGCUGCCGGGGGGCCGGUCGGUGCCGUCCCAGGCGUCUUGGCGGUCGGUGGCCCUCUCUAAGCUGCCACCGAUGGAGGUGAUCAGAGCCGAAAGGCCGCCGGCGGCGGCGCCGCCGGGUCCCCUUCCCAACCCUAGAAAGUCCAGCGUCGUCGGCUUCGGCACGAAGAACGGCGGCGGGCCCACCAUGAAACUCGGCAUCCCGCCGCCUCCGCCGCCGUAGGGGAGCCCGAGAGCCAGCGCCGGCGACAAUCCCGCCGGCUCCUCCGGCAGGUGGUGCUGCUGCCCUCGCCAUGGCUGGUAGCUAUCCCGGGGAUUCUCGUGGUGUUGUUGCUGACUUGUGGAGCUGGAACUCGGCGCUAGUCCGAAGCCUCUGAGCAGCGACGAGUUGCUGGCCGUGGCCCCCAUUUGCGCCGCCUUCUGCAGCAAUGCGGUGGCGGACAUGUGGGGAGAAGGCGGCGGCGGGGCCAGAGGCCGCCGAUCAAGGGGGCCCGAGAAGAGCGGUGAUCCGCCGCUGUGCGAGAGGCAGAGUGAAAUGGGCUCUGCGGAAGAGGACGACGGGCCAGCCGAAGAGAGCGGCGGCGCCGCCCCGUUGUCGUUCCUGGACAUGGCGGCGCCCAUCAAAUCAGAGAACGAGGUACUUUGGGUUGCUCUGGCCGCCGCCGAGGCCAGCAGGCUGGCGAAGGGACUGGCGCUCGGCCCCCCGGCGCUGUUGCCGCUGCCGCUGCCAUUCCCUGCGGCCACAACCGGCAACCGAGGCAGACUCUGUUGCAUGAUCGCUGCGCGCUUUGCCGACUCCGGCUCUGUAAAGACGAAAGAUCACCAUCAGCGCCAAGAAAGGGCGGGAGAUCGGGGAAAAGAUUAGAGCUUUAUGCAACCCUUUUGUGGGGGGGGGGGGAUGCGUAGUGAUGACCAUCUCAUAAUCUUCACAGGAUUCCCGGGAUUAAAGCGUGCCGGAUCGCCACUCCAAUCUCGAUUAGAGAGACGGAAACCCAAUCGGCCGGGAAAAAAAAAAUCGGAAAGCGAAAGACCUUUAGAACGAUCCCAUCCCGCCGCCAUAAAGAAAAUCUUCCUCCAGCUGAAAAAGAUCCAGCCGUGGAUGGCCGAAGAACACACCUCGCCACGGAAUAUUCAAACAUAUGAACAGACAAAGCCCGCAGCGUAUUCUAGGAACGGCAAUCGUCUCAAUGACGAUUCUUCCGCAUCUAACUCAGUUCUAUUGCGUUUUCGAGAUGACGAUCGAUCCAACGAACACAACGAAAAAUCGAUCCUCCCGCUUCAGGGCCAUGCCAAGCCAAAGCCAAAGCCAAAGCUAAAGCCAAGCCGAGGAAGAAGACGGCAGCACGAGAAGAGACAAAAGGGGGAACAGAACCUCGGCCUCUGAACUGACCUUGCUGCGGCUGCUCGGCCGACGGAGGCAACGGCGGAGCAGGCAGAACUGUAUUGAUCACAGCGGAAGACGGGGAGGACGUCGAGGACGUCACCGUCUUCAGCUUUUCCUCUUCCUCAGCCGGCCCGAGUCUCGCCGCCGGCGCCGCCUCCCCGCCGGCUACCUGCGCUUUUGCGCUCUCCUCCGCCAGCGCAUCGCAGAACGCCCUGUGAGUGAUGAAGCUAUCCCUCCUGCGCCCGAUCGAGAGAGAGAGAGAGAGAGAGAGAGAGAGAGAGAGAGAGAGAGUAGUUAGACGACGGAGGACGGACGNNNNNNNNNNNNNNNNNNNNNNNNNNNNNNNNNNNNNNNNNNNNNNNNNNNNNNNNNNNNNNNNNNNNNNNNNNNNNNNNNNNNNNNNNNNNNNNNNNNNCUCUCUCUCUCUCUCUCUCUCUCUCUCUCUCUCUCUCUCUCUCUCUCUCUCUCUCUCUCUCUCUCUGUCUCCCUCCCUCCCUCCACGUGAUAUACGUAGAUAUAGCCGGCGAGAAUAUAUGCAUAUUCAUCAAUUGUAGCAGAAUGUCGGUAGGCUAGGGGCCCGUGUGGUCCAGUGGAAAGAGUGGGAAGACGCUUUUCGAUGAUGAUGAUGACGAUGAACACGAUAAUCUAGGGCGGAGCAUGUCAUCGUUCAUGUGCAGCUUUUCUCGGUUCUUUGUCUGUUUAAGAAUGUAAAACAGACAAACCUGUUUGAUUCCUCUAUUUCCUCAGGAUCUCAAGUACUACUACUCGAAAAGGAAUUCCCCAGUGGAUCCCAUCGUCCAGAAGCCAUCGCCGCCCCUGAGCAGACAAACCCUGCAACUCGGCACGGAUUCUACGGUCUAUCCGCCAAAUGCACUGAACGGCGGUACGUCCUACCAUCACUACCAGUGCCCCGCUCCCCACCCCACACUCUACAGCAUCUGGGUAAAUGAUGCUUUUGCUCCCUCUACAAUGGCGAUACCAUGUCCGCUCUGGUCACUCCUCUGGGUGAUUGGAUUUGUAAGUGUUGCUGAUUCCCAUUUGUUCAUCUGUCGACCCUAAUUCACCGGACCCACCCUCAUCUAGCGGGAAAGGCCUUGCAAGUGACUUCGUUUGUUCAUCUGUUUCAGAGAUGUUCGAAGUGGGGGGGUUUUACGAGAUCGACCACGAGCAGCUUCUGCCCAAAUCCCCGAUUCACCUGAAAGAUGUCCGCGUCGUCAAGGUUUGUACGUGAGACAUCGCCAGAUGGGUAGAGAUUUAAUGAGGCAAUUUAAUUCCUAGAGUUAAUCCGUUUCUCUGAGAACAUUUCUUCGUUGGGAUCGGCCGCAGGUCAGCGAGAAGACGGGAUUAAAUGUGACUGUCAGUUUCCCCAGCGCAUUCUCGCUGCGCAAGUACUUUGGAGAAGAGAAGAUUCCCGUUGGAGGAGAGGCGACGGCGCCACUGCAGCACCCGGAGCUGGACGAGCAGUUCGUGAUGGGCUUCGACCGUGCCAGCAAGAUACUCCGCCGACUGAUUCCCUCCGCGGAGGUGGAGGGAGAGGUGCAUCUGGAACGCUUCUGGCUAGUGGCUCCCAAGGAGGAGGAUGAACGUGAAUCCAUCCCGCUCACCGCUGUAGCAGACGAGCAGGAGGAGGACGAAGGUGGGAUAAUCCCGGCGGAGUCGUGCCUCCUCAUCCUGAAGCGUUCUGGGGCGGUCGGCUGGGGCGUGCGGCGCAAGAUCAAGUACAUUGGUCGUCACCGGGAGGAGGGCUCGUCGCUGGGGGCUGUUCUCAAGGAAGAAGAGAUGGUCGCGCAGUGUGGGGCCGUUGGGAGCAAGAGGAUACGCGAGAUUGCCCGGAAGAAGAAGAGAAAGAAGGAAGAGAAGAGCUUCAAGAAGGCCAAACUGGACAGGGGAAGGGCAAGCGACCGCAAGGUCUUCAAGGCUCCCAAGGACCGGUGGUCCUCAGAAAGGUUAGCGACCAGAGAUCUUCUACCGUUUCCUCACCCAUCCCCCCUCGCCCUGAUUAGAGGUCAAAGAAGACAAUCCGCGGGGGAGGUGCAGUGGACUGACCGCCUUCUCUCCUUCGGAGGUGCAGAUACCGAGCGGCGGAGCUGAAGCUGUUGGAGAUCAUGAAAGAGAAGGGGGCUGUACUUGGGAACCCCAUACUGCGCCCGGAGCUGAGGGAGGAAGCGAGGAAGCAUAUCGGGGACACGGGCCUGCUCGAUCAUCUCCUGAAACACAUGGCGGGCAAGGUGGUGUCGGAGGGCAAGGAGCGUUUCCGCAGGCGCCACAACCCGGAGGGUGCGAUGGAGUAUUGGCUCGAGGCUGCCGAACUGCAGGAAUUGCGGAGGACCGCUGGGGUGAUGGACCCCUUCUGGCUGCCCCCCCCCAGGAUGGAAGCCCGGGGACACCAUCUCUCCCUACGGCGUCGUGUGCGGGAACGAGGUCGAGCUUUUGAAGGGAGAACUUGACGAUCUCAGAAGGUCUCUCUCUCCCUCUCUCCNNNNNNNNNNNNNNNNNNNNNNNNNNNNNNNNNNNNNNNNNNNNNNNNNNNNNNNNNNNNNNNNNNNNNNNNNNNNNNNNNNNNNNNNNNNNNNNNNNNNCCUUUUUCUCAUCUCUCAUUGGAGCAUUGGGUAUUUUAUUUACAGCAAUGACGUGAAUGCAUGAAGGGGCAGUUGACAUCGCCUUAGAUUUUUCUUGCGUUGGUUAGGUGAUUCUUAUUCUCUUCUACAUUCAUUCACGUCCAAAUAUGUUUUCACAAACACUUUAGUCUCUACAGUAAGUUCUUAGCCUCUACUAUCAAAAACAUCGCCAAUCUUUCCGCUGUUCUCUGGCAACUGUUUACCUGCAUGUGUUGGAGGUGGGAGGCAUUAUCUGAGAUGUGAAACUGGGGAGGCCAGACGCAGCAAGGACAGUGAGCGAGUCCGACGCCAACAGAGACCUUCCACCUCCCACUGCUCACUUUAACGCCCUCAUCUCUAGUUUCCAUGCCAAAGGUCUCUCAACUCAAGACCUCGUUGCACACUCGCGUAUGCGUUCACUGCCUUGAGGGCCCCCCCCCCCCCCCCCAAACUAUUUUGGGACGAGUAAUAUGAAAUGACAUGCAAGAAUAAACCCUAUCCGCCUCUGUUGUCAGGUCCUCACACCGUCGGGCAGGCACGAUGCCCCUCCUUCCGGGAAGGCAUGUACAAGGAAACCAACAUCAACAUCACCUUCGAGAGGCAGAGGUGAUCGAACUGCGGGAAGACCUCAGGCGGCAACAACCAGGUUCCGGUGAACCUGUAGACCCCAACGCCAUUGAUAACAACGAUUUCAAGACCUGAUCGAGAAGAAGGGCCUCCUCCACUCCGACCAGGAUCCGCUCAAUGGUGGCUCCAUCAACGCGCUGAUCUAGGACUAACGCAAAAACCCAGGUACCUUCGCAUCCAACUUGUCGGGAAGAUGAGUGUGCUCUCUUUCUCUUUCUUGCACAGCGGAAGACCGAUGCAAACACACCACGAGAGAGAGAGAGAGCGACGAUUACAAAGAAAACACUAGAUCUACGUGGUUCGGAGAAACUUCCUACGUCCACGGUCGUGCAACGAUUUGUUACUUCAGAUCACCUUACGGGUCUCGGUAACAACUCACAUAGCACACUUUCGCACGCCCUGAUUGCUGAAGAGCUUAUUAGCGCCCACAAAAGCCCAAUAGGAGAUCAUUCUCCGCAAAUCCAGCUUUUUUUGGGAUGCCGCUAAGAUAAAGAUAGGCGACAUCAACCUUGUCACGGGCUUUAGAACAGAGAUCAGAAAGAACUGCGGGAGGAUCAACUAAUAGUUUUUGCCCACUGGUUCUGUCCUAUCGAGGAGCUCUAGUUCAGCAGAGGAUAGUUCAACACCUCGUUUUCUUUGCUCAUUUUUUGCGCGAUUGGAGGUCUUUCUGAAGUACGUUGUCAGGCAACACGAUCUUCAUUUCACGGUUGACAUCAGUUGGUAUAUUGUUCUUUAUCAAGCGUUGUGUUCUCAAUUUUUGUUCCCAAAAAUGUUUCCCCCUCACGAGACUACUUCGGCACGGAAGGUGAAAGGUCGUGAUAAACGGCACGUCGGUCAAUUUUUAAAAAAGGAAAGUGGUCGGCUAUGGGUCAAUGCUAAAGGACCACCUAUAUCGGCAGAUUUUCAGGGUCGACAGAGAUUCGAGAUUCUACCCGAACAAACAGUUUUGGACCACUACUGGAACCCUUACCAGUGUAUCAAUGAAGACGCGGCCGUAUCCUUCGCAGAAUGAACAUCGGGGAACACCUAGUCUAUUAGCCCAGGCCAGGCCACGCUUGGGCCCAAUUCAACGACGGAACUAGAGAAAGGUAACUCCGACGGAUUCCAUUUAGAAAUCCUGAAAUGAAAGCAUCACAUGCGAGUGACUAGUUGUCAACGGGAAACACCAUUCUUGAUCAUUUUUAUGGAAUUGACUUAGGGUAAUGUGGCAUGCGUAAAGGCUACAGUGGCGUCAAUGAGCCGAGUGAGUCUAGAUUUCGUAUGGUCGUGGCCUGAUUUGUAUCUGGAGUGGGCGUCAAAAUUAAGCCCUCGAGGAUGAAUGGGCUGAUGCCUGGUUAGUAUAAAUCCGGGGUUUUAUAGAGCAAAUUUUGGAAUCAUUUUUCUUACGAAAUGUCUACCGCGUGAUCUCUCUCUCUCUCUNNNNNNNNNNNNNNNNNNNNNNNNNNNNNNNNNNNNNNNNNNNNNNNNNNNNNNNNNNNNNNNNNNNNNNNNNNNNNNNNNNNNNNNNNNNNNNNNNNNNAUUGACUUGUGAUCAAAUCAUUAUAUCUCUCACCACGUCUUGUGACAGAGUGUUCGAUUCUCUCAUUGUGAUGACUAAUUACUCAUUUCUUGAAAAGGAUCAUCUGAGUGUUGUUGCAUUGAUGUAUGAGUUACACCACUGUUUGUGUCAGCUCCAUAUCCAAAUGCUCUAGCGCUGCAAUUGCAAUGGGGAGAAAGAGAAAAAUCAUCAGAGAAAAGGCUUGGAAUAAAAAAAAAUCAGAAAUGUCGCAUUAAAAUAGGGAAUAAGGGGAGGCUGUUUUGUCAUAGUCCAUAGUGUCACUGUGAGAGUUGAUUCGACAACACCCUCAACUCACCGUAUUUACACCUACCAAUGAAGGUCCGCAAAUAAUCAGGAUCCUUUAGGGUUCUUAUAACCCUUAACAAGUUAAUAUCUACCCUUCUUGUUAUUUUCCCUUCUUUCUAUAGAAGUACAUUUAACUAGAUAUUGUGGUAGAGAGUGGGGCUAACAAAAUCAUGAUAGAAACUCCCUCACAAUCUUGUAGCAACCAAAUGGAACAUUUAUCACUCAAUAUCCUUUUUCAUGUACCAGCACAACAAAAAAAUCUGACGUUAAAAUACCCUUAAGACUCUGAAUAUUCCACAUUAUUAUUGCCUCUUAAAACUAAAACCUAAUCCAAAUCGUCACUUGGACUACAAAUCUUACAGACAUUUGGACAAAUGGUAAUACGUUUGAUCCUAUGUUUUGAGGGUUUUCUUGAAAUAGUUUGAACCAGGAAACAACAGAUCAGAUUGGGACAACCAAGUAGGAUCAUAGUUGAUUGAUCCUAAACAAGGCUCUUUAAAACUUUUUAAACAAUUUCUUUAAAAUAUUUUUUUAUUUCUAAACGCAACAACCCAAAUCUAGUUUUAUUAAUAUUCCAUCAAUCUUUCACAAAAAUCUUGAAAAAAUUCCUUUUUAAUGUUAUCAUAAGUGAUAUAAACCUUGUCCGACUGAAAGCGUUGGACCAAUUUCAAGUAAUAACCUUGUUGUAAAACAUUUUUUGGGCAGAUCUCAGAGCAAGAUGAUGUGCAGUUGUUUCAAGAAUUCUAUCAUUACACCAAUAUAUCAUUGGUAAUUAAAAUGUUUUUAAUCCUCCAUCUCAUACUAUGAGUCAAGAGGAUACUGGAAACCGUCAGCAUUACCAUCACUAUAACUAUUAAAGGCCGUACAGAAUUCGCCUUUAGAUUUUAUGCCACUUGCAACCCAAUAAAGUUUACUUUGAACAAGUGUAAACUUUCAAAAGGGGGCCAUUUUUUUACAAAAUUAUUCAACCCAGAAGCAGAAACGGUCCAAAGGCGGAACUAAAUAACCCUGCACCCAGCUGGGGUGUGUCAGGGGGUGAGUUGCUGCUGGACGAAGGCCUUCAGAUUCCGAUCGGACGAGCCGCCUUCCUUCACCGCCUCGCGGGCCUUCCUCCCCCAGGCCUCAGCGCUCCGGCGCACGGCCUCCCCGCGCUGCCCCUCGCCCAUGACCAGGUCGAGGCACCGCCGCAGCUCGGCCGCGUCCGGCAGACCCUCGCCGCUCGGCUCGGCGCGUACGCCGGCCCCCCACACCAUCUCUGCCAAGCGGGCGUUGGCCGGCUGGUCCGUCCACGUCGGCAGCCCCACAAUGGGCACGCCGCAGGUGAGGCUCUCCAGCGUGGAGUUCCACCCGCAGUGCGUCACGAAGCAGCCCACCGCGCGGUGGGAGAGCACCUCCACCUGCGAGCACCACUCCACCACCAUCCCCUGCGAGCUCUCCUUCACCCCCUCCCGGGCACCCCGCGCCACCCACAGGUACGGCCACCGGCUGUCCUCCAGCGCGCGGGAGAUCUCCUCCCGCUGCCGCACUGGCAGCACCGUGUAGCUCCCGAAGGAGACGUACACAACCGAGCGGUCCGGCUGGGCAUCCAGCCACGUCGUGUAGCUCUCCCUGGGCGCCGGCAGGAAGAGGUCGCCGCCGAAGGAGGUCUCCUCCCCGUCGAGGCCGUCGGCGUAGGCCGACGGCAGGACCGGCCCUAUGGGGAGGAGCUCCACCGGCUCCAGCACCUGCAGAUAAUCCNNNNNNNNNNNNNNNNNNNNNNNNNNNNNNNNNNNNNNNNNNNNNNNNNNNNNNNNNNNNNNNNNNNNNNNNNNNNNNNNNNNNNNNNNNNNNNNNNNNNCUCUCUCUCUCUCUCUCUCUCUCUCUCUCUCUCUCUCCAACCCCACGUUGAAGAGAUCGGGAGAAACACCCCCCCCCCCCCCCCCCCACCAAAGCUUUCACGAAUUGACUGGAAUUAUAACGGAUAAAUUUCAAGGGUAUGCGACUGCUAUCAGAGAAGGGAAGGAAAUACGCAGAGCCCAAAAGUCCACCCACCCACGCACCCGGCUCAUUCAGGCUUGUUCCUGGCAACGGACAUAUUCUUCCGGUGCGCCCCCCAUUCCCUGCGGCUUUUCUUGCAGGCUUUUCUUCGAGCACUUGGCCGGCGCUACUAGUUAAAGAGAAGCGAGUUCUUGCUUCACUCUCCCAUGGAGGUGGGAGAGCUCAAAGUAUUGAUCUCAGAGUCUUUCCACGGAAUCUCUUCACAUGAACUCCGCCAAAAAGCUUCCAACUCCGCUGGAAAACGCUCGAAUUCCUCAGAAUCACGAGGAAGAGGCUCUUCUUCUUCCCUCUGAGGAAACAAAUUGAAGGGGAGGAGCCACAGGUGCCUGCUCCGUUUGGCAAGAGGGGACCUCCUCGGAAUCCCAGCGGGGAGAAGGCUGUAAAAAUGCCUCUCAGGAGCCUUCGGGAGCUAAUACCGCCAGCCUGUGGGCUGGCAAGGUUGUCCUUCCUCUUACACAGUUGGAAUGCGGACCCAAUUGAGCCCGAGUCAGGCGCCCAUUGGUCCACAGCCUGGCAACGACUCUGGCUCACGCCCACGGACUUGGGCUCGGUGGGCCAGAGCCCGCGGGGUGGGGGUGUGCGCCCCGAGGCCUGGCCGCCACCAGCUGGGUCUGCAGUAGUGUGGAUCUAAUCUGAACUCAACACGGCUGGAUGAUGACCGACGACCGUCCCGAGAUCACAAAGAUGGGAACUUUAUGCCACAUAGGCUGUAAAAAAUCACAUUUUCACGAGACCCCAUCUCCCAUCUCCAUCACUCGCCACCGCUGCCACCGCCGCCCACAACAGUGGUGGAGAAACAGGACGUCGAAUAGUUCGCAGGAAAUUAAAGAAGGGCGACGGCCGCCCGCCGUCGGAGCUUCCAUUCUUCUCCUCUGAGAAUGAGAGAGAGAGAGAGAGAGAGAGAGAGAGAGAGAGAGAGAGAGAGAGAGAGAGUGGAAAGGAGGAGAAAAAUCGAAGAAAUCCGUCCCCCCAGCUUCGAGAUUCUCAGGCGGUGAGGCAAUUACCGUUCGAAAAUAUUCAAGAAGACUUUGAUUCUUCUGGGGGAGGGGGUUCAGAGGUUGCAUUCUAAGCAGUUGCAGGAUUUGGGAGUGAAGGAGCAGAAGCCGAAGGGCCUGUUGGGGAUGUUGCAGUUGAUGGCGUAGCAGCAAGGGGAGGGUAGGCAGAUGCCCCGUGGUCCGCCGCAGCAGGUGCACAGCGCGCAUAUCUGGAAGCUCCCCAGUCGCCGCCGGGUCUCCUCCAGCAAAAGCGCCGCCGCCCCCGGUGCCGCCGCCGCCGGCUUCAUCACCCACGCCUCUUUCUCCGCCGCCGCCUCCGCCACCUGUUCCAAGAAGAAUCGCACCCAGAGGAGGGCGAAAUUUAGAGGGGGCCAGAAAGAAGAAAAGAAGAAAGGGAAGGAUGGGGGGCAGGCAGGCGGCGAAACCCACAUGAGCCGAGCACGAAACCCCGAAGACGGAAGCCGCUGCGAGCACGAGGAGGAGGAGGAGGAGGUGAGACAGAACGCCUCCAGAAGGCAUCUCCGCUCCGGCGCCCGCGGCGGCCCAGAGAAGGGGCGCUCGACUGGUAGAGGAAGAAGGCGGAGUGAGGUGGCACAGCCACUGGCUGUUGCUCCGAGUAGUUAGGGAAGGGAGGAGAGGGGGAGGUCUCGUAUUAAUGGUUAAUUAUGGAGGCGCUUCGGAAAGGGUAAGGGGAGAACGCAGAGGAGGAAGAAACGGGGGCCCUGAGUGGUGAGAAAAAAAGGAAAGAGGUGGUAGUCUGGGAGGAGGUGUCGGCCCACAGCAGCGGUCGCCCCAGCCGGGCCAACUAACACGUGAAGUGCUGACCGAUGGAGAAAGAUAGAGAGAGAGAGAGAGAGAGAGAGANNNNNNNNNNNNNNNNNNNNNNNNNNNNNNNNNNNNNNNNNNNNNNNNNNNNNNNNNNNNNNNNNNNNNNNNNNNNNNNNNNNNNNNNNNNNNNNNNNNNAUUGUCUUUCUUUUGGAUCUGUUCCUUUCAAUGCACUGAAAAAGUCUUCUCAGAAAAGCUCGAGCGCAUUUAUCCGUCAUUUGAAUUUUAUCACGCGUGAGAUGAAAAUAAAAUCCCUCUAAUUCUGUUUGCUGAAUUGGUAGAUCAGUGAGCCUGCACUUCUAUUGGAAUGUCUUCUGCUCGUCCCCAUGCGAAAUUCUUUCUUUUAUCUCACUCAAUUUUUUGCAUGCCCUCAUGAAUUUCAUAUCGAAAUCAACAUCCUAAUCAAUUGGCCCCUCUUAAUUUUUUCGGUUUACUCAUGGCUCGGAAAGGAAACGAUCCGCUUGCUUAUCCACGGUUACCCUUCGUUGACCUGAUUUUCCAUCCAUAAAUAGCUUGAUCCGCGACUGUGCUCAUCUUCUGUUAACACAAAUCUGCGGAUGCUUCAUCCAGAUUUCUCUGGGUUACUUUCUCUAUGACCUGGGGAUGAUUCUUCGGCUAUUCCCGGAUUUAGGCGGCGUUGAGUAUGUAAGUACAGCCGAUUCGACUCCUUGACGAACGACCAGCAUCAUCCCUUUCUGAUUUAUUCAUGCCGCAAUUUCUUGCGCAGGUUGUCCACCACGGGCUCUCCUUGUAUUCUUUUUCUCUCGCCCUCCUGAGCGGCCAGGGGCACCUCUACAUCCUCAUGGUCCUCUUCUCUGAGAUCACCACCCCGUUUGUGAACCUAAGAUGGUGAGCCCCAGCUUCCAGCGCCCUAAUAUCAGCUGACCGCCAUUUUUUUUUUUCUUCACUACGCAAGCAAUAGCCGGGCUUCUUCUGUAGGUAUCUGGACCUGGCCGGGAUGAAAAGCUCCAAGCUUUACCUGUGGAACGGCAUUGCGUUGACUCUUGGAUGGCUGGUGAGUCAGACCCAUCAAACAUUUCCAACUUGAGAAAAUUUCAGACGAAGAUCGAGAGCUCCCUCGGUGACCUGAUCGCCCGCUGUUCGCCGACGCAGCUUGCGAGGAUCGUCCUGUUCUUCUUUCUCUUUGGCCACAUGUACCUCCAUUUCGAUCAGGUAAUCUCGCUCGUUCUGUGAAAAUUAUCUCGCGCGCAUUUGAAUUUCCUUCCCUCCUCUGCGCGGGCCGUGUUGAUGAUCCUCUGCUGGCCUCUUCUCCAGGUGAAGACGAUGUUCACUCUAGGGUUCUACAGCCUCCUCGCCGUGCCCUCCACGUUGGCAGUGAUGAACGUCGUCUGGUUCUGCAAGAUCCUCCGCGGCCUGAAGAAGGCUCUCUCCAGAAAGACCCACGCGCAGUGAUCCAACGGCUACCCCCGUCUCUCUCUCUCUCGCUCUUCAGCACGUGCGGUCACUGCCCCCGCACUCUAUUCUUGGACAGAAGAAAAUCCAGAGGCCUAUUGCCUGCCGCACGUGCAGAGCCUUCGAUCUCCCCCUCGCCCCGCCGCCGAAAUCUGCGAGGAGAGAGAAAGAGAGGAGGAAGUCCACGCAUUUCUCCAUGAGGGGAGGUGGGCAAGGUGGCGCCUUUACUCUUUUGGGUAAUCAACACAUCUCAUAUGCCUUUUGAUCAUGCGACAGUCGGAGACCGCAGCCGCCUUCCUCGUUAGGAAGCGACGGAGGUGGGGGUGGGCGGCUAGUUUUUACUCUUCGGAUUUUCCCGCAUAUUCGUGCCGUCGGCAAGGUGGGACGGCGGUAUUUUGGUCAAUGCCGCCCACCUCAUCAAAACCCUGGAAAAGUCAAAGGGAAGGGGCGGGCGCGUGUCGGCGCAUCCUCGGCCCGCCGCCGGAUUUGGCCUGCUUCCCUCAUCCGGGUAGUGUGAGAAAUCCUUCGGGUGAUGGAAAGCUCCGAACUUUGGCAGAUGGCGAAUGGCUGCAUGCUUUCCAGUAAACGCGAAGAUUUCGAGCCCGUAGGUGGAUGAGGACGCAGCGUUCCUCACAAUUUCGGAAAUAACAUUCUGGAGAGCGACUCACAGCGACCGGUCUAAUCUUGCCCGCUGAAAUCCCUCGCCGCCCCCCCUUCCCCUCUACGAUCUCCUGCCCCUCCAACCCUUUCUCUCUCUAACCCUCUCUCUCUCUCUCUCUCUCUCNNNNNNNNNNNNNNNNNNNNNNNNNNNNNNNNNNNNNNNNNNNNNNNNNNNNNNNNNNNNNNNNNNNNNNNNNNNNNNNNNNNNNNNNNNNNNNNNNNNNGAGAGAGAGAGAGAGUAUUUAUACUAAUAUUUAAUGGACCGACCAUAAUGGCCCACUAAAGACAAGACCAACAUGACCCACUAAACAAUAAAAACAAAUAGCUUAAUAAAGACAAAAUAAGACUUCUUUUGUAUUAAAUAUUAACAGCGGGAAGAGGGACGAAUAGGAAGAAGGGAGGAGGGAGGUGACGUGGAAAACCAAAGGAAUUUAUUUUUAAUAUAUAUUUAACCGCUGAUCAAAUCGAAAAUAUGAAGUGGGGCCCACAUUCUCUAAAUCCACGUGACAGAUUAUCAGAUCACCCACGUCGUAGAAAACCAUUCCUCUCCACGAGUUAUUAAAAUUCAAUAAAAGUGAAGUGCAGUGUAAUAAUGAAAUGCAUAAUUUAUUUUAAAAAAAUUUAAUUAGAGAGGUUAAUAUGUCACAUUUGAGCUGAAAUCGAUAGGAAGAUUAACAGUUGAGGGAGCAAAAGGCAAUUUUAUGUUGUGUUGACUAGUUUUGAUAGUAAUAAGACCUUAUUCAUUAUAAUUAUCAGCUUAUAUUUCAUUUAUGAAAAUUUGUGUUAUAAAUUAACAAAUAAGUCUAUUUUUUAAAAAAUGAAGCUAAUAUCAUAAUGGCUGAUAUUGAAUUUUACAGGUUGACAUAAUUCUUUUUCUACAACUUUUAAAGCAGUAAAAUAAUUCUUAAAUAAAUAAUAAUUUUACAACAUCUAGUUUUUUUAGAGAAUCAAAGGCACAUUAACUCCACAAUGAUGAGAGCCCCCAAUAAUUCCAAAAGUUUAAUAUUUCUCAUCGAGAACAUGGCAUUUUUUUAAGCUAUAUAUUUUAUAAUGAAUCCAACAAAUGUGGAUUUUGAUUGUUAGUUUUGUUUCUAUCGGAUCAUAUUUUAAAAAAAUCUUGUGUUAAAUUGUGCCCUUUUGAUUUUUAGACUGAUUUAAAUUAUUUAAUAAGAUACUAUCAGACAAAGUAUUCAACUUAAACUUUUGAGUUCCUAUAAAACAAAAAUCAAAGAUGGAUCAUCUAGUUGAAAACAUGAAGGACUAUUUUCCUUUAAUCCUUUGUGCAAUUCUGGUGUCAUAGUCUAUUUCGUUUUAUGUACAUCUUUUUUCUUGGAUUAUAGUAAAGGACAAGACAAAAAAAUGUUUGCAACAUAAUAGUUUUCUCAUCUAUUACCAUUGCUUUUACUCUUCAUAUUUUUUACCAAAUAAUGAAGGCAUUCAUCAGCACCUAUGUAUCAAUAGUAGUACAAUAAUAUAUUUUUACUUUAAAUUAAUUUUAUUAUUUUGAUGCAUUUUUUCAAUAUAUUAUGUUCAUAUUAGACAAUAAAGCACGAAUAAACUCAAUAUACAGAGGAAUUUAACAUGAAUUCAACACUGAGAUUAGAAAAUCCUAUAUUUUGCUUAAUGUUCAGAAGAUAAUUCCUAACGAGGAAAAAAUUACCUUGAAUAUAAAGAUAUAAAGAAAAAGCAUGAAAAUUUUUUAAGUAAAUGCUAGUAGUUACAUGGUUUGGGUCCGGUCCAUAACGAUCAUUGAUUAUCUUGAGAUAAUGGAAAUCCAUUGGCUGCUUUCACGGGCUAUCCUGGUGAAGGAAACCCUAUGAACAGCUACAACACUGAGAUGAGCACCACUACCACCAAGACCAUAGCGAUGAUGACGAACACCCAACAACACUACAACAAGAUGAUGCAAACGAUUAGCUAAAUGGGGAGGGAAGGAAGAAAAAAAGGAAAUAAAAAGAUACCCAUCUCUCCAUUUUAGUCUAAAAAUCAAGAAAAUGUCUACUCACAUUCUAGAAAUGGGUAUGUCCAUUUAGAGGUCUUAUUGGUUAAUCUUGCCCAUUUUCAAUGACCCUUUUGAAUCAGACUCCACACAUCGUCACUGACUGAAGAAAAUAGUUAUCUGAUUCUGGUUCCUACAUUUUAAUAGAUCCCCAAGUUGAAUUCUCCUCAACUAGUUCCAAGGGCCAGUGUCAAAAAGGUGGACUGGCAUGGGCUGGGGAAAUCAUAGCAAUAAAACCUGGGCCAGACCACUUUGAAGCUGAGAGGAGAGAGAGAGAAGAGAGAGNNNNNNNNNNNNNNNNNNNNNNNNNNNNNNNNNNNNNNNNNNNNNNNNNNNNNNNNNNNNNNNNNNNNNNNNNNNNNNNNNNNNNNNNNNNNNNNNNNNNAGAGAGAGAGAGAGAGGGUGGCGAAAUGGGGAUGGUGUGCCCAUGUGGGGGGGGGGUGAGCUUGUCCAUUUCCCUUCACCGUUUUUCACUUUUUCUAGAUCCACGUCAGGGCCCACCAGAGCCCAUUAUUGAAGUGGCCCAAACCUGUACGUGGCCCAUUACUUGGACCACAGCCCUCCAGCAACAAGAGUCCAACGCUCGUCAGGAAGAAGAUCCCCCCCCCCGAUCCGCGCACGUGCGUGCGGCGGUAUCGUGUCGCCUCCCCACUGGCCCGUCACCGCCCGCGCCAAAUGGGCUUCAGAAGGCCCAUUUGAAGACCGCCGCGAGUGAAACGUGCCGCAUGGCCAUUGGUCGCGAGCCCUCGGGGAAUCAAUUGGGCCGCGAAGUGGGUGGGCCCAUAUCAAAAGCCCAUUCCCCCCGCAUGUAGUGAGGAGUGGCAUAUAUGUAAUUGAUAGUAUAAUUAUGGGUCUUUAGUACUAUGUGGUCCACCCUUUUCAAAACGGCCUGCUUUCGUCCCAGAAAGGCAAAAACCGCAACGGUACAAAUUAGAGCUCCACGACUCUUGCUGCCGCUCCGCAUCCCCUCCUCUUCCUCGUCCUCUCUCCCUUUCCCCGGUGGUUCCCCCCCCCCCUCCCCACCCUCCACCGUUCUCCACCGCACGGCGCCAUGAACAACCUCGGGGAGGACCAUCCGUGUGGGCUCUUCUGCUACUUCCACCCGAGGGAGACGGUGAUCGGCGUCUGCGCCGCCUGCUUGAAGGAGAAGCUCCUCGUUCUGGCCUCCAAGCAGGGCCGGCUGUCGCCGGCGGGGAGGGGGCACGGGGCCUUCAGCCGAAUCCCCAGCCUUAAGCCCUCCGUCGCCAUGCCGAAGGUCUUCGCCCUGGGUUCCUCCCUCCUCCACCGCCUCGAGUCCCGGCACCAGAAGCCCGGCGAGGACUCCGACGGCGGUUCCAUCGCCAGCGCCGACGGUAACGUCCGCUCGCAGAACAAGGGGCGGAAUAUACUUACUCAUUUAUUCUACAUUCAUCCCCAGUCUCAGCCUAGGAGAUUGGAGAGUUUCUCCGGUGGAGAGAUAAUCGAGACAUGAUAUUAGGUUAUUCUGGGUUUGGUGAAUCUUCGAUCGGAGAGGAAAAUCAGGACGCGCUCGGGUGGUAGAUUAUGGAAUUAUAGAUCUGUUUAGAGUGAUGUUUAUCGCUGGUUUUGAUCCGGCUGAGAAUAGAGUAUGAUAGAUCCGCCGGUCUGUGGGAAGAGAGGGUGUAACUUUACUGGGACUCUCCAUGCAGACUCGUUCAUAUCCAUCAAGUUCGAGGACAACAGGGAGGUCUCCUGGGACAAGAUGGUGGCGGCCGGCGACCGAUGGGGCGGACAGGCCACGCCGGCGGUGGGGCUCGACGUGCCGCGGGGCGCCGUCCGGUGGAGGAAGCGGGUGCGGCGGCUGCUUCAUCUCGUGCGGUGGAAGCGGCUGGCCAUGGCGGGCGGCGGUGCGUGCCACCGCGCAGGGCGAGCCGGCGGAGUGGGCGGCGCCGAGAGGAUGGGUUGGAUACGGAGCCUGACGAGGAGGACGACCACAGAAUAAAGGGCGCGUUUUGGAGGGAGGGAGCAAGGAAGAAGAUGGAGGAGUCUGCAUGGGACCGCCAUCUAGAUACCCCGUUUGUGAUGACCGAGCUGUUCGACCAGUCGACUGACGGAAGGACUUUCUCUCACUUCUAAAGCCGUGCACCAUCUCUCUCUCUCUCUCUCUCUCUCUGUAUCUCUCCGGAUCGCAGUGGGGGGGGGGGGACGACACCCACAUGGGGGGGCUUGGAAAAGGGGGUGCAGAAUGGGGGAGGGUGGGUGCCGUCUCCAGCCUGUAGGUGGAACAUCGCCAUCCACAUCGAGCGGGGCCGCCGCCGCCGAACCCUUACCUCACCGCCGGCGGAGGUCGACCAUGGCGGCACGGACCUAGACCUCCCGGACUUGCCCAGUCCCUCAGUCGAACCGGAUUCUCGUCGACCCACCUCAAAGCACAGGAAGACUCGCGGUUUCUUAAAGAAGAUAAAAAUCUCCAAAUCGUGUCUUCNNNNNNNNNNNNNNNNNNNNNNNNNNNNNNNNNNNNNNNNNNNNNNNNNNNNNNNNNNNNNNNNNNNNNNNNNNNNNNNNNNNNNNNNNNNNNNNNNNNNGAACUCUGGAGUUAAGUGAAAAAGGUGUGCUUGCACCUCCCCUCAUCUUGAAAAAGGUCCACUUGCACCUCAUUCACCGUGGCCCUACCAUGCCUUGAAAAUGGUGCUUGCAUCACCUAGCCCCUAUAAUACACCCACACUACCCAGCCAUUGAUGGUGCAUUGAUUGGUGACGUGAAUUAAUCGUUCUAUAAUAAAUCACAUAAAUUUAAAAUUUUUAUAAAACUAGAAAGGACUAAUUCUUGGAAUUUUAAAUGUUUAUUAGAGUGAAUAAAUCAAUUAUAAAUCGAUAAAAGAUUCCAAAAAUAGUGAGAAAUUUUCAAGUCGAUCAUAGGGAUGUAAUAUAAUAUCAGGUAAUAUUUCAGAAUUUUUUCGAAGGAAUAUGAUUUUUUAUGAAUUUUUUAACUAAAUGAUAAAUAUAAUCUAUUUAAUAAAUGCGAAAAGGAAAUAAGGCAAUGAUGUCAGGUGACGUCAGCGCCUGAAGAACACGAAUCGGGCGAAAAUAGAGUUCCGACCUACAAUUCUUUCAUAAGCGAUUACUGUGAAAUUAAUAGAUCAAAUUUAGUUCUAUAAAAGCCCGAAGAAUCAUAACUCAAGUACGAAAAAAUUUGGAUGUUGAAAUCGUGUCAAAUAUUACUAAUUUAAGUGAAAAUAAAGUUUAAAAUAGGAAAAAUAGAGUUCCAACUUCACGGCGGCAAUUGCUAGAAUUCUACAUGUUUAGAAAAGAAAUUGUGCAAUGUCCACGGCCUCGAAGGCUCUCCUUAGACAAAGACGAUGUGGGUGAUCUCUAGAACUUCUUUCGAAGCCCAGAAAUCGGUGGAAUGGAUCGCCAAAUUGUUUCCGGCAGCUGUCACCCGGCGGAACGGAAAAACGGCGACUUGCGGCCCUCCGGCGACUGUCACUCGACGGAGGUGUGCUGGAUGGAGGUGGGGCGCGUCUCAAAGGCUUCGUCCUUAAGUCAGCGCAGCGAGAGGAGGCCCUUUAUCGCAUCUGAUACGCUCUCAGGAGGUGGCGACUCGUCUCCCGGCGGAUCGUCCUCUUCCCGGUGAUGGCUUGUUCGUCGAUCAAGCGGAGAUGAUUUCUUCGUUGAGUUCGCGAUGUUUUGUCCAAAAUCCUACACCAAUUUCGGCCACAAUGCUCCGCGAAUCGCAUUGACUAAGUUUUUGCUGAAUUUUUGGUGAUUUUUGCAGCUUAAUCGCUCUCCGGAAAUCGCGAUUUCUUUGUUGGUUGUCCGCCUGUGAGAGAGAGAAAGAGGGAGAGAUGAAAUAAGUACUAAAAUGCCCUCAAUCUAUGAUGUCAUAAGGAUCAUUUUAUAUCGGUCAUUGAGGGGCAUUUAUGUCAUUUAUAAAAUAUGCGGGAAAAAGUAAGGUGCGUGGUUUAGUCCCACAUCGGUUUUCUGGGCGAGUUUCACGCGCAUAUAUUACGGGCGAUUCUUUACCCAUCAAUAGGUACAAAUCACCUGUGUGUGUACGAACACUCCUUGCCCCACACUCGGCUGGCCACGGGUGAUGUGGAAGGGGAGUGACGCACACAUCAGCUGCUUGAGCGCCUAGCUCGCGGUCCGCUUUGCCAGCCGCUUGAGCCUCGAGCUCGUGGUCUGGUCCUUAGCCGCUCGAGCCUAGAGCUUGCAGUCCUUAGCCGCCCAGCGGCUCUGCCCGACUAGGCCUCUGACCCGCUAGCGGGCUCGGUUGGCCAGCGGAUAUUUUUACUUUUUCCAUAAAUAUAUUUUUUUUCAUUUCUCUCAACAAAAUAAAAUUAUAAAAUCAUAUAAUUAAGCAAAAAUUCAUAUUAAUCAACUAGAAACUACUUCUCACGAUUUAACACAAAAAUAAGUAUAUUUAUCAUGAGUUAAGACUAAAAACAUCAUUGUUGGAAUUAAUCGUAUCUGAUAUGCUCUCAAGAGGUGGCAACUUGUCUUCUGGCAGAUCGUCCUUCAUGAUAAUGAAGGCUUUGCAUCUUUCUUAUUAAGCAAAUAUUUUAAUACUGCAUGGUCAGUAUAAAUGAUGAUUUUAGGUCCUAAAAUAUAUGAUCUAAAUCUUUCUAAUGAAAAUACUACNNNNNNNNNNNNNNNNNNNNNNNNNNNNNNNNNNNNNNNNNNNNNNNNNNNNNNNNNNNNNNNNNNNNNNNNNNNNNNNNNNNNNNNNNNNNNNNNNNNNCUCUCUCUCUCUCUCUCUCUCUCUCUCUUCCCAUGGGUACUUCUAUAUUGCAUGUAUGUGUGAGUGGGGGAAUGUACUACGACUAAGAACAAUGACGAAGCCAUAUGAGACCCGCAAGGAAGAUAAGAAGUCAACCGACCCAGUCUUCUAUCCUACGAAAGAAGGCCAUAGUUUAUCAACUAUUAAAAGCCAAGUUUCUCAUUCUUCGAUAAAAACCCAUUUCAUGUCACAGAUAGAGAGAGAGAGAGAGAGAGAGAGAGAGAGAGAGAGAUUCUCCAUGUCUGAUUAAGCUUUAAUGGCCCACGGUGACAGACAGAGAAACAUGCCUGGUUUCCUGAAGGUGGGUACGCAGCGUACAGCAGCCACUCUUCAUCGAUGAGGAGGGAAGCAUGAUUGCGGGUUGAAGAUACGAAAAUGCCACCGGGCCAGCGCAUGGGAGCGCAGGGAUCUGACCAACCACGGGGGAACAACAGAGAGAACGAGUGGCGCUUCUGUCAACUUGUCCAAUAAUCGUCUUCGUCACCCGCCCUCCCCCGCCUCGAAGCCUGAUUGGGACACUCGGAAGUGGAGGAACCGGCGCCACCAUAAAGCCACCGGCUCUGCGCCCAUGGAUCCAGCUUGGAAGGGAAAUCUAGGCGGAGAGAGAAGAUGAGAGAGAGGCCACGUUAAGUUUCUACCGGGUUUCAGGGCCUCCUUCGCCUACGUACCGAGGGAAAUUAUCCCUCAUAGAGAGACCAGAGCUCCUCUCCAAUGGCCGCACGAGUUGCAGAGGAGCCAGAGCCCCGGAUGAGCGAGGUAAGGCAGCCUCUUCCCCUUCUUCAUCCCAGCUGUGAUGGCCUGCGCGCUUCCGCAUCAGCCAAUGCAACUCCUCUACGAUACAGAGAUCAUGGACGGAUAGACCAGGCCGGGGGUUCCCUCAGUGGCCUCUGAUUGAAUCUGAUAGAACGCCGCUUUAAAUGACUAACUUGGUCUUUAUGGAACCGAAAUCUCAUCUACCCUGUUGUGGAAAACCUCGGAAGAAACUCAAAAACAUUAGCGAUUAAUUGAUCAUGGUUUUUAAUCUUUCAGAGCUCAUCAGAAGCGGCCUUGGAACGUGACCGAAGCACAGCAAAUUCAGCUCAAGAACUGGCCCACUCGAUGCUUGAAGUGAAACCUUCAGAGCUGACACGCCUGACUGAAUCGGGACCGGCCGCCGCCGAACCAGCUGCUGGAGCUGAUCUUUGUGAUGUGCCGGCCUCUGAACCUCCGCCGGCACCAGAAGAGCAUGCUUCUGUAUCUACCCCCCCGCAGAAUGAAGAUGCUGAAGAAGAGAGAGACCGCGAAGCCUCUUCAGAAGAGCCCACUGAAGAGCGGAGCACAGAUGAUCAGGAAGCCCCACCUACGAUCCAUUCCGGGACUGGCGAGCGGCUCAUUCCCGAGGCUCCAAAGCCAGAACAAGAACACUCAGAUGAAGAUCCAAGACUAGGCCAUGACACCAAGGUUCCUGAAGCUAUAGAAGCCGCCGGUGAUGAUCGGGCUUCAGGGAAGGAAGCUCUCGACGGCGGCGAGGCCUCCCUGCAUCCCGAAAGCUUGCUUCUCAGGGAGAACCAAGACACCGCCAUCUCACUAACCGAUGAUACUCCAAAAGAAGAAGCUACAGCCGACGAUUCUUCUCAGCAGUCUGCAGAAGGCCACCGCCUACAGAACGAACCAGAGCAUGACGAUCCUGCUCCACCUAUCCACGAGACAGUGGAAGAAGACCAGCUUCACAAAGCGCUGGAUCCAACUCACCUGGACUCCCAGGUCGACGACCACCACAACCCAGUGGAGUCGGAGCACUACGUUGAAGAAAGCUCAAAGGCCAGGGAUGCCGGCUCUCCAGCAUCCCAGUCCAGCGAACAGGAGGAAGACGGACCAUCAACGACACAACCUCCAGAUGCCCAAGACACAAAGGAACCUCCAAAGUCAAACGACCCAGGUCCUGACCGUACGGAGGCCCUUGAAGAUGCCCAUGUGGAGGUCGCCCCACAGAGCCAGGAACGAGAAGGUGAGGACCUUGACAGUAACCUGGCANNNNNNNNNNNNNNNNNNNNNNNNNNNNNNNNNNNNNNNNNNNNNNNNNNNNNNNNNNNNNNNNNNNNNNNNNNNNNNNNNNNNNNNNNNNNNNNNNNNNCUCUCUCUCUCUCUCUCUCUCGCUCUCUCUCUCUCUCUCUCUCUUUCCACCUCCCUUGCAAGGAUUCUAUCGAUGAAUUGGCCCAAGAUCCUUAAUUUUCUCUAUUAUUUCCAGGAAAUUGUAGAGAAGGAGGCGCCUGGGCUGAUGAAAGAGGCGGAGAAAUUUCUGGUUCUGAGCAACAUUGAUCGACUCUGGAAGGAGCAUCUGCAAGCGAUCAAAUUCGUACAACAAGCUGUCAGCCUGCGGGGAUACGCACAGAGGGAUCCCCUUAUUGAAUACAAGCUCGAAGGUUAUAAUCUCUUCCUGGAAAUGAUGGCCCAGAUCAGGAGAAAUGUGAUAUACUCCAUCUACCAGGUUUGCUCCUUAUUUUGAAUUUUUUUCUUUGCCCAAUAUCAGGGAUGUUUAUUUCUAAUUUAUUUAGCUUGGGAGAAAAUAAAAAAAAUCUCCCCUGGGUCUUUUCUAUUUCAUCUACCACCAUGAUUCCAUUUGAUCCUGAUUUUCUUUUUCCUGUGAGGCAUUUCGAGAGUCAUUUAUUUCCAAUUUAUUUCUCUUGAGAAAAUAAAUGAAUAAACUCUCUCCACUAGGUAUUUUUUAUUUUGUUCUUUUCAACCUUAUAAUGAGGAGAGCUUUGAUAAAUACUUAUUCGAAUUCAUUUUUUUCGGAAUAUAAUUAAAAUAGCUUCGUCAGAUAUUUUCCGCUCUUUUUUAUUCCUGCUUAUCAUGAGACUUAGAGGAUCCUUUAUUCCUAUUUUAUUCAUGUUUAGUAAAAAUCUCUACCGAAGUUUUUCAGUUCUCUUCUUUCCCAAUUUAUUCACAUUCCAAUAUAUUUUAUUUUUUAAGAAUCUGAAUAAUAAACAUCUACUGAAUCUUAUCAGUUUUAUUCUUUCCUAAAGAUACGAAGAGAGCUUUGAGAACCAUUUCCCAAUUAACUUAAUUUUUUUUACUAGAGAUUGACAAAAUAUCUUCUCCGAGUCUUUUUAAUUUCCUGUCUUUUGCCGAAUGUCAAGACUCUGAGAUCACUUUUUUUCCUAUCGAUUUAUUUUUUUUACAGACACUAAUAUUUCUCCGCCGGAUAUUUCCUUUAUCAUUCUUUCCCAACACAUCAGAAUAACCUUGCCAUCCCCCCGCCUCCAAUAUAUUAAGAACGCACAAGCCAUCAGGAUGAGAGCUUUGGGAGUGUAUUUCCAUAUUCAUUUAUUUCUUCCGCAAAAAUAAUACUUUUAAUCUCUAAAUAUGGAAACUUCGCCGAUGGGUCCUCCCUCCAGUUCAAACCCGUGAUGGUCCAGAAUCAGCCGCAGCAGGACGACAACUCCCGACGAAAAGGGUCGAAGAGGAAGGGGAGCAACAGCGGCGCCGGCGCCGUGGAGGCGGCUCAAGCUUCUUCAUAGGGCCCCCCUUUUUUUCGUUUUCUUUUUAUUUUUCUAAUUCCAGGGUGGAAACUCCGGAAGAUCAUCGAAGGAUGUAUUUUUCGUUCAUGUAUUUAAUUUUGUUUAUUUUAAUUUUUUGGAUGCCUAAAUGAGGAGAAUGUGGGGUUAAUUUUCCUCAAUUUUGUCUUUAUUUUUAGUUUCUCUUGUUGAAAUUUCCAUCCUUUAGAUCGAAGGAUGGAUUCGUGGGCUGUGGUUGGUGAAGCCAGGGCUGGAAUAUAAUGGGCUCUAAGUUGACCCGGUCAUCGUGUGGGCCGAGCCUGAGAUUGGAUAGGGUCUGACUCUGACGUUUGGGGUUCAUUUUCCUUCCACGUGGCUACCCUUCAUGUCUUUGCUCUUAUCUCUCUCUUUCCCUCCCUCUCUUUCUCUUCUCUACAUUGACAAUUCAAAAUUUAAAAUUCACUUAUUGGGUUUCUCUCCCUCCCCCCCCUCUCUCUCUCUCUCUCUCUCUUACAUUAUUAGGGGUUUUGGGUCCAAUUUGGCAUGCGCUUUUACACAGAGAAUUCAUAAUUAUAAAAUUCACUUUUGGUUCGUCUCUCUCUCUCUCUCUCUCUUAUAUAGUUAUUAUGGGUUUUGGGUCUAGUUUGGGCAACCACUUUACAGAGAAUUCAUAAUGGAUAAAAUUCNNNNNNNNNNNNNNNNNNNNNNNNNNNNNNNNNNNNNNNNNNNNNNNNNNNNNNNNNNNNNNNNNNNNNNNNNNNNNNNNNNNNNNNNNNNNNNNNNNNNAUGAUGACAUACCUUUUCAAAAUCAUAUAUCAAUAACAGAAACUAGUACUUAGGUUGCUUAAACUAGAUUGUAUAUAUCUGAAUCCUAUUAUUUCAAUCAAAGAUGGGUGAUCAUUCAAUGCCACUCAAAUAAGACUAACCAUAUAUAUUCAAUAAAAUACAUAAAUUAAGUACUAUUCCUUCAAAGUACGUUUAAUAAAUUCUCGAGAAAUUAUUUAGCCACAGUAUAUUGAAUCAUAUAUGGACACUUUCAUAUUUAGCUUGAUAUCAACCAUAUCAGAGAACUGAAAUAAUUUAAUCCUUUAUUUAGCCUUGGAAAGAGUGUCAUAAUUGAAAUAUCAAACAUUUUAUGUUCUUAUAGCCACUUGACUAUUUUUAGUCUUAGAGAGAAUUUUUAGUUUAUUAUCAUUUAUUUUCGUAUAAUCCACAAGAUUAACAUUUCUCAAGCCACUCAAAUAUUCACUAGAAUGGCCACCUAAAUUUUACCUAAUGCAUGCAACAUGAAAAGCUUGAUCUUGAGCAUUAUAAAAUUAUGUAUUUGUAUAUUUUGUUGAUCCCAAAUUCUUCUCCUAUAAUAAGCCUUUUUACUAUACUUAUUUUUCUAUUUUAUCAUAUCUCCUUAAUCAAAACUAUUUUAUUCUCUUGUACUUUAGUACUGACAUUUAGACUUUGUAAACUUCAAAACAUCCUAUUCUUACAACUAUUUGUGCCAAAACUUGAAUUGAAGCUUCUGAAUUCCACAAUUGGAUCGAAUCAUUAUUUUAAAUUUACCAUUUAUCUAAAUAAGUACUGAUCCACUAGUUUCAAAAUGCUCUCUAUUAAAACAUAACUAUCUUACCAUUUUUCUGAUUUUCUUGUUGUCUUGAUGUAGAAGAUAUUUAAUGGAAUCUAUCUAGAACUACUUAAAACUGAUAACUACUACAUAUUAAGGUUAGUUCAUCGUUUAAUUCAUUAUACAGAAAUUUACAUGAUAUUUGUGACUUUACCAUAGUUAGCUAAUAAUCUUUUACCACCAAGCAUUCCUAAGGUAGAGAAUUACUUAAUCUCAAAUAUUAACACCUUAAAUUUGACUAUUUAUAACACAAUGAAAAGAAUGAUAUGCAUAAAUGAAUGUGUAGAAUGUUUGACACAUACAACGAACACAUGCAAAAGUGUCAAUCUUACGUAUUCACUUAUCAGAAAAUUUUAAUUCAUAAUUUAUUGAAACAAUAGACAUCAAGAAGUUAAAAAUUAUUAUAGUUGAUUAAUAGAAAGGAUGAAUCAGGAAUACAAAAGUGAAUCAUGAAAAUUUUCAUCAUUAGCUCAAUAAGAGAAAUGGAUGAUCUCACUGACACUUAAAAAGAGAAAGAUCAGAAAGAUCAGACUACGUUGAUGUGCAACUAUUCUCUAAAUUUGGGAACAAAUAGUUUUUGAAAAAACCUGAAAGUUUCUUACCUUAGUGAACGAUAGUUUGGAAGAUAAAAUGAAAUAUUUUGAGUGGAGAAAGGGCAAGUCAUGAAUAGUUACAGGAAAAGGUGAAAAAAGUGUGUAACCAAUUAGACUUCAAUAACAUGUAGAUAAAACUUUAUCAACCACAAGACAUAAGCAUUAUCUCAUGACAUCAUUAAAUUGCAAAUUGAAUUCAAAAAUCUGAGGGAAAAAGGAAAUGGUGACCAAGCAAAGGAGAAAGAGCAUAAGUAAAAAAAGAGAAGGAAACAUAGGUUUUUUUGAAAUUCAAGAGAAUCAAAAGAAAUUAGCGGAACAACCUGGUACCCAACAGGUAUACAUGAAUAAUGAGGGCAUAUGAUAAUACCAAAAAACUUAGGGAAAUCAAACCCUAAGCCCUGGUGAAUAAACUCAUUAUAUUCCCGUGCACAAAAAUAAUAAGACUUGAGAGAUCACUACUUCCAAGCACAUUCAUUUUAUCUGUCUAAAAGAGCAUAGAAAAUUGCUAACAAAUAUUCAAAAAUAUAUUAGUAUAUAUUAAAGAACAUUUGGAGUAUUAUGUGUCACAUUACUGAAAGUGUGAUCCUCGUACUCAUGACACUUUUCAAACAACAUGAUCAAUGAAANNNNNNNNNNNNNNNNNNNNNNNNNNNNNNNNNNNNNNNNNNNNNNNNNNNNNNNNNNNNNNNNNNNNNNNNNNNNNNNNNNNNNNNNNNNNNNNNNNNNAAGACUAUCCAUCGAUCUACUUAACCUAUACUUGUGUUCUAACUUCUCAUUAGAGAACAUCGAAUUGAACCACCAUUUUUCCAUAGAGUCUUCCCGCCCCUUAUUUGAAAAUAUAAUAGAUGAAUAGUCAUUCGAUAAAUAAUUAUUUUACUAUUGGAUUUCGGAUUUCGUAUCGGAAUUAAGCAUAUGGAUUCAGCCGUUUUGUUUGGACCGUUAACUAAUAUGAAUAAGUAUUUUAUUUCCUCACAUACUUAGGGACAAGGCUAGUUAUUGGCUAUCUAUAUUAGAUAGAGAAUUGACUAAUUGGAAAGACAUAAAAUAAACUUUUCUCCGAAAAUUUUACCCCUUAGGAAAAACUCAAAACAUGAGAAAAAUUUCAUAUAUAGAGUUUUGCUCAAAAGGUCAAGAGAGAUUUUACAUGAGACAUGGAAAAAUUAAGAGAUUUACUUAGAAAAUACCCUCAUCAUGUUAUACCUAAGUGGUGGCUCAAUAGAUUUUUUUAUGAUGAAUUACUAGAACAACAUAAGAAUAUUGUUGAGUCUAUAUGUGGAGAAGCAUUUAUGGAGAAGACCCCUAAUGAGAUUUACAGCCUUUAUAAGAAUUUAAGUGAAAAUUCGAGAGAUCAAACCUCUUUUGAGUUAUAUGACAAGGAUAAGAGGAGAUAAAUGUAUGAAUUCUAACAUCAAGAUGAUUCUAAUUUAAGAAAUAAGGUUAAUAAGAUUAAUAAAAAAUUAGAGAAGAUUAAUUUAUUUAUUGACAAUUUUAAGAAGUUUCAUAAUCCUCAAUUUAAUUCAAAUAAUUCAUAUUCUAUGUAUGGUGAAAAUGAUAAAUCCAAAUUUCACUAUUACAAUUUAGAUCAAUCAUUUCAACCUAUGCAAGAACAAGUGUAAGUAGUCCACAAUUUUAAUUUAAAUAGAGAGCUUUUUUCUAAUUCCUAUAAUCAUAAUGGGAGGAAUAAUUUUUCAUAGAGAGACCCAAAUAAUAUUCAAAAUCUAGAAGCACUUAGGCCCAAUUUAAAUUCUAAAUUUUGUCGAAAAUUGAAAAACAUAUUUCAGAAACUUUAGCCCCCUUAUACUCAACUUGAUGCUAUGAAAAUGAUGCAGCAAAUGAGUCAAAUGAUGUAACAAACUAUGAAUCAAAUGAUGUUAUAGCAAAAACAAAUUAUAGAGGCUCUUUGGAAUAUGAGAGAAGAGAGACAACUACUUAGUAAGCCCAUAGAAAAUCUAAAAAAAUGCCCAACUAUAGGAUUUUAGCAAGGGGAGUUGUCUAACUAUUUUCUGUCGUUGCUAAGAAAAUUCAGCAAAUUUAAAAUUUAUAAAUUCUGGAAAAUAAGGGAAUUCUUAAUAGAGAAAUAUUUUUUAGUGGAUUUUCCAGGUCGAUCACAAGGAAGAUGAAGUACUAUUAAUUAUUUAUGAUUUUUAAUUGAUAUAUUAUUUUUUUAAAUUAUUUUCUGGCCAAAUUAUAACGAAAUAAGCUAAAAUUACGAAUUUGGGGGUUAUUGACGUCAGCUGACGUCAGCAUACGAAGAACAGCCCCAAACUCGCUGUCAAUAAAAAUAUGUCGACACGUAAAUGAAUCAAACCAAAGCCACAAUGAUGGAAAUAAGAGAUUAAUAGAAAAGGGCUAUUGUUUGAAACAUGAUGAAGGAUCGAAAGAUGUAUUAUUGGAAGCUAAAAAUAGUAAAAAUGAACAGAAAUUAAAGUUUACGGAAGAACUGGGCGGCGCAGUCGUCGAUCGGAUUUCCGCCCAAAUACGAUCGAUUUGUGCAGGCUCGGUGCACCGAUUGGUUUCCUACACCUUCUCCAAUCGAUGGUUGACAAUCCCAGCAAUUGUCACUUGCUGAAAUCGAGCAGCGAAGGUGAUUCAACUCCGAGCAUGCUGCGGCGUCCGGAGAAGGAUCCUCGGAAGAAAUUCUUCACCGUUUGUAUCGGGUGAAGAAUGGGGAAGAUUUAUGGAAGAAAUUCAGCCUCUGUAGCAGUUGAAUGAGGGGGAAAUUUGGACGAAAUCCAUCUUUUGUAUCGGAUGGACGGAUUAGGCAAAAUCCGGNNNNNNNNNNNNNNNNNNNNNNNNNNNNNNNNNNNNNNNNNNNNNNNNNNNNNNNNNNNNNNNNNNNNNNNNNNNNNNNNNNNNNNNNNNNNNNNNNNNNAGAACUCAAGGAUCAAGCUAAGGUCUAGAAUUAGAAUGAGAUUAGGGUUUCCAUCAUUGUCCAUAGUCUUUUUCCUUCCUCCAAGCCAUCCCAAGCUCAACAACCCUCCAAUUUUAGGACUAGAUGUAUAAGACUAAACAAUGAGAAAUCUGUUAUCAUCCCUAAUCUCCCCCUCUCUAAACAAUCUUUGACUCUAGCAUACUAGUCAAUCAAUCUGUGUGAUGCUGAAUUUAAUCUUGAUGGAACCAUAUUCUCACAAGAGAUUACCAACAACAUGUUCUUCUUCUUCUUUCAAUCCUCAAUUUUGAGGGUGAUAUGUCAUAAUUUUUUGUCAAUCCUAUGGUCUUGAGGGCAAUCUAUAUUUGUCUAGCUAUUUAAUUUCUACAAUCCUAUAUUCAUCCCCAAGACAAAGUAGAUUGGAAGCAUUUUUUUUCAUAAAAUUCAUAGCAUAUUUAUCAUCAACAUCACUUUAUCAAAUAUCUACUUUAUAAAUUCUCAAAAAGGGAACAUUAGUUAGAUAUAUUUUUUCAUCCUAAGUUUCAAGGCUUCUUUCAUUAUGUUCUAACUUAUAGAUCACUCAAUGAAAUCUUCAAGUCUAUCUAUUGAGAUGAUCCAUCAAAUCCAUAUUUCUUGCACUAUUCAGAUUAUCCAAGUUCAAUCCUAGAUCAUGAAAAUUAGCUUUAAAUAAUAAUACUUCAUAAAUUAGUGUUACAAUUAUUGAUGUUAUUCAUUCUCUAUAAAGAGCAAAGUUGGAUUUAUUGAUGGUCUACUAUCACAGCCAACUAAUGAAGAUCUAUUCUUUUAGCAUGGAUUUUAGCAUAAUAAUGUAAUUAUCUUUGAAUUUUAAGUACAAUUUCUCAGGAAAUAUCAGGCAACAUUGUUUUUUCUAAUUCUACACAUAAUAUUGAUCAAAAUUUAGAGCAAUAAUAAUGCUCAAUUACAUCAUGAAAUGAUUCAUCAUUGUCAAUGUCAAGAUUAUGCUAUUAUAUAUCACACCAAAUUUAAAACUCUUUGGGAAGAUUUAAAUGACUUUUUUCCAUCAUUUUUUUUUAAAAAAUUGUGUGGAAGUAUGAAAAAACUUAGUAAUUACCUUUAAAUAUAGUAUGUGAUGUUUUUAUUGAUGGGAUUGAAUGAUUUAAUAGCUCAAUUUUGAGCUUAAUUACUACUUCUUGCUUAUUUUUUUCAAUUGUCUCUUAAAAGGAAUUUUCAAAGAUAUAUUAACAUUCAAUUAAUCUUUGCUAGUGACACCUCUAAUGCUAUGCUCUUUGUUACCAAAUCUGCAACUCCUAAUAAUUUUAGAAAUUUUUGAAAAUAUCAAAAUUAUACAAAAGAACAUUGUCAUUACUUUCAUGAUGAUUUAUGUCUACUAUUGACAAGUUCCUUCGUUAUUUAUUAUAUUAUAGAUCAAAGUCAAUUUUUUAAAAUCAUUAGUAAAUCAAGUUUUUUAAAAUAUUUAUUUGAGUGCACUAGGUGAUUGAUAACUUGUAAAAAUUAUAUGUUAAUGUGUUAUUAAAUCAGGGAGAAUAAUGCAUAUUUGAGAAUUAUUUCACAAGUUAUCAUAUUAAUUAUUUUACUUGUCAUUUUGAUGAACCUCCUUAAAUCUUGAUUUAAAAUAAUAUUUUAUGAAUAAAAAGAAAAUUGAUGAAAUUUAUUUCAUAUGUUAAAGCUUAAUUUUCAUUUACUUUAUUUUGAAAUAAAAUCCUAUUGUGUUAGAUUUUUAUGAUUAACUGAAAUAUAUUUUCUAUAAUUUUUUCAAAAUUUUUAGUAUUAAAAUAAAUAUAAUAAAUGUUAUAAUAAAAGAUAAAAUAGGCGUACCAUUAGCCGCCCGGAGGCACGUCACUUAAUAGGCCUAAUGCGAGCUGGAGGCCACACCGCAUCUAGGAGUGGGCCCAAUGGGGCACACUGACUCACAACCCGUGUAAAUCGGGUCGCAAAUUCGAAUCAUGGGUUGAGGUCGAAUAGAUCACCUCUAAGGCCUACUAGGAGCCGGAUCUCAAUCCGGAUCAUCCCUGAGAGCUGGUAGUCAAGUCCUGUCAUCCCUAUAGGAGGUGNNNNNNNNNNNNNNNNNNNNNNNNNNNNNNNNNNNNNNNNNNNNNNNNNNNNNNNNNNNNNNNNNNNNNNNNNNNNNNNNNNNNNNNNNNNNNNNNNNNNCCUACUCUCUCUCUCUCUUCUCUCUCUCUCUCUCUCUCUCUCUCUCUCCCCCCCCCUCUCUCUCCCUCCCUCCCUCCCUUUCUCUCUAUGGGUUUGAAGGCUAUUAAGAAAGCCGAUGUAAUGAGAUCAUCCCAACUCAGGUUGAUGCAAUAUUAGGCUUAAAAUUAACCAUUUAUUGGCCGAUAAAGUUAGGCCAGGGCCAGGUCUCAUUGACUGCAGGCCAGGGCGCCACCAGCCAGUGCAGCAACCAAUUUAUCCGCCAAUGUUUUUUUGAAGUUGGACUGGACCAAAAGCCAAUUGUGGCGAAUGGGCCAGGCCCAAGUCCCCUCAAAUGCAGCCCAAUUGGGCCGAAAGAGAUCGUAGAAUUGGUCUGGGCCCAAUCGAUAUAGGGUGACUCACGUGCGAAUGAAAGUCGAAAUGUGAUAUAUAUUCAAUUUCAUAAUAUCUAGGGUUCAAACUACAAUUCACUUCAGCUUAGGAUGGACAAAAUUAAUGGGUAUAAUGAUAAUUAAAUUUAUAAAAUGUGUUUUUCACAAUUACAAAUCACUUCAGCUCCUAAGCAGCUCCACUCUAUUGCAGCCCAAAAUAUGACACGUGCACAUAAGCAUGGCGAUGAUUUACUCGGCCCAAUUAAAAUGGGCCGGCCCAACAUUACACUAGGCCGGGUCCAACCUAAAAAUUGGGUCGCUGCCUCAUAAAAUAGACUGACAGUAGUCGCCGGAUUUCUAUUUUUUGAAAAAUUAAUUAAUUAAAAAAUCGCCAUAAAAUCCUCAUCAUUAAUUAUCUGAUUUACUCGCCCUCUUAUCUCUCUCUGGGGGCAAUAACGGGCCCACCACGAAACUUUUUUAUGGGCUUUGACUCGGACUCGGACUCGGACUCGGGGUGGGCAUGGCCGCCUCGACUCGUCGACACGUGUCCGCUGCGCGGCCGGCAACCACAUUAACUCAGAUCGUUCAACCGUACAUUCACGUCAGGGCGAGUCGGUGAACGGAACCAAAAAUAGUCAUCGCGGUGACGCCACGCGCUCGCUGCGGAUCUUGGCUGUCUUAUUAGCAAGGGGUUGGGUCUAUCGGUAACCAACCGGAUCCGAUUACGGGUGUUGGCCCACGUGGCAGAAGACGACAAAUAUGGUGGGGCCCGCCUUCCUCUGCUGCAACUCAACUCGGCCAUACGGCCUAUGAACGCAGAGUUUGGCACGUGAUGAAGAGCCUCGAAGUAUAUUUUUUAAAUAUCCACUUUCAAAUUUUUUUAACUGCAGUUUAGCCCACUUGAAAUAAAAAAAGGACAGAGGUCCUCCGCAUUUUUUACUUGUACACUGAUGGCAUUCAAUACAGUAACACCAUGGUAAAUUCUACUAAGAGCUUUCCCCGAUGGAGAGGGUCUUUUCGUAAAUUCAGCACCGCAUUAAGUUUUGCAAGCGCGACCCCUGUUGGGAUAAGAUGCUGACAGAUAUACCCCCCUUUACGCGAAAAAGUAGAGGGUGCGAAUUCGCACUUACCGAGGACAUUGUAAUAUCAAAUAAUCGACAAAGGGGUGCCUACGAAAUUAGCCUCCGACGACACUGACCGCCGUGCAGGGCGGAGAGAGAGAGACGGGGGAUUCGAGAAGAGAGGCCCAUCUUCUUUACUGGUUGGCUGAGCGUACCCAGAUAGAGAGAGAGUAGAGAGAGAGUAGAGAGAGAGAGAGAGUUGAGUAAAUGAAUCCUGACAUAAUCAUUGGAGGGGGCCAAAGGGGACGGGCUCACAAUAGGAUGCAGCAACAGACCAGAGGAGAGGUGGGGGGGCCAGGAUAGACGAUGGCAGCCAGCUCCAGACGAGCAGGCUGGCCCCUCCUCUCUCUCUCUCUCUCUCUCUUUCUCUCUCUCUCCACUUUCUCUGUCUACUUUCUCUCUCUAGGGCCCUCGCGCCACCAUUGACGAUGGGCCUGCAUGGCCCUCGUGAGGAUAAGGCGGAAUUAUUUACUCCCCCGUCACUGUUCCACCAACUCGACAAACCACGGAAUAGAAAAAAAAGCCUAGAGAGAGAGAGAGAGAGAGAGAGAGAGAAGANNNNNNNNNNNNNNNNNNNNNNNNNNNNNNNNNNNNNNNNNNNNNNNNNNNNNNNNNNNNNNNNNNNNNNNNNNNNNNNNNNNNNNNNNNNNNNNNNNNNCAGUGUCAGACUGGUAACUCUUCCGUUAAGGAAAUCAUCCAUAUCGUAAUACUCUGCUCUUUCUCUCACUGUUUCGGCUGAUUAUAAAUUCACUCUAUGCAGAGCAAGGGUAUCUUCUAUGAAGUGCCCUCCGGAAGAAGGGAUGGAAAAGUCUCUUUGAGCUCGGAGACGUUCGCGAACUUGCCUCCACCCUCCUUUAAUCUCGAUCAGCUUACUCAGAGUUUUGCUAGAAAGGGCCUGACACAGGAGGACUUGGUCACCCUCUCUGGUGCGUACAUAUGUGAUGCCAUCGAUCGUCUAGGCUGCUUCCAUUCAACUUAUAAGUAAACAAUAUAUCAACUACCUACCUAUCGUCACUAAGAGAUGAUAUCCCGUGGUGUUGUAACCAGGUGCACAUUCCAUUGGGAAAGCUGACUGUUCCUCGUUCAGCAACAGGCUCUACAACUUUAACUCAACCGUGCAGACGGACCCGAGCCUGGACCCAGCCUACGCAGCCCAGCUGAAGCAAAAGUGUCCCCCGGGCACCACGGGUUCGAGCGUGCCCAUGGACCCUCCCUCUCCCGAGGUCCUCGAUUCCAGCUACUACAAAGGCGUUAUCGAGAACCGUGGCCUGUUCACCUCUGAUCAGGCGCUCAUGUCCAGUCCGGUAACGGCGAGGCAAGUGAGGGCCAACCGGAACAACAAUUUUCUUUUCAACAAGAAUUUCGCGGCGGCAAUGGUGAAGAUGGGUAAGAUUGACGUCCUCACUGGGACCGCAGGCGAGAUCCGCUUGAACUGUAGGGUCGUCAACAAAUGAUUUUUAUGGGUCAUCAACGUUAUCGCUAUACCUGUCCUGUGUAUCUAAUGGUGUCUCGCUCCAUGGGCAAAGUAUAAAGCUCCUGGAGAAAACCUAUGUGCACGUACUUUGUUCUGUGGCGUUAUACUGAAGUACGCCAUCGUUUGUCAAUUAUUUGUCAAAUAGCAAUAUAUUUGUUGUAAAGGUACUCAUAAUCGGCGCAAAAAAGGAAAGAUUCAAUGUGUCCUCGUACACCAUUCUAGUCACACAUUUCCAAUGGUACUCUUAUAUUUCUUAGAUUUUGAGAGUCGGGAAUACAUACCUAUGACCUUCGGACGAUGGACAUAUAUUCUGGGUUGUGUAAGAAAUUCCGUGAAUUUAGGGUUGAGAUGUGUAGGAAACGGACUUUGCCCUCACAUUAAAACUUUUGUUGAAAUUUGUUUUUCUUGCAGACUAAGAAACUAGACCCUAUAUAAUUUUUAAUGAUCUGAAUAAUAAAUGGUGAACUUAAGGAGAGUUUUGCGGCAAGUCCCAUAUCUGUGGAUUGCUAUUUAGGGAUUAGGAUGCGUGAAUAAAAAUUCCAAAUGAUUAAUUGAAGCUUCCUUUCUUUCGUAAACGAAAUUAUGAUGUUGAUCCCAUUUUGAUAAGGACACACCUGGUUCUUUGUUUCACGUAAAGCAAGUUAAAGAGUGAAGAAAAAUACUGAACAGCGGGAUGGGGAAAAAGGGAGAGGGGGUGGGGCGGCAGCGCAGCCCUACCCGCUGCAUGGAAAAGGUCAUACGUCGUGACAUUCGGACGAAUAUAGACUCGGUAUGUAACUCUUGAUGGAGUAUAAGAAAACGUCGCCUCUCUGUCGAACAAGUCACUAUUCGCUGAACAACGUAGAUGUGUGAGUUCUGAAUCUGAUUUCCCUUUUGGUCUCGUUCGUUUGUUCGUUUGUUUCACGUCUGUGAGAUACGAUGCAACAGUUCCUUAGAAGAUGGGACCUCUGGUUCCCCGGCCAUCAGGAGUACCGUCUUGAGGGGACAAUAGGCCUAAUCCAAAGGCUUAAUAUGUCCAAGCAGUUUGGGCACGUUCCAGGUCCGAUAUAAAAUGGCUGAUCGUAAUAGUAUUAUAUUGUAGUAGUACACGUGGUCGCUGACUCAGCUCUUAUCCACGAACAGCAUAGAUCCCAAUGAAGACUGCGGAUCAACGGGGAACCAAGACAUGGGUUCAGUGGGAUAAAGUAAAUAGAAAAUUAAGUAUGGCAAUAGAGCUUUUUUGGUUGAUUUNNNNNNNNNNNNNNNNNNNNNNNNNNNNNNNNNNNNNNNNNNNNNNNNNNNNNNNNNNNNNNNNNNNNNNNNNNNNNNNNNNNNNNNNNNNNNNNNNNNNAGAGAGAGAGAGAGAGAUUUCUUUAGCAACAUAAAAUAUGAAAAACAGGGUACUAGAAUACCCGAACCUCUUUUUGACUCCCUGUAGAUUGUCUACUUCUUUAAAUCGAAAGGAAGCCAAUAAAUCGAAUAAAUGGAAUCACUUAUUAUCACCUAACCAGACCCAAAAUUUUCUUAACUCACUUCCACUCUUUACAAAUGUUCCCGACCCCUACCGUCAUGCGAAAGCUUCUCCCAUGUAGCAACCUCUUCAAUAGAGGAAGAAGGGAAAGACCAAGGGAGAGACAAAGGGAGGGAGGGAGGGAGGUGGUGACCCUCAGAAUGAAGGUGACAUAAUGACCAUACACUUUCGAACUGUAAUUAGCUGCUCGGUGGCACUAAAAAUAAAAUAUUUGAAAUAUAUUUUCACUGUUCUCUAGUCGCUUUUUGAUCCACUUCAAAUUAUUUUUAUGCCCAUUUUCCAAAAGAGCACAAGCCAUGGAAGUCAACCGUUAAGCGUGGUUGCCCGGAAAAAUCGAGAUAGUUAAAGGGAGAUUAGUCGUGGGACCCCGUCGGCUACAAUUCGGCGGCGGCCGUGAUUUGGGGCAGGUUUUUCCUUCAUGAAUUCGUCAUUCUUGUGCUUUAUGACGUCAUCACCUGAGAUCGCUCAUAUCCGUUGAAGUUUGUGGCCAAUAUUUUUUCACCGGUUGCUGGUAACACCGGCGUUACAUCAACAAUUUUCUGACUUCACUGAUUUAAAUAAUAAAUAGGUCAAUUUCCACGAUCAAUUCUCCAAUUACAUUUGCGGCCAAAAGUCAGAGCCUAAUCAGAGUAUCAAAAUUUUCUUUGGCGUCGGAAGCUCAGCGACCGUGGACGGCGGAGAGGGUGACGUCGUUGACGGUGCAGGUAAGCCCCUUGAUCGACAUCGAGGAGCCCGCGGCACGCACCCUCGCCAGUACAAACUCCGGCUGCUUCGGGUGCGCCAGCGCUGCAGUGUCACCGCCGAGCAUGAGAACUACUGAUGCCAUCUCCGGCCGGUCCUCCGGCCGGUCCUGCACGCAGAGGAGGGCGACCUUUAUGCACUGUUGAACCUCCACCAAGGGGAUGGGGUACCCCAGCAAGGAGUCCACCAGCUCCAGCCCUCUGCCUUCCUUCCAUAAACUCCAUGCCUGCGAAGAGCACCCACCCAUGGUCAGACUAAAAGCUUCUCAUUAAGCUCCUCUAUGGUUGGUCUCUCUCUCUCUCUCUCUCGAUACUUACAUAGCCCAGGAGAUUGAGUUUUUGAUCGGUGUGCAAGAUGCCCCUGUUUCUUCUGCCGCUGACGAUCUCAAGCACGAGGACACCAAAGCUGAAGACGUCGGAUUUCGCUGAAAAUGUCCCCUCCAUGGCAUACUCCGGCGACAUGUACCCGCUGCAGCAAGGAGAUCAGCAGCUUCUAGAUAGGUCGAGCUUUGAAGAUCGAAAAGCAAAGUGAAGGUGAGGAGUCAGAGGAAGGGUGUGAGAGAGAGAGAGAGAGAGAGUGAAUUUGCCUGGGAGAUGAACUGAAGAGAGAAAGAAAGAGGGACAUGGCGCUGACAGAGGUAGUCAGAAAGAGAGACAUAGAAGGUUCGGAUGGACAGGGGAGCAAGACAGAGAGAGGAGACUAACUAGGUUCCGACGAUCCUUCGAGUGAUUCCCUCGGUCUCGUCGCCGGCAAAGAUCCGGGCCAUGCCGAAGUCAGAGAUCUUAGGGUUCAUGCCGUCAUCGAGGAGGACGUUGCCGGCCUUGAGAUCCCUGUGGAUGAUCCGGAAGCGGGAGUCCUGGUGAAGAUAGAGCAGCCCGCGAGCAAUCCCCCCUAUUAUCCGCCACCUCGUCGUCCAAUCCAACAGCGCUGCCUUGGUUUCGUCUGCCAGGAUAUAGAACUCCUUUAGACAGAGAGAGAGAGAGAGAGAGAGAGAGAGAGAGAGAGAGAGAGACGAGAGAGAGAGAGAGAGAGAGAGAGAGAGAGAGAGAGAGAGAGAGAGAGAGAGAGAGAGAGAGAGAGAGAGAGAGAGAGAGAGAGAGAGAGAGAGAGAGAGAGAGAGAGAGNNNNNNNNNNNNNNNNNNNNNNNNNNNNNNNNNNNNNNNNNNNNNNNNNNNNNNNNNNNNNNNNNNNNNNNNNNNNNNNNNNNNNNNNNNNNNNNNNNNNUCUCUCUCUCUCUCUCUCUCUCUCUCUCCCUCUCUCUCUCUCUCACUCACUUCCUUGAGUCCUCUUCCCCAUUAGUGACAAGGGGUUAAGAAUUUCAAGUAUUGAGAGCUUUGAUCUCCUCUCUCUUUGCUUCUUCUCACCCCCUUUCAGCCACCAAGCUCUUCUCAUCUUGAAGUGACACAAGGUGGGGAGAACUAAUUGGCCAUAAAGGAGAUUUACUUUCAAGCAAUUUACAUUUCAACAUUUAAGUUCAGUUUAUGUCUUUCUUUUUAUGCUUCAAUUUCUUUUAUAGAAUAAUCACAAAUAUCUCUCUUGAAGUCUUCUUAAACAUUUAUUGAAUAUCCACUUAUAUUUUAUUGUAAUUCGAUGUUUGAUUUCUCGCUUCCUUGUGGAUUGACUUGGACUCACCCUAUAUUCAUUUCCUUUGAAUUAAAGUCCAAUAUAUAAAUGUUAUUUGAUUAACCAUUAAUCCUAACGACAAUUUUUGGUUCAUCAAAUUGGCGCCGUUGCCGGGGAAGCUUUCGUCAAACAUCAAUUUUUUUUUAGAAAGUUUUUCUUAUUAUAUCUUUACUGACUUUUAGUCAAGCCAAGCACUCCAAGGAAUUUGCACAAAGGGUAAGUCUAAACUUGAAUUCAUUUUAUGCUUGGUAGAAGAUCAUUGCAUCCUAGCUUAACUUCAUUAGAAGCCACUCCCACCAUUUCCAAAUCUUCUAAAAUGGCUGAAAAUUCUGAAGAAAAAUCACUAAGAGAUUAUUUCAAUCCUACUAAUAGUUUAGAUCUCUUUCAAAAUCCUACUUGCACUCAUGAUAUUAUUCCAGGCAUUUUUCAAAUUCUCCCUCAUUUUUAUGGAAAGAUAAAUGAAAAUACUUAUGAUCACUUGUAAGAAUUUUUAAAGAUAUGUGCUACAAUUCGUAAUUGUGAUGACUCUUUGAAAAUCACUUUAUUUCCUUUUUCUUUGAAAGUUGAAGCCUCUCAUUGGAUAUCUACUUUGAAUUUACAAACCAUUACUUGGCCCAAAUUAGUGCAAGAAUUUUUAACUAAGUUUUACCCUAGAGGAAAAACAAAUAUGAUGCGCAAAAUGAUCAUGAGUUUUUUGCAUAAUGCAUGGACUAGAUUUAAAAAUACACUUAGAAAAUGCCCACAUCAUGGUGUUCCUAAAUGGUAGCUUAUUCAAAUUUUUUAUGAAGGGCUUAAUUAUCAACACAAACAAAUGAUUGAUGCAUCUUGUGGGGGGUCUUAUGCUAACAAGAGGGAAGAUCAUGUAUAUAAUCUCUUAGAAGAACUUAGUGAAAAUUCUUAUAAUUAUGCUUCUUCUGAUUAUGAUUGCACUAACCCUCCUCUCAAGAAAGAUGGAGUUUAUGAACUUGUUAAACAUGCAGAUAAGGAGCUUUGCAAUGAGGUGACAGAGAUUCACAAGAAGCUAGAGAAGCUUCUCUCUAUACAAGGUACAUCUAGUUCUAACCCCUCACCUCCUAAGGCUUUCAUAUGCUCCAUUUGUUUUAAUAAUGAUCAUGAUGAGAAUAGGUGUCCUGCUUUUCUAGAGGUAGUAAAUAAUGAGCAUGUAAAUGCAUUUAACCAAUCUCCCUUAGGAAAUUCAUGGAGAACCAAUCAAGUAUCUCAAGGAUAUCAAAAACAACCCUCUUCGAAUUUCCAAUCUCAAAACAAUUUUCAAAGACCUCAAGGUUUUCAAAACCCUCCCCAAUUUCAAAAUCCUCAAGGUUUUCAAAACACUCAAGGUCUUCAAAAUCAUAACUCUCCACCUAUUCUCCCUUACCCACCAAGGAAUGCCUAUCAAGCAAACCCUAACCAACCACACCUAAAUAGGCAACCAAUAGGAGGACCUCAACCACCACAACCGCCUCCCAUCACCCAACUAGAAGACACGGUUAGGGUCCUUAAAGAGUAAAUGGGACAACAUCAACAAGCCUUAAACCUCCUUAUGUCUCAAAAUCAACAACUUCUCCAACUUCUCCAAGGAAACCUAGCCCAAUCUAAUGAGUCCAACCCUAGGGGCCAACUUCCUAGCCAAACUAUCCCUAACCUUNNNNNNNNNNNNNNNNNNNNNNNNNNNNNNNNNNNNNNNNNNNNNNNNNNNNNNNNNNNNNNNNNNNNNNNNNNNNNNNNNNNNNNNNNNNNNNNNNNNNGAGAGAGAGAGAGAUAACUUCUGAAAAUUAUAUAUUAAUGUGUUACUAAAUCAAGGAGAAUAAUACAUAUUUGAGAAUUAUUUCACAAGUUAUCAUGUUAAUUAUUUGACUUGUCAUUUUGAUAAACCUCCUUAAAUCUUAAUUUAAAUUGAUAUUUUAUAAAUAAAAAAUAUUGAUGAAAAUUUAUUUCAUAUGUUGAAGUUUUAUUUUCAUUUAGUUUAUUUUUAAAUGAAAUAUUAUUGUGUUAAAUUUUUAUGAUUAACUAAAAUAUAUUUUCUACAAUUUUUCCAAAUUUUUAGGUAUUAAAAUAAAUAUCAAUUUAAAAUAUAAAUAGACAAAAUGGGUGUACUAUUAGUAGGCUAGAGGCACACCGCCUAAUAGGCCUGCAUGGGCUAGAGGCCACACUACGCUUGGUAGCAAGCCUAAGGGGCACACCGCCUAACAAGCCAAAUGCAGGCUGGAGGCCACAUUGUGCCUGAUAGCAGGCCUAAGAGGCACACCGCCUCUUGACCCGUGUAAACCAGGUCGUGGAUUUGGAUUAUGGUUUGGGCCGAAUAGAUCACCUCCAAUGCCUACUAGGAGCUGGGUUUCAAUCAAAAUCAUCCUUGGGAGCUUGUAGUCAAGUUCGGUCAACCCUUUAGGAAGUGCAUACAUUUAUUGAGGCAUAUUGAUAAAUAUAUAGAACUUUAUAUUUCUGUAACUUCAGAUAUGGGACUAAAUGGCUCUUCUUGUCAUUUUCAGAUUCAAUGAUAGAGCGGUAGCUGCAGCAAAGAUUCGAUGCACUAGAAGUGGCCACGUUACCGCCCACCAUUGCACAAAAAAAGUAGUGCCAAAUCUAAUGGCAGCUGCCAUCAGAUCGGAUGCACUAGAAGCGACCACGUCACCCCCCACCAUUGCACAAAAAGUAGCACCAAAUCUAAUGGCAGCCGCCAUUAGAUCGGACGCACCAAAGGAGGCCAUGUCCCCAUCCACCAACACGUGGUAGGGUGCCCACACAGAUCUCGAUAAAGCAUGUGAAAAAGUAGUGAGAGCUCUAAUAGAUCUGACGACGAUUAAGAGGCCAUGUCAUUCUCUUCAAAACAAAAUUAUGGUGCAAGAAUCCAAUGGUCUUCAUUGAGCCACCCGAUUGAGGACAUGUUGACAAAUGUUAGUUAUUAUUUGGUAAAAUAGACAUUUUUCAAUAUUGAUUAUUCUCUCACACAAGAUAAGGGUAUAUUUGUAAUUAUUGAUUAUCAUUUGGUAAAAUAGACAAUAUCGGUUAUUGCCACAUAAGAAAAAGGGAAAAUGUUAGAAAAAUCAGAGAAAAAUCAGAAAAAUAUGAGAGAAAAUAGGAAGUUAAAAUGGAAAACACGAUUUGUAGUUCUGGAGAAAAACAAAGGAGGAAGAGGAAAGAGAAAGAGAUACUUUUCGAGUUGUUUUUGAGUUGUUCUUGAGAGGAAACAAUUGUUUUUCUUUUUCAUGUAAAAAUAGAUUUCUAAAGAAUGCAUCAUUGAUUUUUGAUCGUUCUCUUAUACCCUUCUCACCUUAAAUCCAUUCCGUUGAACUAGAUGCAAGAUUGGGAAGUGCUACUCAGAGGUUGACAUCAAGUCAUACAUUCCAAGGGUUCUAAGUUUGAUUUUUAAUAAAGUUUUCAUUAUUUGCUUGUUUGAUCUAUGAAAUAAAUUUAUUUUCUUAACUUUAAUCAUUUUUUUACUUGUUUCUUUUCUAUUUUCAUCAUUCUAAAGUAUAUUUCAUUUUAGUAGAAUUUUCAAUUCACAUUUACAUUUAUUUACCAUUUUAUUUCCUUCAUUACUUUGAAUAUCAAAUUCAUAAUCCAUUAAAUAAGAUAAUAAAAGAUUUCUAAAAAGCUCUCCAUGAGGAGAUGACCUAGCUCACCAUUAUAUUCAUUUAAUAUUAUUUUUGGUGAAUUUAGUUUUAAAAAUUAUUAAAAUUGAAUGAUAAUUUUAAUAAUGACUUAGAGUCACAUUAGAGAGAGAGAGAGAGAGAGAGAGAGAGAGAGAGAGAGAGAGAGAGAGAGAGAGAGAGAGAGAGAGAGAGAGAGNNNNNNNNNNNNNNNNNNNNNNNNNNNNNNNNNNNNNNNNNNNNNNNNNNNNNNNNNNNNNNNNNNNNNNNNNNNNNNNNNNNNNNNNNNNNNNNNNNNNCUCUCUCUCUCUCUCUCUCUCUCUCUCUAUAUAUAUAUAUAUAUAUAUAUAUAUAUAUAUCACUAGGCUGAACAUUACUUAAGGCAGAUUUCCUCGUCUAGGAAAAAGGAACUAGGAAAAACCAGGUACGUGGGGUGAGGAGAGCUAAUUUUCAGGAAAAAUCCGACCGUUGAUCUCAUUUCGAUUGCAAAUGGCUUUUGAUUCUUUUGGCAUGAACUUUGACGGGUGGAAAAGGAGGGAAUGAAAUGCCAUCUAACAACUGGACUAUUUAUAAUGUGUUGGCUAGAAUCCUGUAGAGUCAGGUCAACAACAAGCUUACUCGAAAAAAUAGUGCUCGUAAAUCAGAGAUUGCAAGAACAUAUGCUUUUGUUGGGAACAUCACUUUUAAGAGUAUUUCUUGUAACCAUCGAAGGAUUCUAGGAAGAAGAAUUCACUUGUUGCAGGGGCAUACUGACAGCUGCCGCAUGUACCAACCCCUGUAAUGAAUUAAGGUAGCUUCAUGAACACUGAAACAAGCAAUGUUGGCAACGGUGGUUUACAAGCACGUCCUUAUUAUGCCCAGGAUGACUGUCAAAAGGGGAACCUUCAAAGAAGUGGAGAGGAAGAAAAAUAGGGAAGAAUGAGCACAAAAAUAUUGUCAAUUGCUUCAUUUAUUGGCUAAUGAACCCGGUUGUUCAUUUAUUUCCCAAUUUAGCAGGCCCAUGUCAAUUGGGCAUUGUCAAGGGCUAAAUAUUCAGAUUCUUUAGAGCGCAAAGAAUGACACAGUAGUAUGAUAUGAUUAGACGGUUCAAAUUAAUCAGCCACACCCUUUUGAGUCCCAGUUACAGUCAGCAUAACUACUGGCUCUUACCACUUCUGGCCAAGCACUACCUGCAACUUUUUCUUAUCGCAGCUGCCUGUUUUGGUGUAUCCAGAGAUCGGCCUGGGUUUGACUGGCUUUGGGACGCUCUUCUCAUUUCUGGGCAUCAUCUUCUUCUUCGACAAGGGUCUCCUCGCCAUGGGAAAUGUAAGUGAAGCUUCCAUGAACUGGAAAGACCGAGGAUCUCUUCCUUCCUGAAGCUGUUUUGACUUUGAUCCUUCCUUCUCAGAUCCUCUUUGUGUCGGGGGUGAUGUUGACCAUCGGAUUGAAGUCAACCGUACAGUUCUUCACCAAACGCAAGAACUACAAGGUUUGACCGCGCGUUCACUGAGAGAAUCCCCACAAGCCCCUUUUCCCUGGCCGCCUUAUGACUCACACCUGGGCCAAAUUUUGCUAAUUUUAUCAGGGUACGAUCUCAUUUAGCAUUGGGUUCUUUCUAGUCCUGAUCGGAUGGCCCGUUUGUGGGAUGAUCUUGGAGGCGUACGGCUUCAUCGUUCUCUUCAGGUAUGUCGGCUUCUUCUUUCUUCCCUCUCAUCAAGCUGGGCCAGUGGGCCCCAUGAAGCAUGGGCUGGGCCACAGCGAAGCCCGGCCCGAAAAAGUCUCCUGUAGGAAUCACAGUAGAAUCACAUGUGGCCCACACAAAAACAUGGGAAAGUUGGGUUCAUGCCGGGCCAAAUGUGAAGCCCGGCCCGGAAAAUAUCCUCUGGAAAUGAUCCUGGGAUCUCAUGGGCCCACCGAAAAACCUAGAAAGCCUCUUCUGGAGAUGACCCGGGAAUCAGAUGGCUUCUUCUCGUGGGCAUCCCUCUUGCGUUGACCUCCAUCUGCUCUCUGAUUCUUCAAGGUGUUAGUUCACUAACUGGCGGCAAUUUGGUUGUCUGGCAGCGGGUUCUGGCCGACCCUGGCGGUGUUCCUCCAGAGGAUCCCCAUCCUCGGAUGGCUCUUUCAGCAACCCUUUGUGACGGCGGUAAGUCAGCCUGCCACAAAAGUCAACUUACUACGAUAAGUCAACCCAUUAUGAAUCUCUCUAUGAUGUUUGACCUCGGCCCCUCCAUCUCUGACUUCAGUUCUUGGAUCGUUACCGGGGGAAGCGGGUCCCAGUGUGAGGCUGCCUCUGUAAGAUAUCGAGAACCCGCCUCUCUCCCCUGUCCUCUCUCUCUCUCUCUCUCUCUCUCUCUCUCUCNNNNNNNNNNNNNNNNNNNNNNNNNNNNNNNNNNNNNNNNNNNNNNNNNNNNNNNNNNNNNNNNNNNNNNNNNNNNNNNNNNNNNNNNNNNNNNNNNNNNACGAGAGAGAGGAGGUCGUCACUCAGAAGAAGGAGAGAGAGAGAGAGAGAGAGAGAGAGAGAGAUUCUUGGGUCUGACGGACAAUGGAUACGCAUAAAUAUCAGACCGAGUCAGUCUUCGGAGUCUGGUGGUGGGAGGACGAGGUAGUCGCCGCGGGGGGAACGUGGCCGGAUUUCCGGCCGGGGAGAGACGUACCCGGCGAGGAGAUGGGAAUGGGCUGGGCGUGACCACGGGCAUGGGAUAUUCGCCCCGGGAUUCCGGGCCUUGGAGCCCUCGCCAACGACCUCCUCCCUCCUCCAAGGAGCGGCUGAGUGCGACGGGCGGCGACGGCCGGGCGCAGGGGAGAAUAUUCAACGCAAGCGGGGGGAAUAUCCGCUUCCCUUCCGCGUCUCUCAUUCGACCGCCCGCCCGCGGGAAUUAUCUAUGGAUCUAUCUGUCCAUCGCCUGGCCAACCCCGAGCGGGUUGGCUGUCCCCCGCCGUCUCUCACUCGACCACGUUGGCCCUCAGGUUGACGUGUGCCGGCCGGCUGGAAGCUCCGCGGCAACGCUCCCCGACGGACGAGCCGUGGCCAUAAUCUUCCAGGCGUCAGAUAUCCACGCUCAACGAAUCCGCGGCCCCGUCGCGGUCCAAGAUUUUCUCUCCGAGUCGCACAUCUUUUUCCGCCGACCGCGAGCGCUUCCUCCUCCCUCACAGAGGCCCCACUCCGGCGCGCACCGUGUGUGCUGUAAGGAAGCAUGCCGCUCUCAGAGACCCCAAAGUCUAGGGUUCGCCGAUCAUGAUCGAUCGUCGAUCCGAUCAGCCAUAAUCGCUGAUCGUGAUCGUUGAUCGUCGUGAUCGACGAUCUCACCGAUCGUGACCGGGUGAUCGUCAGAAAUAAUAUUAUAUUAUACUAGUCCUUGAUAUUAUAUAUAAAUAAAUGCACAAUAAAUAUAUCGAUUACUUAUAUAGGUAAAUAAGAUAUAAAUAAGCGUACAAAUAUCUAAAAGUAUAUAAAUAUAAAUAUAUCGUACCAGAUAAACAUAGGCGUAGUAUAUAUUGUUAUAAUAUGCCUAAAUGUUAUAUAUGACUAUGCAUAUGAUAUAUAUUAUACGUAAGUAUUACAUAUAAAAUAUAUAAAUUUAUAAACUACGUAAUAUGAUGAAUAACGCAUAUUUGUAGUAAACACGUAAAAAGAGUAAAAAGAGAGUAAGAGAGGGAGGGGCCGUGGUAGCUGACUUGGCAAUGGAAGUGAUGUUGGUGGCGACAAAGUCAUGGGGAGGAGAGAGAGGCUGCAGUGGUGAAGCUUUUAGACAAAAAGAGAGAGGAGGCGAUUGGAAGGGGGGUGGGACUCGGAGUUGAGAGAGAGAAAGAGGGAGAUUUAAUCUUUCUCUCUUAAGUUAAAUCACAACUGUUGGAUGAUGGAAAGUCAUCAUGAUCCAAUCGAUGGUUAAUUGUAAGAUCAUGAUCCACCCAUAGAUCGAUGAUUGAUCAAGGCCCUAGAUCAUGAUCGUAAUUGUCACCAUUUUCACCGAUUAUGAUAGACGAUGAUCAUGAUUGUCAAUUUGAUGAUCGAUCGAUCAUUGAUUGAUGUACCCUAGAGAUCGAUCAAUUUGAUCGAUCGAUCGAUGAAAAGUCAUCAUUUAAUGGAUGGUCAAUCGUAGGAUCAUGAUCCACUAGUUGAUCGAUGAUCGAUUGAGGGCCCAUAUCGUGAUCGUGAUCUUCACCACUUUUCACUAAUUGUGAUUAACGAUCAAUCGAUUAUGAUCGAUAUACCCCCACCCCAAACAGUAGCCAAACCACUGCACGUCGAGAGCAGCCCACCAAGAGGCUUUGGUUCCACAGAGAGGAAGUGGAGCAGAUGAGGGUUUUUGAGACUCAACCGACCAUCUGCGGUCCUCCACCGAAGGUCGACCUUCCUCCCCGGCUUGCAAAAGUUGCGUUGAGCUCAGAGCCCCCCACACCUCCCCCCCGGGCCCCAGAGAGAGAGAGAGAGAGAGAGAGAGGACGGUCGUUGGUUCGUGGUGGUCGGUCGACGGUCGGUCGGUCGGGACGACGNNNNNNNNNNNNNNNNNNNNNNNNNNNNNNNNNNNNNNNNNNNNNNNNNNNNNNNNNNNNNNNNNNNNNNNNNNNNNNNNNNNNNNNNNNNNNNNNNNNNGAGAGAGAGAGAGAGAGAGAGAGAGAGAGAGAGAGAGAGAGAGAGAGAGAGAGAGAGAGAGAGAGAGAGAGAGAGAGAGAGAGAGAGAGAGAGAGAGAGAGAGAGAGAGAGAGAGAGAGAGAGAGACAGAGAGAGACAGAGAGACAGAGAGAGAGAGUGUGAGAGAGAUUCCUGGUUGCUAAACGAAGCCGGUGCCGUCUGUUUUAUAGCACAGAAGCAGUGGAGGGAGGAGUGGAGAUGGACGAGACCCUCUGCGGUUUCCCCGUGAAGGGAGAGGAGAUGCCCGGCGAGCGCCAGCUGACGCCGGCCGCACGUGUCCCUCGACGAGAAGGGGGCGAGGCGCCGCCGGCGGAAGUGGGGCCCACAACCACGCCCGGCUUUCCCGCGCAGCAGAAUCAGCCCGAAGCGGAUUAAUGUCUCUGUGGGUCCCCGUGUUUAGACCGUUGCAACUUGCCUAAACGACGCCAUAUGCUGAGUUGGAAGAUAUUUACUAGCCCCAUACUUAUCUUCAACUCUAAUUUUUUUUUCUGCUUACACUUUUUCUUUACGGAAAUUAAUUUAAAACCCAUUAAUCUCUACAAUGUCUACACCUAUGUUUCUUCUUCUUAUUGUGGUCUCAGCCAUUAAUUGAGAAUAUGAAAAUGCGUUUAUAGUGGUCAUGCUAUUAAAAAUAUCCCAUUUUUACUAAAAAUAAUCCUCACUUCUGAUGAAAGUUCUUGAUCCUGUAGACUAGAUUAGAUGUAAGAAUCUUCUAGACUAAUUUUCUUAACUUUGCAUUAAUGUAGGACCCAUUAUUGUUAAGCAUCAAUUGAAGGGCCAUAUGACUCCACAAAGAAAAAAAUAGAAUAACAUGAUAAAAUCUUUGGAUUAAUCUGUUUACUUUGAUAAACCCAAGUCAUUUUGAGAAAUAAAGAAGUAGAUAAAUGAUGUGGCAUUAUUCCUAUGACAAUAUCAUCCAACAAAGAUCCUUAACAUGAUGAACUAGCACAAGAAAGUGGAAACUUGCACUUUUUCGAGUCGACACGAAGAGUAUUAUGGGUUGUGAUCAUUCACUAUCACUAAAUAAACAGCUUGAGGGCAGCCAAAAGCAUGUUUGGAAAUGUGAUCAAAGGAUUAGUCGAGAAUCAGGAUGGCAAACACCCUUGCUUGAAUGUGCUAAAAUGGUACAUGGUAUGAUGCCUAAGCAGAUAAAGAUGAAUAAGAAUCAUAAUUUUUUUUUUGUGUCAAUGUGAUAGGAAGACUUACAAUGGGUCAUAGUUACAACUGGCACCAUUUCUAGUGGUAUGAUUUCUUCAACUUUCAUCAAGGAAAAUCUAAAAGAAAUAAAAGCUUGCGAUUCCUGAAGGGGUUAAUUAAUUUCUUGUCUUAGAAAAAGUUAGUGGACACUUGGUACAGUGCCAUUAGAUAGGACUAUAUAAAAUUAGAGGCUUGGGAUUAUUACCAUAUAGUGAUGCAUCACAAAUCCCAAAGACGUUUUAUGAAAUGGAUCUACCAAAGAUAUGAUAAACUACUCAAAUGGGAAGCAAUGAUAUGGUGGAUGCCCAAUGGAAGAAAUAACAGUAGAAAGUCUAUAAAGAUACUUAAAUGGAUAGAGCUAACAAAUGUAGGCCCAUGUGACUUUUUAUUUCAAUGGGUCAACUUGUAGUAAAAAAAUCAACUUUAAUUACGAAUAUUUGAAAAAAAUGGUUCAACUUUCUACUUUUCUCACAAUAUAUCUACAUAUAUCCGUGUGUUAUGAAAAUCAUAGAGUAAACCAUGGCAUGAUAAAUGGUCAUCAUUAGGACGUUGGUAUUUUCACAGGACUACAGAUAAACCUACCCCACUUUUUGUAAACCUCCUUGAAAAAGAGACAAGUUGUGUAAAGUAUCACAAUUUGUCGUGAUAAUCAUACAGUCUAACAACAAGGAACAAAAUUGGUGUUAUUGGUUAAAAAAAAAGAAAAGGAAAGCCAAUUCCGAGCUUCUGUGCUUGGACUUUUGAUGCCUUGACUAGCUUGGAUCCCCUCAAAGACUCUUAAGUUUACCCUCUCUCUCUCUCUCNNNNNNNNNNNNNNNNNNNNNNNNNNNNNNNNNNNNNNNNNNNNNNNNNNNNNNNNNNNNNNNNNNNNNNNNNNNNNNNNNNNNNNNNNNNNNNNNNNNNUCUCUCUCUCUCUCUCUCUCUCUCUCUCCUCUCUCUCUCUCUCUCUGUGUCUCUCUGUAUAUAUAUAUAGAUGUAUGUGGAAAAAGCAAAUGGGUGAACGGCACCAUGGAGUAUAAACCAGGAAAAAGGACGAAGAGGGAGGAGAAUAUCUUAAUUCUCUCACUUCCCUAUCUCUAUUUUCCAUCUCCCGGCAGCCCCUCUCAACCUGGCUCCCCCACCCUCCCCCACAGUCACGAACGCCUCCUGCUUUCUGUGCCAUGCCCACCGCCCCCCGCCCAAUACUCCAUCGCAUUCUCUACAUCCCCCUCCUCCUCCCUUAUUCCCCCUCCCCCCCUCCUCUGUCUCUGUCUCUCUCUCUCUCUAUCUCCGCCCUGAAUCCAUUCAUCCGACGUCGGAGCUGAAGGUUGUCGACCCGCAGAGUUUCCCGACUGGGUCUGUAUUUUUCGAGGAUUCACAGCGACGAGGAGCUCCGUUCGGGGGAGGAUUCCCAGAAUUUCUACAUGGAGGGCAGAGGUCUGCGAUGCCUGCCCCUCCUCCUUCUGCUUGCUGUACCCUUGAACCUCCCGUAGUUCUGCCCUCUUCGCCCUUUCUCUCUCUACUGUUAGUUUCCGUCAACCGGAGCCGUUUUGGGUCCUCUCGAAAGGGCCUCGAUGCUCUCCCCUACGAGGGUUUGGAUCUUGCGGCAGCUACACCGGCAGUCUGAAUUAUGCAGAUUUUCUCUCUCUAGAACAGCUGAAUCCGCUUCUUGGACCCCCAGCCCUUCUUCCGGUGAAACCGGCGAAGGAGCAUGAACAGCGAAGAUAUCUUCCUGAAGAAGAGAGUACGAAGAAAGGGGGGGAGAACCAGAGCCUUCUCCCCGUCUUCAACAUUGCUGACUUCUGCAUCUAUUGGCCUCCCUUUCUAAUCAGGAAGCGGUGGAUAUCUUGGGUUUUCUGUAUUUUAUGUUCGUGUUUAGAAAUAUUUUCAUAAUUUCCUUGGCUCAUGGUUGACCCAGAGAUUCCCAUAAAUUUGAGUCAACGAGGGCAGAUCUUUUCAUUUAUUUCAGCUCCAAUUAGUCAACGGCUUUAAUGCCUUCUUCUUCUUCUCCUUCUUCACGAGGAUUUCAGCGCCGGAAUGAUUUCGGUAGAAAAAGGCCGAAGAUUUUCAGCUCCACGAGGAUGAACAGAUGCAAUGUGGAGCCCUCCGAGGCCACGUCGGAGGUCUGCAGCCAGGUGGCCUCCAACCGCUCGAACCAGGAGGAGGCGACGGCCACCUCCCCGGGGAAGCUCUCACUGGACCUCUCCCUCUCCAGUACCGGCGAGAGCUUCACCGGAGCUCCUCCCCGCAGCGGCGGCGCCCCCGCCGCCAUGGCCCCCAGAGUCUUCUCCUGCAACUACUGCCGCCGCAAGUUCUUCAGCUCGCAGGCACUGGGGGGCCACCAGAACGCCCACAAGAGGGAGAGAACCAUGGCGAAGAGGGGCCUGCAACUGAGCUCCUUCCCCUCUUGCCCCAGCCUGGCUUCCCUCCCCCUCCAUGGCUCCUCUCAGGUGAUGGCUAUGGAGAUCAAAGCUCACGCCUUGCCGCACCGCGAGGGGCGCCGUGGCCGGGCGCCGAUGCUCUUGGAGGAGAAGGGAGAUGGGUUCUUCUUUGCCCGGAGCUUCCCCGGCGCCGGAAUCCCCCCCAGCUCGCCGGCGCCGGCGCCGGCGGAGGAGCUCGACCUCACCCUGAGACUGUGAACAAGUCUCCAUUCACUGUCCAUUGGUUUCGGAUCGGAUAGCUCGAUACCGUUCUCAAGUCAUCGUGAUCUGUGUGCGCUUUACUUAUGGAUUUGACCACGAUGGUUGACUUUAAGCAGGUGGGGGCGCUGACUUGGAUGUUGGUGUUCUUGGGGGAGGAGGAGGGGGAUGGACACCUCUCGUUCUGGAAUUGGAUGACUCAGAUCUUAUGGCCACAUAUCUGGAAUUUGAGAAUGAGCCAGGUUUGACUCUGAGCAGGUUGGUUGGGUUGACUUUGGCACAAUGUGCAGAUGCUAUGUCUUAGAGGGAGAGAGAGAGAGAGANNNNNNNNNNNNNNNNNNNNNNNNNNNNNNNNNNNNNNNNNNNNNNNNNNNNNNNNNNNNNNNNNNNNNNNNNNNNNNNNNNNNNNNNNNNNNNNNNNNNCGUCUCUCUCUCUCUCUCUCUCUCUCUCUCAUCUAUCUAUUUAUCUGUCUCUCUCCCUGGGCAUUGGAAUGGAGAACCUGCAGCACCACCACCGUCCACAGCCGGGCCUCCCCGGCGUGCUGAUGAAACGGCUGACAGGCGCACCCCUCCGUCUCUCUCUCAUCACCCCGCUCUCUCUCCUCCUCCUCGUCGUCUUCCUCCUCCGUCUGGUGUACCCCCCCCGCGAGCCCCAUCCUCCCCCUCCCUCCGCUCAUACCUCUCUUCGUCCGCUGCUCAUCCGAUCUUCCUCAGCUGACUUCUCAACGAGGAGAUGCAGCGACGGAAGGGGAGGCGCCGAGGAAGAGGAAACCGGAGCUGGACAGCUCCCGGAUCGCGGUCUGCCUCGUCGGCGGGGCCAGGCGGUUCGAGCUCACCGGGCCGUCCAUCGUGAAGAACAUCCUGGAGGAGUAUCCCAACGCCGACCUGUUCCUCCAUAGUCCGCUCGACAGGAACGCCUUCAAGUUCUCCAUUCUCAAGGAAUCCCCGCGGGUCGCCGCCGUCCGCAUCUUCGUCCCCGAGCACAUCAACGAGACCGAGCAACAGGCCAGGGUCCUCACGUCCAACGGCUCUCCCAAUGGGAUCCAGGUACGCGGCCCUCCCCUGUAGAUAGAGAGAGAGAGAGAGAGAGAGCAGCUUGCUGGUUAAGCUCAUCUGAUUGCUUUCGCAUGGCCGUGGAAUUUUGGCAGGGUCUUCUCCAGUAUUUCAGCCUCGUGGAGGGGUGCCUAGGGAUGAUCAGGGCUCACCAGACCCACAGCAACUUCACCUACGACUGGAUCGUCCGCACCCGCGUGGACGGCUACUGGUCGGCGCCGCUUGAUCCUGCUGUCUUCGUCCCCGGGGCUUACCUCGUCCCACCGGGCUCCCAGUACGGCGGCCUCAACGACCGGUUCGGCGCUGGCGACCAGCGCACCUCCCCGGCGGCUCUCUCCCGACUCUCCCUCAUCCCCCGCCUUGACGCCGCCGGCCGCCGCGGCCUCAACUCGGAGUCCGCCUUCAAGGCCCAGCUGGAAGAGUCCCAUGUCCGGUACGGGGAGCAUCCUCUUCCCUUCUGCGUGCUAAGCGACCGCCGGUACGGAUUCCCGCCGGUAGGGAAUGGCGUGCCGGUGGCGUCUAUGGGGAGCCGCGGGCCGCUCAGUGGCGCCAAGUGCCGCCCCUGCAGGCCGGCCUGCGUGGGUCUGUGCAUGGAAAGGGUGGGGAAGGCCUUGACCAGGGAGUGGAGCUGGACGGAGUGGAGAAACGGGAGCCUGGAGCUGUGCGAUGCCAGAGAGGGGUGGGAGGAUGGCUGGGAGAGCAUAUUCGACCGCGCCGCCGGGAGGGAGGCGGCAACGGCGAGGAGGCGGAUAGCUUCUCUCGACAUGGCCACCUGCGUCGAGGACCUUGAGGAGUUGAAGCGGAAGUCGGCCAGCUGGGACGCGCCGCCGCCAGCCGAGAUCUGUCAGAAAAAGUCAUCUUGACACGUUGAACUGUCCAAUUUUGGUCAAAAUUUUACACGAGGUUUCUUGAGCUGCAGUGGAGACGGACCUAACAACAUCAUAGACAAGACUUAGACGACUGUUUCCCAAUCUUGACUUCGAACGUUUUAUAAACAAGCGGUCAAUCGGAAGAUGAGAGACGUUCCUCCAGUCUGUGGCCUCGUGCAUGGUCUGUCCAAGACGAAAUCAACCUUCGCAGCUUCUGGGAAGCUGGGCCAAGUCGGACGAGCAUGAACGGCGAUGGUCAACGCCUUCUCACUCAGACCAGUGGCGAUAGAAGAGAUUUCGCAUCUCUCUCUAACGACAGUUCUAACUGGGGAGUGAUGUUCACCAAGCUUAGGUUGAAUCUCGGUGCCGGCAUCUUGGCCGUGACUGAGGUUCGUAGUCGUCACUGGGGACGUGAACGCACACUGCAUGCAAUAACGGCCCCAGUCAUCAGAUCAGAGUUUCUCUCUGAGUAACUGUGUGUGUGUGUGUGUGUGUGUGUGUGUGUGUGUGUGUGAGAGAGAGAGAGAGAGAGAGAGAANNNNNNNNNNNNNNNNNNNNNNNNNNNNNNNNNNNNNNNNNNNNNNNNNNNNNNNNNNNNNNNNNNNNNNNNNNNNNNNNNNNNNNNNNNNNNNNNNNNNCACACACACACACACACACACACACACACACACACACACACACACACACACACACACACACACACACACACACACACACACACACACACACACACACACACACACACACACACACACACACACACACAUCUGUAGUCUCACUUCGGGAUCUCAUGCAGAGAGCCAAGACCUACACUUUAUUGACAGGCUGUCGGUGGGUGGGAGGAAGAGGCGAAACAUGCGGCUCUCUCUCUCUCUCUCUCUCUCUCUCUGUGGUUUCGUUCCGUCGAGAGGAAGGAUGCGGAGAUGACGUUACGGUCUGUUGUGAGCCUUCUGGGUUGGCGGAGGGGGAGCGGCCGCCACCUGCGUCUCCGCCGCUGCCGUCUUUGGCGACCCGCUCCGGUACCUGUAGGCCCGUGCCAAGAUCAAGAACAGCCCAAGGUUGACUGCCCCGCCGACCGCCAGGGUCCAGUAGACCCUGUCGAGCCUGGAUGCGUUAAUGUUGUCCGGAAGCCAGUCCGUCGCCCGCCGCACCAGGUCAACCAGGGCGGUACUGAGGUAGAACCCCAGGGCGAUGAUCAGUGCCAUCAUCCCCGUGGCGGUGCCCCGCAAAGCCGGAGGAAACUCCUGGUAGUAGAGCGCCACCUGCCCGGGGAAGUGGAGGGCCUCCGCCACUCCGACGAGUACCAGCGGCGGCAGCAGCCAGAGGACGGACACCGGAACGGUGGCGCCGCCAGGGUUGUCGGCGAGGCGGUGGCUUCUCACGGCGCUCAUCCGCAUCCUCUCCACCAGGGCCGACGCCGCCAUGGCGGCGAUGUUGAUGGCGUGGCCGAGCCCGACGCGGCGGAGCAGCGAUUCCUCGCGGCCGGUCAACCAGCGCCAUGCGGGGAAGAUGAAGCGGUCCAGAAGACACAGAGUGACCGCGGAGGCGGCGAAGGAAGCGACGAUGAGGGAGCCGGCGGGGACGGAGAAGUGGGGGCCGAGGCGGCGGUCGACGGUCAACGCCUGGAGGAUGGUAAGGGUGGCCUGGAUGCCGAUAGAGACGCUGAGGAAGAUGCCGGUGGACCAGAGCGGGAGGAUCCUCACGAUGGCCUUCAGGUCCUCCACCUCCUGCACCGUGCACAGCCGCCAUGGCUUCGCCAGAGAGCCGUCCUCGUUGGUGUCCCCUCUCGUCAGUACCGCCGCCUUGUUUAGCCACCUGUCGUCAAGUCAAAGCCCACAAAUAAAAAAGUACACUUUCAUCUCUUUCCGACCCAUCGAUCUAAAAAGUCAAAACCUUUUUGACCUUGUAAUUCAAUGAUAUUUAAUGGUUAAGUACCUCAAGCUCGGCGAUGGAGGCUGAUGAGAUUGGGGCGCCGGCCUGUCUUGCCCGUAGAAGAGUUCCUCGCCCUCCGGCGAGGUCGGCAGCCUCCACUUCCUCACGGCGGCGACCGCCACGCGGGCCAAGCCGGUGAAGGGGCUCCCCGCCGGCUUGGGCCGCCGGUAAUGGCGCACGCCGAGGAGCAAGACGGCCGUGGCGGCGGCGCUGGCGGCGGCGCAGAUGCCGAAGCCCCAGCCCCAGCUGACGCUAUCCUGCACGUAGACGAUCACGGUGGCUCCCAACACGAAGGAGACAUACUGCGCUACGAAGUACCAGUUGAAGAACACGUUCUGAUCGGUGGUGCUGUCGAACUGGUCGGCCCCCAUGGUGGCGGUGGUGAACCUCGUGCCGCCGGAGACCACGCAGAUCAGGGCCACCGCCGCGUAGAGCGCGGCGAGCUGGGCGGGGUUGGCGGCCCGACAGGCGUCGGACCCCGUGGCGCACGGCGCCGGCCGCAGUGAGCUUAUGGUGGAGGUCAACGUGAAGAGAGUCGUGCCCUGAAAGCAGAGAUAAUGCAUUAGGAGUUUCUGAAGCCAACCAAUCUCUUCAGUCCGUGAUCAACUUUGAAGGAGUCCAUGAGAAGGAAGGGAGGAAGAAAAUGGGUUACCAGCAUGGAGACGGCGGUGGAGACGGCGAGGAUGGGGAAGCAGCCGAAGAAGGAGUCGGAGAUAACAGCCCCGAGGACGGGGGCGAGACUNNNNNNNNNNNNNNNNNNNNNNNNNNNNNNNNNNNNNNNNNNNNNNNNNNNNNNNNNNNNNNNNNNNNNNNNNNNNNNNNNNNNNNNNNNNNNNNNNNNNGCUUUUUUCUUGGGGUAAAAAAGUUGAAAAUGGGGAGAAUUCGGAGAAUUCGGGUAAUUACCCAUUUCCAUCGAGGUAUCCAGAAGACCCCCUACAAAAGGCCACAGUUCCUUCCCUCGCGCAUCAGCGCGCGUAGCUACUGAUCCGGCCACUGGAUCAUCGUAUCUUCAUUCAUGCGUAAAUCGAUAUCUAAAAGCAUCUACGCCCUGAGGCAGAUAAGCCCUAAAAGUUUGAUCCUUCGUAUCAGCAGUGAUUAAAGCGCAGAAGGCGUUUUCUGAUCAUUGGUAUGAAGAUAUGAUCAUCUCCCUUGUAUGAAACCGGUGUCAAUUCCGCAACAAUCAGUAACAUAGCGAAGGCCGAUCGAAACAUCAGGUUUCCGGAUGCUUUUGGAAUUGACUGGGCCCUCUACUGUUCUGCAGACGACAAUCCAUUGCAUUCAUUCUUAGUCAAAUGCUGAAGGCCAAAAUUCGACAGUUGGUCCACCCGAGUACUCCCUCCAGUCGGAAAAUGUACUCUGUCUAAUCAUUAUCCCGGCAUCGAUCCCUUUCGCCGUCCGUCUAAUCAUCGUCCUCCGUACGACGUUUGGUCGGCGCUUCUCGCGAACGCUACCGCCAUAUCUUGGAUCUCCGACAGUCCCGGGUGAGUCACCGACCCCCCAUCUCACCUUGUUGGGCCGUUGGGAUCAUUCAGAGAUCAAUGCUUGAAGCCCAGCCCGCUCCACCCCCGAGGUUUCUAAUACUUUAGGGUUGACGGACUAAAAGUUUCAGCAGACGAGAGGCCGUCAGGGCUCCGGUUCCAUGGGGUGGGAGGCCCGUCGGUGAUGGAGAACGGGGACGAGUGGCUCGCACUUGACAAGAUCCAGCACUUCGUCGCGUGUCUCCUCAUCACCGCCUGCGUGUCGGGCGUCUUGAGCCGGUCCCGGUAUCGCUUCCUGAGACGAUGGUCAACGCCGCUGGGCUGCGUUUCGGCCCUCGUCGCGGGGAUCGCCAAGGAGGCCGGGGACGAGCUCGGGUUCUGGGAAUCCGCCGGAGCCUCGCUCAAGGACGGCGUCGCGGACGUCCUCGGGAUAUUCGUCGCGGCGGUCUUCCUUUCCUUCUCGAGGAAGCCCUCUCCGUCGCCGGCGGAGAAGGUGGAUCGCGAUCGAGACCGAUCAAUGGUCUGAUUCGCCGUUCAUCGUCGGACUGGACUUUCUCCUACCAAUUUUGACCGCCGUGGCGAAUAUGAUCGAUCAACCCUGGAGAGGGGCGUUUGACUUGUGGUCGAUCUGGGUCUCCGAAAGACAUUCUCUCCCUGCCCGAAGAUUCUCUCUCUCUCUCUUCCUGUCUCUUACACACACAAAGACUCUUUCUCUCUCCCUCCCUCUCUCUUACACGCACAAAGACUCUCUCUCUCUCUCCCUCCCUCUCUCUUACACACAGACUCUCUCUCUCUCUCUCUCACUCACACACACACAAUCACUCAAACGCACACACUCACACAGACAAUUAGAAGUCGUGGACGAGCUUCCGGAACCUGGUCAUGUGGUCGGACUGGAGGGAGAUGGCGAGUGUGAGGCAGCCAUCCCCCGUGGCGCUCGGGAUCAAGUAGGCCAGCCCUUCGAAGAAGAUGCCACCGGGGCCCAUGAACACCGGCCUGCCCCAACCGAAGUCCGCGUCGUGGAUCGGCAGGCGCACCCAGCUGGCGACUGAGAGGUUGGGGCACCGGAAAGUUCGGGCGCCGCGCAUCAGCUUGGACAGGUCCGGCUGGAGCUCCAGGUAGUCCAGCGCCGAACGGAGGUAGUCGUCGUCCAUCCGCAUCAGCGCCUCGCGGAUCCUCCCCGCGACGCUUGUCACUGGGCCCUGCAGGAGCUCUCCCGCCGUCGCCAUUGGAGUCGUCGUGAAGAUGGCGUUCCCAAAGUAUCCCGGCGGGAGGCUGGGUUUCAGGCGGGGGCGGCAGUUCAUGGCAAUGUACAGCAUGGUCUGCUGAUCGGCCUCCAGGCCCCGCGCCUUGCAGACUCUCCGCCAUAUGUGCGCUGACAGGAGCUCGUACGAGCUGUACNNNNNNNNNNNNNNNNNNNNNNNNNNNNNNNNNNNNNNNNNNNNNNNNNNNNNNNNNNNNNNNNNNNNNNNNNNNNNNNNNNNNNNNNNNNNNNNNNNNNAUAUAUAUAUAUAUAUAUAUAUAUAUAUAUAUAUAUAUAUAUAUCUAUCAUCUAUUAAUAGGGCUUCUCUAGAAACCCACCUUCACCACCACUACCUCUCUAAAGACAAAUAAUGUUGUUGCCAACCUCGCUGCCAUUGCCUCUUUCUCCUCCUACUCUUAGAGACAAACAAUGUUACUGCUAACCUCACCGCUGUUGCCUCUCUCUCCCACUCUCUCCAUCUCUCACUCUCUCUUGUAUCAGCAAGCUUUGUUUGAUUUCUCAUUUAGUUUUUCUUGCAAUGUGUCCAUGUUUUGUUAGUGGUGAUUGUUAAUAUAUAUACACAUGUUUUGAACCUAUAUAACUUAGGCCCACUAUUAUAUUAUCAUUACUUUAAAUGAAUAUUUAUGUAAUGUAUAAGUUAGAUAAAAAGUUCAAUGUAAUAAUUUUUUUUAUUGUAUCGUAGUAAGUUUAAAUUAAUAAAGAUAAAUUUUUUGGCUCAUAUAUUUAUAUUACUAUCUUAUGAAAUAUAAUUUAUGUGUAUCGUAAUAAACUUGUUAGGCCUAAUAUUGAAAUAUAUGUUAAACAUAUGUAUCUAUAGUAGGAUAUAUAUUAUUCAUAUAUUACAUACAUAUUCUGUAUAUUUAUAUCAAGAACUUUGACCUAACAUAUAGAUUUAUAUCAUGUGAUGUCUGUAUAAUAAUAUAUAUAUUUAUAUGUAAUAUAGAUAUCUAUUUGAUAUACAUAUUAUAUUUUUUUCAUUUAACAUAGGCCUAAUAUGUAUAAAUGUAUAUUAUGACUAAGUAUAUAUAGUAGUAUAUAUUUGUAUAUAUUUCCUAUAUUUUAUAUAUAAUACUUAUAAUUAUAUUUAUUUAAUACAUAUAUUUGUAUAUAUAAUACUUCAAUAUAAUAUAAUAUAAUAUAAUAAAUCGACGAUCACUCAAUCAUGAUCGAUCGACGAACAGCAAUUUUGGCUGAUCAGAUCGACGAUCGAUCAUGAUCGCAAGAGUCUUGCUGCUGCAGCAGAGUGUCAAAAUGCUAUUUGCCUGUCUCUUAUUAAUUCAAAAUCUAGGGGUUCAGAAUGCUAUUUUCCGAUAAAACAAGGGCUUUUUUGCAAGAUGUAAAUAGCGCUUAUCGCUUCAGCUCGCGUCGCUGCCUGUAGCAAUCACAAAGGGGGACGAAGCCCUGUUCAUUAAAGCCUGCGUGUGCGAUCCAAAGAGGAAAACCACAGGCCCACGCGUUGACUUUGAGGCCGCUAUAACCAGUCAAACGGUUGACUGGAGAGCCGAUCAGGCCGCCCAGGCCGCCCACUAAACAUCCAGUUGAGAGAAUUACUGUACAAGCGGUUAGUCAACCUUCUGCCAAUGUACUUACAGGGAUAUUUACACUGCUAGCUAGCGACGUACUGGGAAGAAUGCACAUGAAGUCUGUGGGGCCAUCGUCGGUCUUGAAGUCGAGCUCAGCCCCAGCCCAUUAGCAUGUUGAGGACCCCCUCCUGGAUCAUAUUCAGAGUGGCGGGAUUCCUGUGGCCGUCGUCGAGGAGGACCCUGUAGACCUCCCACUCCCUAUCUCCGAUCAUGUGCCUUCCGAUCUCCGCCUGAGAAACGCGGUAGCUGGGUUUAAGUUGGGCUUCUCCGAGAUAAUGGAAAAAAAUGAGUAGAAGGAUUUUUUUUAUUUUUUAUUUUUACCGAGAAGAUGCAGGCGUUGAGCAGUUUAAGAGCGAGGGUGAUGUCGUAGAAGACGAGGGGUCGGCCCCUCCCCGAGAGCUCAACUGGGUUGGCGACUAGAAUCUCUGUCUCGGGUCCACGACUGAGAACGGCGACCCGGAGGGGGCGGAAGAGCUCCAUCCUCAAGCGGGAGCAUAAGGCCUUCUGCUUGUUUGGGUCGAGGAUCUUCUUCCCAUCCGCUUGCAUCACGAAGAGGUCAAAUUCGCAGCUUUUGCACUGGUUCGCGUAAAAUCGUCCAUAUGAUAUCUGCCAGGAAAAAAAACCCAUGCAUGUCACAUUGUCAAGAGAGAGAGAGAGAGAGAGAGAGAGAGAGAGAGAGAGAGAGAGACNNNNNNNNNNNNNNNNNNNNNNNNNNNNNNNNNNNNNNNNNNNNNNNNNNNNNNNNNNNNNNNNNNNNNNNNNNNNNNNNNNNNNNNNNNNNNNNNNNNNGAGAGAGAGAGAGUGCGGCAGUUUCGGCUUAACAAGGUAGGUAAAGGCACUUGAGAGAGAGAGAGAUCAAGUGGACCUGAGAAGGGAAUAUCGAUUGUAUUGAAGAGAUUCGUUAGACGUCCGACAGCCAUAGUCCGCUCUAUGUUGUCCGGCCCGGCCCGACCGUCCUUACCCGGUCCUAGGGAUCAGCGGUCACGACCGGUGACCGGUGCGGUCAGGGUCGUCGGACUGGUGACCGGUCGUGACCGGAGUCUCUCUCCUCUCUCUGUGAGAGAGAGUGAGGGGCUCGGGCCGGGCCUCUCCCUCUCUCCCGCUCCUCUCCGCCUCGCGCUCGUCCAGGUUAUGCUCGCCCUCUCUCUCUCUCUCUCUCUCUCUUCGCCCUCUCCCGCUCAUUUCCCCCCCUCAUCCUCCCUCUCUCAUUGGCCUUUUCCCUAUUCUCCCACUCAUUUAAAUGUUAAAAUUUUAGUGAUUAUUUUAGAUAGUUUAAAUUAUUUAUGUUUCACAUAGUUAUAUAAAUGCAUGACCCACAUCUUUUUUUCAUUUGAUUUCAUCACGAUGAACAUUCAAGAUGACAUCUAAUUACAAAUAUCUCAUUUACUUAUUUAUAUAAUAUAUAUUCUACUUUAUUUAUAUCAUUUAUAAUUAAUGAAUUAUAAAUUUUAAAAAUUAGUAAGUACUAUCAUUUUGUUAUUUUUAGAUAACUUUAAUUAACCAAAUAAUAUAUAAAUAGCUUUAAUUUUAAAAGUAAUAUAAUAAUUUAUAAGUCAUAGGUCAGAGCCCUUGAUUGAACCAUGAUCAUGACUAGUCUUUGACUGUGAUGAUUGAUCCCUACAACAUACACACACAAUCUCUCUCUUUCUUAUAACAAUGCCAAAAAGUCCACGGCUGGAGAUGGAGCGGCAUAAAUCAAGUACUAAAAAUACUACCUUUUACAGCAAAAUCAUGUAAAUAGUGAUCAGAAUACCAAAAUAAUACAGAUUCUUCGGCAUGUCAGAAGAUCACAACGAAUUAAUUCCCUGAAGAAACCGCUCGGAAUCCCAUCGCUCAUGAAUCUGAAAGAAUCACAUGUAACACAUAAAUAAAUAAAUAAAUAAAUAUUGUUACUGUGGUAAAAAAGUCAAAGCAUUGGGGCUAAUAAUGGGAAAAGAAUUGGCACACCAUCAUUGUCGUUGUCGUCCUCCGGCCGCAGGGUGGGAACGUCGUCUGCAGGAGUGUGUUGACUCAAGAACAGCUGGAUCACCACCCAGUAUCUGUCGCCACCAGAGAGCCAAGUGUCCAUGUGCCUGCCGGCCGGAAAGUCAACGAAUGUGCACCGGCGACCCCUUCUGGUAGCCUCGGCGUGGAGCAUUUGCAUGUGGGAAGGAGGAACCAGCUCAUCUUGCAGCCCGGAGAUGAAUAGAAUCGGCGGCUCAAUCUGCAGCCCGGGUUUUGGAGCAAAAAUUUCUAAUCAAACAAGGUUCCAAGAUGGAUCAUUGGGGUACAUCCAAGUUCAGCUAAAGUCAACCCUGUUCUUCUAAGCAAUCCAGCAUUCUCCUGCCCGAGGGAAUUGUCAUGCACAGUGAAAUGGAGGAGUAUACGAUUUGACCAAUUGAAUCAUGGUAGAAGAUGUUUUAUUGCAAUUAAAACGUCUAUAAUUUAACCAGUUUUACCGACCAGAUGUAUGAUAGUCAACGCCCCAAUGCAGAAAGAUGAGCAUGCAUCUUACUUGUCCGAUGAUGUCAAUGGUUCUCCAGGGCGACCUCACAAAAUAAUUCAGAACUCUAAGCCCCUUUGAUCCGGAGCCUCCAAUGAACCACUUCAGGAAAGGCAGCACGACUGCAGCCAUGUCUGGAACAGAGGUGAAUGUGUUCUCCAGUAUCAGUGCCGAAACCUACAAGUGGGGCCAUUAUUCAACAUACUUUUAAGGCGUUUGGCUGCAUCAAGCGAGAGAGAGAGAGAGAGAGAGAGAGAGAGAGAGAGAGAGAGAGAGAGAGAGAGAGAGAGAGAGAGAGAGAGAGAGAGAGAGAGAGAGAGAGAGAGAGAGAGAGAGAGAGANNNNNNNNNNNNNNNNNNNNNNNNNNNNNNNNNNNNNNNNNNNNNNNNNNNNNNNNNNNNNNNNNNNNNNNNNNNNNNNNNNNNNNNNNNNNNNNNNNNNAGAGAGAGAGAGAGAGAGAGAGAGAGAGAGUGAAGUGGUUUUGGGAGGGAAUCCGCAGAAUUACGAUAGUUUUUCGCAUACCCCUUUGGGAUCCACUCUCCUCCGUCAAUCUAAGACACUUGUCGUCCAUGUCUACUUAACUUACUCGAUUAAUCCCGCGUUCUUCGUGGUCAGAACCUGUCGAAUCUCGUUCCCCAGGAACAAUGAAGCCAAUAAUUUCUCUCUCGCAACCUGAACAAGCCAUUAUAAGACCUCCAUUAUUAAAGCCGGUUAUUACGACGAGACUGUGGACGUCUAAAGUGGUGGCUUGCCGAAACACAAACAGUGUUAAGAAGGGAAAGGAGCAAGAAGGUUUCAUAGUCCACUUUCACCUUAUCAUUUACUUGAAUCCAUGAAAUAGAAUGGAAAAAAUUAUCUAAAAGGAUCUAAUGUCUGCAACAAUUUCUUUUCAUUCGUUUAUCGUGUCGGUUACUAUUUGCAGCUACGCUUACACAAUACCAAGCCAACCAAGUUAAGAAUAUCAGACUUGAAUACGAAGAACUUCCGAGGACGUUAUUAUUCUCACUAUGUGUCGAACCAAGCCAGUGUACACUGAAUACUGAAAAAAACACAUCAACGCCAAAGGAGCAGCCCUCCUCUCCAGCGACUAUCGGAAAGGUUGUCAUACACUAAGUUACUCAUAGCUUUGAAAUCUGAAGGAUGUUCAGGGAUAGCGUCCAUGAUUAGAUCCAACGGUAAGUCCUCACGAAAGCUAAGAUGCAUGUGUUCGUCUCGUAAAUGUGAUUUGACCGCACGGUCUCAUAAAGGUCAUAUCAUUCAACUUUCGCUGGGUCUGCAACUUGUGCUUCAACAAUAUUCCCCAACUUCUCUGCUAUCGUCUAGCGUUCUGUAAACCAGCUCUUGUCAGCUAAUCUCUUUCAGCAUCAACGGUCGCACACAUUUGACCGUCGGUUGCUUGGAUUAGCAAGACCGCAUUUUAUAACAGCAUUGAUCUCAACUGUACAUCUUCGCGAAUCAUGUAGAAUCAAAUAGAGCAACAGCUCCUAGCAAGAAGGCUUCUUUCGCUAUCUACCGCCGACGGUAUUUUCUUCCAUCUAUUUAUUCGGGUACAGCUUGGACAUCAACUUCUGAUUCAGUGAGCAUCUAUCUCAACAAGACUAUACCUUCUUUCUCAUAAAGGGGAGUUGAUUAAGAAGGUCUAAACCAAAUUCACGGUUUGAAGGAAGCAAGUUCUAAUUAUAUCUCACUCCUUUGAGGAGAAUCAGACCGUGUGUGCGUGAUUGAGCGAGCAAGUGAGUGAGUGAGUGCGUUGGAGAUAGACACAGAGAGAGAGAGAGAGAGAGAGAUAAGGUAGGGUAAAAGAACAGGGAACAAGUGAAUAGGCAAGAAGGGACCAGAAGACCUGGGAUGGACAAGGCGAAAACAACAGCAGCAGAAUGGAAGACGGGGGUACUUCAUGUUCGCUCAUUGCUUGUCCUUGAAUUACUUCCAAGAGUUCCAAGUAACCAAAGGCUUGAAACACCCAUUGGCGUUAUGCAGCUAAAUAUAUGGAUAGAUGUACAGAAAUAGAUAAAAAGGCAUAUAUAUCCAUAUUAUAUUAAAUGAAAAGAGGGGAGAAUAGAGUCUAAACUGGCAUUGAUAUAUCAGCACACGUCCGUAGAAGGAUUAAAGAUGGUUGAGGGAGGAAAGGCGGGUGAGGAGCGCAUGAGUGAGAGAGAGAGCUCUAAUCGACCCCUUUAGGGAGGACAGAAUAACAGGAGUUUGGGGAGGGCCCCUUCUCUAUAAUCGAGGAUGGCAUCUAAAGAUUGACGGUGCUAGCGUGAUUGACGCAGAAAGGGAAGAUAGCUACCACUAGGAACCUGAGGGGUCUGAUAGGAGCGUUGUUGUUCCGGGCAGUGGGGGCAUGGUGAGUGUCACCUUCUCUAUGAUAC
This 98271-nucleotide long non-coding RNA is filed under the name Spirodela polyrhiza (greater duckweed). Lineage: Eukaryota; Viridiplantae; Streptophyta; Magnoliopsida; Alismatales; Araceae. The record is from RNAcentral.